Molecule: long non-coding RNA, 96963 nt
Filed under: Arabidopsis thaliana (thale cress)
Lineage: Eukaryota; Viridiplantae; Streptophyta; Magnoliopsida; Brassicales; Brassicaceae
Description: long non-coding RNA (ATHA_LNC000687)
Rfam family: tRNA (bases 59122-59193)
Source: RNAcentral
GAAAAUUGGAGACUGACGGAAGGAAAGGGGUUCCUCCCUUCUCCUUUAGGGGAGAAGCUUGGUUCCUCCUUCUCCGCUGAGAGGGGAGAAGAGCUGGGUUCCUCUUUGAAAACUCUUUCCGUAUAGGCCAGAAAACAGCUUGCUUAGAGAAAGACUGACUCUCCUACGGACCUGGUGGACCUUACAGUCGAGUUAUUGCAUCGAUCUCACAAACUAUCAAUUUCAUAAGAGAAGAAAGAUCGUUUUUAGAUCAUCAAGUGAGGACAGGUAGUAGCUCUGGUAGAGCGAGGGACUGAAAAUCCUUCUGUCUGCGGUUCGAAUCCGGACUCACUUCUAGCUCUGGCACAAGUUCCUCAUCCUUAGUUGUUUGAUGAGCCUGCGUAGUAUUAGGUAGUUGGUUAGGUAAAGGCUGACCAAGCCGAUGAUGCUUAGCCGGUUAGAGCAAAGGACUUGAAAUCCUUAGAGCAAAGCCAGGGACUUGAAAUCCUUUUUGUGUCAGCUCUUUGGAAGUGCCUUUUCCUUUACUUCAGUAAGGAGUCUCAAAAUAGGAAAUACCUAGCUAGCAAAGUAAGCAAUAACGGAAGGUAACGAAUUCUCCGUUUCGAUAUUAACAAUCCGGAUCUAGGGAAAGUAGGUUCCCGCAUCACGUAAAUUUCAUUUCUUUUGGGAAAAUAAUACAUAAACCUUUUGAGUCACAGCCACCUCAGCACAAGUUACUCGAGUAGCACAGAAGCCAUCAUCAAUAGCUUGCUUGCCUGGGAGCUCAACCACGAAUUCUCUGUCUUCUAACCUUUCUAUCACUUGAGGAUUAUCUACGCAAUUCGUAAAUGAUCAAACUAGAUAGUCCCUUAUCUUACUGGCCAGUAGUAGAAGGGGAUCUUGAAUCAAAGAGUUCCUGUCCAACAAGCAAGGAAUGUCAGUCAUAAAUAAUGAAAUCCAUAUAACUCUACUCCGGGUUGUGAGAACAUCGUGCCUGUUGCGAUUGUGUGGCUUUCCGCAUGGUUGGAGACCCCCUAUGAACAAAAAGUAGGGUGGUGUAGGAGAACCCCGACUCCCUAAUGCAAGAUAGAGCUCUUAGGGUGCGUUUCGUCUUUGUCAGGAAGAAAAAAGUGGCAAGAGGAGUGUAUCCAUACCCGUACCGAAGAGAUCUUGGGAAGGCAUCUCUAUAGAUUUAGUAGUUGGACUACCAAAGACCCAGACAGCUUCAAGGUUAGGUCUUCAGUGUUAGGUCAGUUCGAGGUCAGUUGUUCCCUCCGUACUGUUGCUAGAGAGCUGCUUUCCAUCUAUCUUCCUACAUGAAAGGAUCUAAGUCUAUCCAAAUAAAAUAGCCCAGAAAAUGACAGCCAUCAAAAGGCGCGCAGCCCAUAUAGCCUCGGCCUGUCCAAAUGAUGUUCAGCGGUCUCUACCCAAGUAGCUGUGGCCCAUGAUCCAAAGGACCCGCAACCAGUCAAUCAUGCUAUCCUUACCUUCCAACCAAUUGGCCAAUCACGCUAUCCUUACCUUCCAACCAAUCGGCCAAUCACGCUAUCUCCUUACCUUUCAACCAACCCCUUCGAUUCCGCUUCUGCAGCAGUAUAUAAUCUCGGUCCCUUACCUUGAUGCCUACAGCUCAAUUUGUUUUCCAGUGAUGGCAAGAAUCCGAUCCGCGAAAUACUGCUUUUUCUUUUUUCUUGUGUUGUUUCUGAAUGGCAUCAUAGCUACACGAGGGAAAGCGAUGCUGCCCACUCUGCCGCAAAAGGGGGCCGCUUUCUUCCCCCCCAAAAUGCCAGUUCCACCAUCAGGGCCCAGCAAGCAGCAUAAUUCUGCUCCUCGAUCGGACUUCGUGCAAUUCUUUUAUAUGUAAAUAAGGGAGGGGUCUCGACCACAUUUUUGAGUAAUAGUAAUAGGCUAAGGCGGAUUCGUCUGCUUCGCUUACGUAGUCAAAACAUUCUCGCUGGACACCUGGUAAGGAAUAUUUGUAUAUGCGGGAAAGAUACUCUCACCUACAGCUCCCGUUACUAGUAGUUCCGGUUAGCCCACUUGCCCGAGCACACUCUCAACUUGUAGAUGAUCCAACAGAAAAAGCAAGAGACCACGAAAGCACGCAUGAAAACAGCCCUUUUGAAAGCAUACCCAAGGCACCCAUCCAAUCUGAACUUAUAGACAUCAAGAAGAAGAUCUAUUAACACGCAUGGCUACCUAUAUAACAAGUUACCUCUGACCUCUUCUGAAAGCAUUUGAGACUUCUCGUGCUGAAAAAGAUAAUUUCAUUGACCUACGGCACGGAAGGAAAGCACCGCUGCUAGCUCGCCUUGUCCACGGAACUUAUCCUGUUGAGAAUCCUAUCUUGCUUGACUGCGCUGGGAAGUCUUUCCUUAAAGCAUUGAUUUUACUUGGAGUAUCCGCUUAAGUGAGAAAAGGAACUUGAUUUAGCUUGAACCUUGAGCCGUAGAAGAGGACCUUUCAGAAGGACGGCUGGCUUUAGCCCUUGAGCAUGGACGAGAGUGAACCUAUUUAAAGGUUUACUGUAUCGUUUACUGGUGAUGGGAAUAUGUAAUAUUGUUGUAGAAGUUUCCAGCCUCACAGGCUUUAGAUUGAACUAUGGAACCGAGCGAAGACCUUUGAGAUUGAGAUUCCCCAGUCCACUUAUGAAAUGGAUCCGAAUUAACCGCUUUCGACUGAGAUGUAAAGUCACCUUCGCUUUUGCUUUUCGUAUUCUAUGCGGCUUUCUCCAACUCUAAUCUCAGGUUUUUCCUUCUCUAUGAACUCUAUAGAUUGAUCCACAAAGAGAUUGUACCUAUACCUACUUCAGUAUAAGUUUAUCCUGAACCCUAUGGCACUUCGUUGCUUGCUCCAGUGAGCUACCUAUUUAAUGAAAGGGAUAUUUUUAUCCUUUUUCAGUGUGUGUACACGCUUGAAAGCGGAAAAGAUGAACUCAGACUAAUAAAAGGAAACGGAACUUAGAAAACAAAACAACUAAGGAUGGGCUCUCCGGUGGAUGAAACGACCCCUAGGAGUCCCUUCGAUUGGGUGAGGGCGAAGCAAAUCUACAAUCCUUAUGGGAGGAUGGGAGGCCUACCACAAAUAUGGGGAUGAAAACAGGCAAACGGUCUCAUACGUCGUAAAUAAGCAUUCUUAAUGUCAAGUUGGUAGAUAGGCCAUAGCUGUCGCCAACCAAGUCUAUUAGAACCAUCACAGUUUAAAAUUUAGUAAGCGAAGGUCUCUUUAUCAUCCUUCCCAAUCACUUGCGUCUACCCUUUAGCUACUAAUGACGCUUUCUAUCUCUCAAUAGAACCAUCAGGAUGAGACUGGAUCUUAUACAUUAGAGCCUAUAAGCCUUUGUAUUAGGUGGUAAUGUCCGAAGUCUUCUUGGAUUUGAGUGCACCAAUUUAUUUUUGCAUGGCCUCUUUGGUCUCAUUCUUUUUCUGAGAAGAAGGUUCAGAGACAGCAAGAAGAUUGUUCAAAGAAGCUAGAUAGUCUGCUGGGAAUGUGUGUCUAUUAUGCAGAGGAAUUGAAAGAGAAUGUGAACAGAGAAUCAACAGAAAGUUUCCCUUCUUCUUUGGUACCGUAGAAGCUUGGCGAUGUGAAAAGAUAGAAUUCUUGAACGAGCGAAGAAGCAAUCGGGGCAGCGUAUAGCCUUAGUCACGCGCAUCCCUUUCCUGCAUAAAGAUGAGCUAGAUAGCACGGCUUUGAAAGAAAGAUAUCUGAGGCAAUUUUCCAUUCACCUUUUCUUGCUGGUCAAGAUAGUAAGCCGAGACUUCUGUAGUAGCUUUCUGUUCCUUGGAUAAGGAGUCAGUUGAAAGUGGUGAAUAAGACCCGCAAAUCCCCCUCUAAAUGGUUUUUUCAUUUUCAAUCUGUAAAUUCAUGAAGUCAAGAAGUGUAGCCGAAUCAAAUAGUUGGCUCUAGUCUAAUUGACUACUUGGAAAGAAAAAAGUGAUUUAGUGAAGUCUCUUUGAUGCGCUACGAAGGUCAAGCAGGAAACAGGGAAGCCCUUUCGACCUAAGCCAGGCUAAUAGGUUGAGUGACCAGGAGAGUAGACCAGAGAAAGGUUAUGUAAUAGAGGCAAUAGUGAGCCCCGAAGAGUGCUUUUCUAUUCUUCCCCUUAUUCGCUACGUAUUCCUUUCACUGGGAUUUUUCAUCGCUCCUAAUACUAUGACAAGGCUCGCUUAUGGCUCGCUCCCGUGGCUCUAGUAGUAGUCCAUUUUAUUCAGAAUUAUUCUUUCUUUUUGUUGAUGGUGCGUUGGAAGGGACGAAAGGAGCUAGUGAGCAAUGACAUCCGCGCGGGGAAUAGGCUUGCUUCUUCCUAGCGAUCGGGCGGUCCUCCCUCUUCCUGUUCACCGCCGGUUCGCCCACUGCUGCUUUCAUAGAUGUCGUGCGAAGGGACAGAGCUAAUGGAUGCCUAUUCCGUUCUCCUGCUCCUGCUCCAGCUCAAGAGUUCAAACGGACAGAGGAGAGUCCUGCUACCGAAAAAAAAGUGCAUAAUAUUGGAUUCAAACAAAGGGGAUUUAUUCACGAAUACGAUUUCUAUUGAUUGAAAGCUUUCCUAUUACUGAUGGCAAACGGGCGAGACGGAGACCGUCGAAGAAGUGCCUUGACGCGCCGCAGCCACUACUUUGACUCCUUUUAUGCAAUUAUGAACUCCACGGAACUUUCUCGAUUCCAACGCAACUUAUCCUUUUGGAGCUGACGUAACAAACUAGGCGAGCCUCCCAACGAAGCCAACAUAAAUCCUAUCCGAAUAAAAAAAAUAAAAGGCAGUUUCAUUAUGGUGGUAUACCAACCUCCUGUUCUGGAACUUCCAGUUCCAAUCGAAGCAUAUAGAUCCGUAAAUAGAUUUGUAUGUAUAGCCACUUCAGCCGUGCUCGUCCUUUCUCGAAAGUAUCUUUUUUCUGGGAACAUGGUUAACCAAAAAUUAUUAUGUUUGCGAUUCUUCAUCCACCAAUGCAGAAAAUGCUCAAGUUUUCCAUUCUUAUAUGAGGCCGGAAAGUUUAUUAGCAAGAGGUCGGCAUGAAGUGAUUCAUCAUGCUCAAACAUGAGCCGAUCGUUCGUUAGGGACGGUUUAUAGAUCAUCAAAUUCCCACAAAUGGAAUGAAAAGUGGGUCCAUGUAAAUGAUCGAGACCUCGCAAACAACAACGUUCCUUCCCCAUAUGGAGUUCGUAACCCAAAGGCAAUCGUUGAGUGAACUGUAUCUUCUUUGUGUUAGUUGACCUAAGCCGCACCAUUACUGCUGGGGUGGGGCUCGGCCUCCGAACCGUACGUGGGACGAGUUUCUGCCUCAUACAGCUCGGGCCGAAGACCGGGGGAAGUUUAGGAGAGAUGGGGAGACCCAGCAGCUGCCGGUCGGGGCGGGGGUAAGCUUGUGAAGAAGCGAGCUUAUCCCCCCCAAAAAAUCCUAUAGCGCUAGCGCUUCGCGUUCUUUCUAUUUUAUCUAUCUCAUUUCAUUCCGGGAUAGGCGGCUAAUACUAAUCUAAUAAGUGAAGUAGUCGUCGUCUGACCAAUUGACUCGGACACCAGACCGCUCGUGCCCGCCCAUUCUGUCUCGCCCUAAAUGGAAUGGCUCUCUUAGUUACGCUGCACCCCGACCCGAGUCCCCACGUCCGCUCUUCUCCGUCCGCAACCUAAGAAGUUGGCUUUGCCAACACAACAUUAGGGCCGUCCCCUUCAUUCUAUGCUGACCCCGCCCGGCCCGGGGCUGGCUUUUUGGGAAGCCCGUUCCCACCGCGCUCAUGGCCCGGCUGGCCUGCCAGCGGUAGUGGGAAUUAUCCCGUUCCCUGGUCAAAGACUUGGUUGGAUGCGGGAUCUACUCCACGAGGAGCGGUACGGACGUAGAUGAUAUCAUCACGACCUCUCUUUUCGUACCGCUAGGGAUGCUUAACGCCACUUCGCCAACUAGCGUUACCCGCGCUUUCGUGUCUCUCAGUGUGGUCAGCACUGGGUGUUUCCGAGCAGCGAAGCUUACACCCAUUCGCAUUAGUUCAUCCAAAGUUCCUUACCCUUAUGCACGAAUUUUGGAAUAAGCCAUCUUCCUAUCAAGGUUAAGGAGUCAACUGAGCAUCUCAGCGGCGGGAUUGAAUACCCGGAUCGAAUCAGAGUUCACGCCGCCCGCCCUGAACAAAUAGGAGGCGUGGGCCACAGGUCGCACAUAAGCCGCCGGGUCGCACGACAGAAGAACACCCAACAUACAGAUGCACACUCCUCCAUGUGAAAUAUUCAUCUUCAUUGGAACCUUUUGGUAGUAGUCGUGACCAACAGCCAUAGCCAUCAGCUGUCGGCUCCUUGGUAAGGCGAGAGCUUCAAGCCCGAUUUCUGGUGGCACGCCCCCCACACAAGCACCACCCAACUCAGGGGGGACGGGGAAAGCUAGAGGCCCAAAACCUUCGACCCUUCUUUCUAAAUCUAAAUGGGGGUGCCCGGAGCACCUCAUCUUGUCAUUUCGUCGUUGCUCAUUCCCGUUCGGCCGAAGUGUUUGGCCUUUCCUUCUCCGCGCCCGCUCACGCUUCGCUGACCUAUCGCGUGCUAAAAAGAGGAAAGUACGAAAGAAUAGUAAACAGAGCACACCGCAGAAAGAUUCUAAAUAUGAGAAGUCCCCCUUGGAUUCGAGAAGACGGAAAUGAAGAACGGGAACGAAAAAAAAUAAGGCCUUUCUAGCUCUAGUUUCAGAUGAGCUUCUCCCAAUUAUGUCUGGUAAUAGAAUAGGGCGACUUGCUCUGACCAAGACUCCACUUUUUGCUCCGUCCAUGGAGCGUAUGAUUUUCCUUGAAUGUAGAUAGACCAAAAGAGGGAAUGAAGAGAUAGGAAUAGGAAUUAUAGUACCAUUGGAAAAAGGGGCACCCGUGGGAACAUCUCUACUGACGAACCAUUUCAAUAGUACGGGUGCUGCCGUGCCACAAGGCACGACCAUAAAAAUAAUAAAAAAGAAAAAGUUAUGUAGUUGGACCAUCUGCUCUAUCCGUUCGAGUUUGGCUUCUCUAAAGAAGAGAAGGCGCUAAAAAUGAAAAUGUUCGCAAGGCAUACCGAAAGGAUACCAAUGAAGCCGACCAUUAAUGACUAGUUCGAACACCAGGAGCGGAAGGAGGGACUUGAACCCUCAACCUUAGCCUUGGCAAGGCUAUGCUCUACCAUUAAGCUAUUUCCGCCAGCUACGGUAGUGGCGAAGCACUACUGAGCAAUUCACGUAUUACUUGAUACGGACGACUUCCGUUUUUCCGCCGGACCACGGCUCUUGACCUCCGAUCGAGCUACGAGCACGAGUAGGUAGGCGGCAUCUGUCUUUUUUUUUUUGAAGUUGAGUCAUUUCCUUUCCUAAGACGGCUCCUCUUAUUCUACGAUAAUCCAAGCAGCAGCUGCCCGAGUCCGCUCGGAACCAGUCGAUUCCUGAGCCUGGACUCAAGGUCUCUCCUGCCUGCGAGUUUGCUGCGAAUGCUGCGAGUAAAUACAUGAACGAGACGAGUGAGUUAGUCUCCGAGCGAAUCCGGCGGGUCUUUCAAACAUCCAAGUUGCCACUUUUCAGCUACUUGGAAUGCAUGAGACCCCUGCAUUUAGGAAUCUUAGGUUACCUCCAGCCUUCUGAAGCGAGUUGACCUUCUGUUGACCUUAUAUCUGUCUACCUUAUAUAAUAAUGAAUAUGAAAGGAAAGCACUAACUCCUGAGCUUGGGCAAAGUUGGCUAAUCGAUUUAGACUAUUAUAAUAGAAUAAUAAAUCCGCGACUUGGGAAACCCUUUCUUCAUUCGUUUGGCGGGAAAGGAGAAACCAUUUCUUCAUUCAUUGGCGAGAAAGCAUUUCGUGCCUUCGUCCUAGGCUCGGCUACUUCUUUCUCAAAUAAGACAAAGAUUGCACUAGACCUUGAGCCCGGGAAGACCGCUACUAGCCCUUUACUCUAUUGGAUUGAUUUGGUCGAGACCCGGUUUCUCCUUCCUAGAAACCUGAAACUGCAAUCCGCGAACGACCGCUUUCUUCCUUAUUAGCCUAAUAUCUUACUCUCGGACUACAUUUGUCUAAGAGCAGUUGAGGAAUCUGCAACUGAAAGAAAGGAAUCAUGGAAUCUGAACCCAAGGUUAAAAAAAGGGGAAAGAACUACGGAAAAGGUUCUAUCACGUUAAUCGUCACCCACUUACGCUCCCUAGCCAUCUCUGGAAUUGAACUUCCUCGGAACAGCUACAAUGCUUUGAAUUCCUCUGUGCUUUCACGAACAAGCCGAAUAACCUUCUAUUUCGGAAGAGGCAUUCUGAUACCAUUCACCCAUAGAUGAUAUUGAGAAUUCUCAGGUUGAAAGCCCAUCAACUUAACGCUAUCUGGGGCCAUUCAGAAAUUAUAAUCCACGAAAGGAGCCAUCACCGGACUCGAGCCGGGAGAACCUUUGAACAAUACUGGCUGCCUUUGCUCGUUGACGACUAGCCUUUGUUCUUUGACCGAGAUGUCGACCUGAUCACUUUUCUCAAAUUUCAGCAACAACAAUAAGAAAUAGUAGAGCCUUCAACGGGACAUUCGAACGCAACAAAGGGUUUCUUGACCGCCUUUGAACGACAACUCGAUAAUAGAAUAGAAGACUUUCUUCGUCGACUUACUCGCUCGCAUGACAGCAUUUAGUGGUCUCUUCACUGGCUUAGGCUAUAUUGGGGAACGCUCGGCUACAAGAUUGAAAAGACCGAUAUGAUAGCUCCACGGCCGGAGCCGAUACUUCUCUCUCAAACCAUUACCUUUCCCCGCCACAUUCUUUUUUGACGGAGAGACGAUUCAAGAGGAUCCAGCUAGGCUGAAAGCGGAGGAUUCUUUCUUUACCUGUGCCCCGGACCCAAGCUCGGCUGAAGGCAAGGAAUUCUUUCUAGACUGACACGCAAGCUAGGCUGAAAGCAACCCGGGUUACAGCAAUGGGGAUUCUCUCUUCAAUUAGAAAUGAUAUUAUAUUGGUGACUACUCCCUUCAGAUUGAAGAUUUGAAAGAUAACACGCCCACCGCCGGAUACUCUUCACGUGCUGAUACCUAUAUUGGAUUGGUGAACAACCCUGGAGUUUAGGACAUUUGAAACUAUAGAAAGACCUUAGCCGCUUUUAUGAUAUAGUCCUGAAGACCUAACUCUUAGAAAUGACCUACUAACUCAUCGACAAAGAAAGGACUUCGCCUUGACCUUCUGACCUAGACGUCGAACCAGUGCCUUGGAUUCAUCAACAAAGGGAUCAAAGGAACUCAUCUGUCCCUCCAAACGGAAAUCUUGGUUUUGUAAUUUGAUCUCUGACAAAGGGAGAGGGAAAGAAAGACCAAUCCGUAUCUUUGAAAGAAAAAGAUUCUCAGAAACGCUACCACCGAACAUCGACUUACUCGGCAUCUUCGGAUUCAAGCAUUUCAUUCGUUCGUUGGCGCAAAAGCCUCGUUUGGCGGGAAAGCAUUCAUUCGUUUGCGGGAAAGCAAAAGCGUUCAGCAUUGACUUCCUAAAGCGACUUCUUAGCGUGCUUCAACAGCGCCCAGAUAAUGCCUUGACCGGAGCCGGAGGGAGACCUAAACAGAAGAACGACCUCGCAGUGGCAACAUAGCCCAUCCUCAACUCAUACCUCAGAUUUUGAACCAUACUUUGAGUCCUCAAACUUUGAGAUGGACUGGACCAACACUCUUCUUUGAGAUGGAAUUCCCACCACUCUUAUUUGACAUGAACUGUAACGCUACUCUUUCAAAGAUACCUAACAACCUUAGCUGGCAUUGAUCACUCUUCCUUCCCAAUCCCUCCAUUUAGAAUUGCAAACAUCCCAACUUCCAGAGCUACCUAUGAGCCAAGGGCGGAGGGAGAUAUAUUAGACUGAUCAACUUCAAACAAAACGACCUUCCUGGACUCGCUUUCAUCUCCUUCUUUGAAACGACUCAAAUAAUUGAGUGGGCAUUGGGAGCCUUAUUUAAUGGUGGAUUCCUGAGCUAUGAAUGUCUCUGAAAUCGUGAUGUCAAAAAGGAAUGAUAUGCGAUUAUUAACUUGCUUCCUUCCCUCUAAUUUUCAUGCAGUAGUUGAAUUUUUGCACUCUUACCUGGAUGCGAUUUUCCGCCUUGAAUAGAUGGAGGUGUUUUCCACCUUGAAUUGAGAAUUUUUGCAUGCUCGAUGGGAUUUCUGCCUUGAAUUAUGAUACAUUUAUUAUGAAUUUUUGCAUGCUCGAUCUGAUUUCCUUCGCUGUAUGGGAGUGCAUAGGCCUAUUCUAGCAUGGGGUUUCUCGGGGUAAGGCUUGUGCUUUUCCUUCCAUAUAAGACUAGCUAUGUGCUCCCUCGGUACGCCUGUAUUCCUUUCGUGGAUUGGAACCUACGUACUGUUGUAUUGUAGCGUGAUGUUUUCCCACUGCUUUCUGGCUUGACUCACAUAAAGUACGUGCGUAACUGGCACUAUCAUGUAGGUGCGAAAUCUGUCUUCUCCUAUGUCUUGUUCUCCCAGUUUGAUUCCUAUGUUUCGAAGUCCAGCUAAUUAGUGAAGGAAAGUGGUAUGGAUGUUUGGAGCUCAAUCCAUCGAAUUCACUCGCUUCUUUGCGCUGCGUUGUAGCUCUUAGAUUAUUGGGAGGAGGUCAUUUCGAAUGUUUUGUAAUUUGGAAUCGUUUUUUCUUCAAGGCACGGCUUCUUGAAUCGUCUUUGUCUUGUAGAAUGGUUGUCAUCUGGAAUCUAACUAAAUAGUUAGUUAAGAAGACGCGUGCUUUGUUUGGUUUUGAUCUGGAAUUUCACUAUAAGAUAAGAUAAGAGUGAAGUGCUUUGUUUGGGCAAUCUGCCUCCCUAAAUCUAGUGGAGGUCCCGGUCCCGCCGCUCCUGUUUGUAAUGGGGCCGCUUUGUGCCAAAUGUGUAAGUUGUUUUUUCAAUCCGUUCUAACUGUAAUAAGAGAAGAGGGAAGUCCGUCUAAAGAAAUUAGUGAAGGAAAGUUAUAUGGAUGUUCAUUAGUUCAGUAAAGUGUUAGUAAUGUUGCUGGGAGUAACCCUUUGAUCUGAUCUGUCUUUGUACGUGUUAUCUUGCGAGGCUGUCAGGUUGGCUUGUGAGGAUGGGGAGAAAGCGGGCCGAGAAUCUUAUGUCAAAAGGACCAAGGAUGAUCUUUUCGGAAAGGAGGAGUAGGAGGAGUCAGCUUAUUCUAUAGAUACUGUAAAAGCCAACUCAUGUUUCCACUCAAUUUUCAUUACGAAGAUGUAUCACGUCAAGAUCCGUUGCUCAAACCGAAUCACGCCAACGUUAUGGAAGUUCCUGGAUCGUGUGAAAUAAGAGUAGUACCAAAGGCACCCUAUAAUUUCAUAAUAAAAAAUGGAAAAUUGGCUAUGGAGAUUCCGCGCGGUCAGAAAUUCAUACAGACACAAAGGGGUUCGACAGGAAAGUCCUUUCGAUCUAAUCCAUUCUUGGGGUCAAAUAAAGACAAAGGAUAUGUAAGUGACCUAGCACGACAAAGCACUCUCCGAGGGCAUGGAAUGUCUAAUUUUUCGGUCAGAAUCUCGACAGUAAUGUCUCUAUUAGAUUUUCCGGUCGAAAUACGGAAAAACUCCAUUCAAUUCUCGAUGGAAACGGAGUUUUGCGAAUUCUCCCCGGAACUGGAAGAUCAUUUCGAGAUCUUCGAACAUAUUCGGGGGUUCAAUGUGACUAUUAUCACUUCGGCCAACACACAAGAUGAGACUUUACCACUGUGGAGCGGUUUUUUGCAAAAAGAUGAGGGGGAAACUCAGUAAGAUGUCGUAGAAGCAAAAUAGUAGAGAUCACAAACGUAGAUUGCUCGCGGCUAAAUUUGAAUUGAGACGAAAGCUUUAUAAAGCCUUUUGUAAAGAUCCCGAUCUUCCUAGUGAUAUGCGGGACAAACAUUGUUAUAAGUUGUCCAAGUUGCCAAGAAAUAGUUCCUUUGCACGAGUCAGAAACCGAUGUAUUUCCACGGUCGCCCUCGUUCUGUAUCUGAGUUCUUUCGAAUUUCUCGUAUCGUUUUUCGUGGAUUAGCAUCUCGAGGUUCUUUGAUGGGCAUAAAUAAAUCGUCUUGGUAGCAACCACCAAACCAAUAGAACAAAGAAAGGUUAGCUCCGCAGCUGGUCCACAAGCAAGGUAAGUAAGCCCAUUACCAGCCGGCUCCGGACCGAAAAGUAACGUAUUUAAAACCCUUAUCUUGGAUCGGAGAUGCGAACGGGGCGGGAAUCGAAGUGGGGGACCUCUCUACCGCUUGUGUCUAUUUCCUGUCAAGUAUGCUCCCCAUACAUAGACUACGUACAGGUAGUACUCUUGGAAAGAAAGAUAUAAUGCAUGAACAUAACAUUAACUUACGAAUGUAACUCCCGACCACUCUUCUAAAUAUACUAAGGCGGAGAACUCUUGUUCAUUGGAGCGCCGUAGUGCGGAGGUUCUUCCCAUCAUGGAAGUCCGAGUUGGGACUGAGCCUUCCGAAUGAUAAUGCUUUGUUUCGUUGGAAAAACCAACGCAAAUCUCAUAUUGACUUUCUAUCGCCCUACUUCUAAGGAUAGAUAGAGAGAGUUACUUUAUGAAAUUAUCUCCCUUCUAAAGCAGCGCAAGUCGGCCCCCCCAGAACAAAGCCCCUACUCCCGAGAGGUAUAAAUGACUCGACUAAAAGGAGAGGUAUUUAUUACUCGAGCACUUGUUGCGAGAGGUCCAACGUAAUUUAUUACUCUUAUAAAAGAGGGAACUCGACUGAAAGGAGAGGUUGUUUACAUACUCGACUAAAAGGAGAGGUCCAAAUGGACUUCUGUGAAUUACAGUGAUCCAGUCUCACGGAUAUGGAGCUUCGCCGGAGAUGGCAGGGCAAAACCUGAUGGACCUUUUUUUUUUUUUUCUCAAGAGGUGAUUUCGAGAAUCAACCAACCGACGAGACUAAUUCGAGGAUGUGUUAAAAGAGAGUCUAACCGCCAAGGCAAGUCCCAUGGAUAAGCCCCAGCCUCCCUCUCGUUUCACUCUCGUUCCUCUCCUUACAGUCGAGCUCCUUUGUUCCUUCGGACCUCUCGCCCAAAUGAAAUGGGAUGAAUCCAAUCAAUAAGCUUAUUGAUUGAUUCAGAGCGCAGCGAAGCCAAAUUCAAUCAAGGCAAAGGGGGGCUUACUUUUCCUGACGCUGAGUCAUCCUAUUCAAAUUUAGCUAUGCUAAUGUAACAGGAAAAGUUUUCACAGAUGAUAUGGAUCCCAAGAGAUGAGCGAGAACCUCCAAUUGCUUAAGGAUCGCACUCCGCUAUCCCGCUUGGUGGACGAGAUCUUCUCUCGGGUCAUCCAUCCUGGGUUACUGAAGGGUUGUCCGACUGCUCGGUGACCGAAUCAGAGAAGUUUUGACCGCUUUCUCUUCUCUCCAGCACUCUCGGACUGAUCAUCCAAUCCAUCUUGCUGCGACAAAGCAAGCUUAGGAAUGAAUCUAAGAAAUUUAGGUCUCUGCCCGCUUGAAAGAUUCUUCUUUCCUUUUCGGUGAAAGAGGGCAAAAGUGUGUAGGAGAAAGAAUUCUAAAAACGUCGACGCUUAAUUCGCCCCCUCCAUCCUUCAAAAGUAAAAGAAAGGCUCAAAUAUCAAUAUUAUAUAUAUAUUUGAGGAUAUUUUAGGGCCCUAGAACGCAAAAAAAAGGUGGGUGAACAAGAGUUGUCACGAUAGGAAAGAGAAAUGACUAUAAGGAACCAACGAUUCUCUCUUCUUAAACAACCUAUAUCCUCCACACUUAAUCAGCAUUUAGUAGAUUAUCCAACCCCGAGCAAUCUUAGUUAUUGGUGGGGGUUCGGUCCGUUAGCUGGUAUUUGUUUAGUCAUUCAGAUAGUGACUGGCGUUUUUUUAGCUAUGCAUUACACACCUCAUGUGGAUUUAGCUUUCAACAGCGUAGAACACAUUAUGAGAGAUGUUGAAGGGGGCUGGUUGCUCCGUUAUAUGCAUGCUAAUGGGGCAAGUAUGUUUCUUAUUGUGGUUUACCUUCAUAUUUUUCGUGGUCUAUAUCAUGCGAGUUAUAGCAGUCCUAGGGAAUUUGUUUGGUGUCUUGGAGUUGUAAUCUUCCUAUUAAUGAUUGUGACAGCUUUUAUAGGAUAUGUACUACCUUGGGGUCAGAUGAGCUUUUGGGGAGCUACAGUAAUUACAAGCUUAGCUAGCGCCAUACCUGUAGUAGGAGAUACCAUAGUGACUUGGCUUUGGGGUGGUUUCUCCGUGGACAAUGCCACCUUAAAUCGUUUUUUUAGUCUUCAUCAUUUACUCCCCUUUAUUUUAGUAGGCGCCAGUCUUCUUCAUCUGGCCGCAUUGCAUCAAUAUGGAUCAAAUAAUCCAUUGGGUGUACAUUCUGAGAUGGAUAAAAUAGCUUUUUACCCUUAUUUUUAUGUCAAGGAUCUAGUUGGUUGGGUAGCUUUUGCUAUCUUUUUUUCUAUUUGGAUUUUUUAUGCUCCUAAUGUUUUGGGACAUCCCGACAAUUAUAUACCUGCUAAUCCGAUGUCCACCCCGCCUCAUAUUGUGCCGGAAUGGUAUUUCCUACCGAUCCAUGCCAUUCUUCGUAGUAUACCUGACAAAGCGGGAGGUGUAGCCGCAAUAGCACCAGUUUUUAUAUGUCUCUUGGCUUUACCUUUUUUUAAAAGUAUGUAUGUGCGUAGUUCAAGUUUUCGACCGAUUCACCAAGGAAUGUUUUGGUUGCUUUUGGCGGAUUGCUUACUACUAGGUUGGAUCGGAUGUCAACCUGUGGAGGCACCAUUUGUUACUAUUGGACAAAUUUCUCCUUUGGUUUUCUUCUUGUUCUUUGCCAUAACGCCCAUUCUGGGACGAGUUGGAAGAGGAAUUCCUAAUUCUUACACGGAUGAGACUGAUCACACCUGAUCAGUGAAAAAUUCUGACACCAAUCAUUUACAUAUUACACCAAGAAUUGACAAGCAGAUAAGUUUUCUAGUUUGCUAUGUUGAUAUAGCUUAGAUAGGGAAAAGAUAACUCCACUAUAGAGUAGGGCUGUACUUCAAAAAUCAAAAAGGGUCCCUCUCCCCCUUUUUUUAUUAAAAAAUCAAAAAAGAGGCCCCGCCCCCCAAGGCCUAAGGAAAAAACCUCUGAUAAAGAAAGAAAAAAUAUAGAACUAACCUUUACACUAUAACCAUUAAGUCAAGUUAUUAACAAUCCUAUACUAAGAGGAGAAUUCGGAUCAGCUCGGGCGGAAGAGGAGAGGCGAAGAAGAAGACAAUAAGCACUCAGAUUGGACCAACCUUUCAUUUAAGGUUCGUCAUUAUCUUUUCAAUCCUGACUAGAAUCAGGCUUCUCUUGAAAAAAGGUAAGGAGUUAUUCGAUAUAAUAUGGUAUUAACCCUAGCGCCUAAGUCACCCCCGCAAGGUAGGAAGAAGAUAAAGGAGAAAGUGAACGGAGGAAAAAAAGGCGAUAAGCGAACCGGCGGGCGGUAAAAACCACAAAGAAUUUAUAUAGAAAAAUAGGUACUACCAAUAUGAAAUUAAGAAAGACAUAUAUACCUGAAACAAAAUUCUGUAAUGACUAUGUGACCAUGAAGGGAGUAGUUGAUUCGCGUUCCAAUUCAUUGGCAAAAUCCGGUAUAAAUAUAAUAAUAUAACGAGAUCGUCGUCUUGACAAAGAUGAAUAGAAAGAGUGCUUUUUUUUUAAUGGUAACAAUUCUUAUUGUUUUUUUUUCUUCGAAGGAAGAUCUUUCUUUGACUAAAAAGGUUUCCAUUUUUAAUAGAUUGUUUGUGGUUGUACCUUUACUGCAAGAAUAUAAAUGACUCGCUAUUCACUCGAGGUUUCUGGGUCAUAAUGUAGGAGAGAUGGCCGAGUGGUUUAAGGCGUAGCAUUGGAACUGCUAUGUAGGCUUUUGUUUACCGAGGGUUCGAAUCCCUCUCUUUCCGUACCUUUACCUAAUUCACCAACGUUACCGACCGCGCAAUACCAAUCGAGACCUCUAAGACGAACUAAAGGGAUGUCUCUAAGCAGCCAAGGCCAAGAGCAAGCAGGAGUGGUCCUAUCCGCCCAUUCAUUUUUAAGUGACUUAUAAGACGUGAGAGAUACUCUAAAGUCAUAACGGGGAAGGCCAGAGACUUCGUUCAAAUGGGGGGAGGUUUUCUCUUCAAUAAAAUGAAAGGCAGGUAUUUUUAUACGAAAAUUGAGAAUUCAAUAAUAAAUGUUCACUUGAGAUUAGGUUCGCGAAGAAGAAGAUCACAAAUGAGAUCUUGAGCUUGAAGCUUACUCUCCAGAAUCGAAAGAUCUCUUAUCCCCGAGGCGAGGAUGGCUUCAUAAACUUUUUUUGCCGAAGGAAAGAUAGAUAAGGGGUUUCAUCCAUAUUUUUCUCCCAUUUACGUAUCACGUUCAGAGAUUUUAAUUAGUUGUCCGCUCUUUCCGUACCUUUACUUACCGACCAAAUACCAAGACUACUUACAACAGGUGGUGAGGAUCAGCACACUGCGGGAAUCUAAGGAAUUGAUUGCUGUGCAUCGACCAAUCUCAGAAAGGGAACUAUAAAAGAAGGUGAAGAUGCACCGAGGCAUUUAUGAAGACGCAUGGUAUGCUGUGGAGAAAGGGGUGAAAGGAGUAGAAGCGGCAGGGCAAGAAAAGGAUAGUGAUAAAUGGACAGACGCUGAGAAGAAGAAGUCGAAAGUAUAACAGCAAAGCACUGUCAGCAAUCGCAAGUGACACAUUCAAGGGUGAAUCAUCCAAAGAUGCUUGGGAUAUCCUACAGAAGGGUUGACAAGUGUAAAGAGAUCUCGUAUUGAUAUGCUGCUGGCUUCACGGAGGAAAGAGAGACCAUUGAACAAUUCAUCUGUGCUUUGCCAAUGCUGCUCAAAAUGAAAGACAAAGACAAAAGUCAAAAAGCUUCUGUUCUGUAGCACACUCCCGGCGAAGCAGCCCUUCGCAAGCCAUGAAUGACAUAGAUACCCUUGCGUUUGAUGUUGUUGUAGGUCACCUACAAGCGUAUGAAAUGGAGACUGAGAAGUCCGAGAAAAAGCAUUGCUGCAGCACACACUAAGACAACAAGAGAGAUAUUGAAGAUUCAAUCGGCAGCACACUGCUUGCUAGAAACUUUGGCAAAGUAGUAAAGAAGAAUGGACAAAGUAGGAAAAACCCUUUUACACAGAACACAACAACAAAUCGUGAUCGUGUGUCAAAGAAGGGAGAACAACAGUGUAGGGAUAUGGCAAAGCUGAGCACUGCCUUUUUUUAGAGAAGAGACUUCAAAUGUUUUUAAUGCAAAGGUUGCUUCGCUAGGGGCACACAAAAGCUGAAUGUGUGAAUACUCCCUUAUUGGUUUGCUUGGAGCGAGAGCGAAACAGACGAGGAUGAUGAUGCAGAGGAAGUCUCUGGAUUCGUAGCAUUUGUGAUAAAGAUGAGACGCUUCAUUCGGACAAUUGCUUUGCUAGUGAAACAAAUUUGCUGCUUUACUCAAGCCCACACCCUCAAGGGGUUACUUCGUCACCUCCGUCAAACCCGCGUCAAAGCCCCUCGUCAAAGACCUACGUCAAAGUAGGUUGCUUCGCCACCUCCGUCAAACCUCCGUCAAAGGAGGCUGCGGGAGGCUACGGGGCUGCGGGAGGCUGCGGGAGGCUACGGGGCUGCGGGAGGCUGCGGGGGCUACUUCGCUGGGAGUGUGCGCUUAUGCUGAAGAAAGAAAGCAGGUCCAGGUUCAAAGCGUAAAACGGUGAAACCAAAGGCUUCUUCAACUCGAAGAAAAAGCAGGAACGGAAAGAACUUUACUUCCUGGUGAAGCAAUUUUCAGGAUAGAAUUCUGCCAGCUUAGGAAUCUGAACAUAAGCAGUAGAGCGAGGGCAUAGAUUACUCUGGUCAUGCCACCCCAGCAAUUCCAAGAAUUAAUGCAAGCAAAGCAUAGGAGUGUGAUUUCUCGUUUACCUUCUUUUGCUCUUAGGAAUAAAGGUAAAAAGAAAAGCAGUGUGCUGGACAGCACCUUUCCUACGUUUGAAAACGAAUUGCCGGUACUCCACUUAGACUUCUGCACCUGACCUAGUGGCUGAAGAAGGAUCUCCCUCAAGUGAUUUGCUGCUUCCUCCCCGACGUAGGUUUGACGGAGGUAUCAGUCUCGUUGCUAAAGCACCUUCGGACCUCUUUUUUCGUCUAUUCUUUGGUUAAAGCUAAAAAUAUUUCUUUUCAUUUUGGAUCAUUCAGUAGCUCAGACUGGAACUUGAGAGCUAUAACCUUUUUUCCUUAAUUUCUUCCGUUGCCGUAUCUUGCAUAUAUAAGAUCGAGAUAUCUCUAGUAUUCAUAAUCCAGGAUUUCGCCAUACUCUUACACCUUACCCAGAUCUUAUAACUUAUAAUAAGAUCAUCUAGGCUAGGACGAGGCAGACUACCAUCAAUAAAAGAGCGCUUCAGUCAACAUAUACAAAGUCCAGCAUAGUUAGAUCCAUUAAGAGUUGAGCCAGACCCGGAUGAUCACCGAAGAUAAUAAGGGCUAGAAACAUUAUCUGGUGAAUCUGAGACAACGAAGCUGCGAUCGGCAACACAAACCAUUGGAGUGUGCUGGGGAGGAUCUGAGCUGUAGAAACCCUUGAUCCACUAGGUAAGGUUACUUCCAGAGCGGAGUAUGCUCAGGUGAAACUGGUGGUGAUGCCGAUCUCUUCUUUCUCGAUUUCUAGUUCCGUUUCGCCAUUGUUGAGGAAAAAAAGUGAUCCGAGACUCAACAAAUCGAAGAGAAAAGGAAAACUUUGUUGAUUCAGGAACUGUGAAACGGAAAGUCUCACCAGAAAGUAAUUGCACUCUCUUUGAAGAGGGUCUUCCCUUUGUAAGCAAAGGUAAUAAAUGCUCAAUGAGGAAAGAUUAUGAAUUUAUUCUUUCAUUUCGGCUUAACAUCUCUUAAUAAUUGUUUCCCUGUUUUUAAUACAAAAUUUGAGGUGAAGCCUUCUCUAAUGCUACGUGUCUUCAUCUUAGCAGAUCUCUAAAGCUUGGAGCGUAUGGUAACGGUUAGAAGUGGGAUUUGAGCCGCUGUACUGUGGCAGAGAAUGACGUCGCUGUACGUUCAUGGCUUCAGCUCUGGUUUUGUUUUAAGUGAUAAAUAAGACAGAGGAUACUUUGGGCUUCGGUUUGUAGACAAAACUCGUCUUGGGCUUAUGUCUUGUAGUCAUAGGAGAGCUGAGCCUUGUGUUGGCCCAGUUUUGGUUCAUUUAGUGAAACAGUGUCGUUUUGAGUUGUAACCGGAAAUAUCUCCUUCUUCCUUUGACUGUCGAUCUCAGUGUGGGUGGCUUAACGAGAUGUUAGGGCUAAUGUUAGUAUGUAGUGAUGUGCUGUUGAAGGUAGAUACACUUUAUACCUUCUUCCUGAAGCAGACGAAGCGAGCUGGAACGUACAAGGAAAGAGAAGAUGCCUCCUAAUCUACUUAUGGAUGUCAGAGUUGAUGGUCGAGCAUAGGUCCAUUAGCAGAUGGAAAGAAGAUUCUGCUUAGCGACACUGCAGAGUCAGAUCGGCCCCUACUAAUGAGAAGGCCUUGAAGGAAGUGAAGAUUGAGGCUUUCAGGGUUUAGUUAAGACUUUGCCGGUGACUCUUUUCCUCUCGCUUCGUAAAAAGAAAACUCUUCCAUACUAAGAUUAAUGAGAUUUUCCGGUAUACUUCCCAGUCGACUAUGUGAACAGCACAAAGCAAAGUUUUACCCUUUAGUGUCCAAUGAUAUCAAUGGUAUCUUUCUGUUUGUUACCAAACAGGAGGGAAGCUUUAUGGUUUCGUAGGUUUUCUUCUACUUUUUCUUCUACUUUAGGGUUUGAUAGAAUCGUCCGCUAUUACAGACUUUGAUUAUCUGUGGGGCAGUGCGUUAGACAAAGGAAGUAGCAAGGAAGAUGAAGACCGGAUAUUAAAAGGAAUAUUUCACAAAGCCGAAGCAUUACAAGCAUACAUAAAAGAGGAAGCCUACCGUAGACCCCCACACAAGACAAAGUUCACUAAUAACAUAGUACGUGAACACAAAAAGACAUAGAAAUAGAACAAAAGGAGAACAAAGAAAAGCCAUGCAGUACUUUGGGUCGACCGGACUCCUUAUUUAAAUAUUAGAAGAGAGUGGUUCUAGUCUCCCUGGCGCUGGAGAGCGUGUUCGAUAGUACACACAAUUAGGUAGUUCCGCUCCUGCAGGAGACCAGAAAUCCUUUGUUGCAGGCCGCGAAUGCGGUCCCGUAAGACUUGCAUCCUUGCACCCACAAAUUCCGGGUCCAGAGCAGGCGGGUGCUCCCAGAACAAGCCCAGCAUUUCCUCCCAGUGGAGCUUUGCGUUUUCCGCGGCUUCGAUUUCUUGUGGAAUGGUCGCCAGCCUGUUAUAGAUCUCCAUAUCAUCCAUCUCUCUUAACUUUCGACUUCUAAGUGUUCUCAAAUAUAGACGGAAAGCUGCUUCUAUUUAUAGGCAGGCUAGUCUUCUUAUCUUAACUUAAUGAGUCUUCUUACGUAACACGUUUAAUAUGGAACACCCUUUAGUCCGCUGAAGAAUUAAUUAAGUACGCUGAAGACUUUAAAGGCCCCAUCCAUCAAAGAGUUCUUUUUGGCGGGUAUUGCCACGCGGCUUAAUACCGAUCACUCCCUCAGAAAGAAGAGGCAAUAAUAGAACGCACAGUAGAGAGUACUCCCCCGCGUUUCUCGCAAAGCCCAGAGCACUCCUUACUCGACAGCUCCUGACCAGAGUCCUCGUUGGCCCUACUUGCAUUAGCUCUGCCUGCUCAGAGCUCGCUUUUCUUUGUCUAUUUUUGAUUGGCUGAUUCCCAGGUACAUAAAAGCCCUCGGCCAAUCCUUACUCGACAGCUCCGUCCUUUCUUAGGUGAGCUAAGACCGAAGCUAGCUCUCUUGAAUUUCCCCGGAAAGACGGAACCUUUCCAGCUCACUCUGUCAGUCCACUAAGACGCGUAUAGAGUAAAUGAGCACUAGCAAUAACUUUUUCAGUACAAUAAGUCCCCUUCUCCACGACCACUUUUGUUUUUGGGCUUUCUUGGAUUCGUUUCCCCAGUAAUUCCAUUUUGGACUCGGAGGCUUUUCCAUUGGGCUCAGUAUCAUAAUUAUCCCAAAAGCCCCCUCUCCUCUAGCUUGCUUCUUUAAAAAACAAAGCACACUGCUUGUUAAUGGGCUUAUAUGGAUCAAAGCAUUAGAUAGAAUGCUAAGUCCAAUUCCUCAAUAUUCUUCUUCUUCAGUGGCCCAAGCAAGAUCAUCUAUCAGAGAGGAUAGGGUCCAAGGUCUGACUCUUAGAUAUAUCCCCUACUACGAGUUACUCCGUACCUCUGCCUAUUACUGAACAAUUACCUAAUGAGUGCGGGUAGCAUAAGACAAGGUGAGCAAAGAGAGGUCUCAAAAAGUAAAAAGACGGGUUUUACUUUUUGACACAGUUUUGCCCUCGUAUCUAGAAAAGGAUAAUUUACGGAAAUAGUAAAAGAUAGGACCUCCUAACUUUCCUGCUACGAGUGAUUAAAGACGGGGUUUACUCUAAAAAAACGUCAAAAUAUUGUACGGGAUUCCAUUCCCCGGUUGGUUUGUUUAAUCAAACAAGAGAAAGCACCUCUUUUCCAAAGGCAGACUCGGCUGUAAACAGAACAGAAUUAUUACUAAAAGGAUGUUAAUGACUUAUGGCUCCUGUCUUAUUUUUCUGAUAGGGAAACGGAAAUCCAUAACUAGGGAUCCUCCUACGUGGACAUAAAGGGAUUGGAGACAGAGAAAGUGAUUGUGCUAAUACUAUAAUGGUUCGCUAGUUGCUCUCCCUUGUUCUCUAGGUUCGGUAACCUGGGUAAAGGCUGCCUUGCUUCCCGUUGUGGAAUCUUUUCUAAUCCUUUUGGCCGCUUCUUUCCACUCGGACCAUAGGGAAGUCAGAACGGAAACCAACAAAGGACAACACAAACAGUCUAUCUCGGCAGGAGCAGAGCGGCUACGCAAACCGCCUGGCUAUUCAUAUUCCGACCUGAGGAGUAAGACUCUCGCAGCUACUCAGGGUAUUGAGCUACUACUAGGGAGGCUCCGGAGCUUUAACCAAAGGAGAGAAAAGUACCUACACCGGUUUAUACAACACCGGUUCACAGACUCAACUAUACAAUUCAUCACAAUCACAGAUGCAACUAUACAAUUCAUCACAUUACAUCACAAAAUUCCCCCGGGAUCAAAUAGAGAUCAAACCCAUCUUACUUACCAAGUUGUGGAAAGGAGUUGGAUGUAAUGCCUUUGUGAGAACAUCUGCAAUUUGUAGAUCAGUUCGGAGAGAAGCUUGAAUAGACCUGCAACCAACUUCUAACACACAGUCGAUCUCUAUAUGUUUAGUACGCUGAAAACAGGAUAGCAAGAUGUCUGGCAGCAGUGUUAUCACAAAAGGGAGGAGCAGAAGAACUCAUUUGAAUGCCAAGUUCCUGCAAGAAAUUUGUGAGGCAAACCAUUUCACUUACAGCAGAUGCAAGGCUUCGAUAUUCUGCCUCUGCAGAAGACCUGGAGACAGUAUGCUCUUUCUUAGAGCGCCAAGAAACCAGAGAGGAACCAAUGAACAGAAGCCAGUUACAGAGCGCCGUGUGUCGGGACAAGAAGCCCAGUCAGAAUCAGCAAAAGCCUUGAGCUGAAGAUCAGAUGUAGCAGAAUAAAAAAGACCCUGCCCAACUGUCCCUUUCACAUAGUGUAAAACCUUGUAAACUGCCUGCAUCUGGGCUGUACGAGAUGCUGAUGAGAACUGGCUUAACCUGUUGACAGCAAAAGUGAGAUCUGGACGAGUAAUAGUCAGAUACAUCAACCUGCCAAUAAGCCUACGAUACAACUCUGCAUCAACCAGAUCACCACCAGAAUCCUUAGACAGAGAUUAGGUUCCAUAGGGAUAGAAGAGGUCUCAGCGAGCCAACAAACCUGUCUAGAUCCAGAGCAUAUUUGCGUUGACAAACUGAAAUACCCUCUGUAGACCGAGCAAUUUCAAGCCCAAGGAAGUAAGAGGACCGAGGUAUGAAGUUGCAACUGAUCUUCGAGAGUGUAUCAGCUGGAAAAAUAGCUUCUCUGCGCCAAGGAAAUCCGGAUCUCUCUACAUACUAUACGAAAAGCCUCUUUCUUCACAAAGCUGGACCUUCGUUCGGGCUAUUGGAAAGUCAGAAUUACAGAAGGAAACGAGCCUAAAACCACUUACUUCUGUUACCAGAUAUGGCUUUACGAGUUCCUUGUCAUGCUGAUAAGAGGCCAGUCGAUGAGGCUCUUGAACAAGUUCCCGGCGAAGUUAGCCCUAUAAGCUAACCGCCUGCCAUGUCUACCCCGAAGGUAUCUUUGGUGCUGUUGUUCCUAAAAGUCUCUUCUUUAACUUUGUUUCCACACUUCCCCUGCUUUGUUGUUUCAGAAUUGAGAGGCACGAAAUAGCCCCCAAAAAAAGGCGAAAUCCACUAUUUCAUCAAUCAAAUUUUCGUUCGAGGGUUGAAAGCGCCAGAACUUUUGAAGAGUUUUCGCCCCAGGCCUGUCAUCCGGGGGAUCUCUUUAUGCUCGUCCACUCGGGGAUGACCCCUACUGAUCUCUCUCAUCGGAUCGAAUCGAAUCCACUCCUGAACUCCAGAAGCAAGAACGGACGGAUGCCCGAAGAGUUCUACCGUUGACGACAGCAGCGGGAAUGGAUUUCAAAUAGCAGCUGCUAACGACCACCGAGAAGGGCGAGUCAAGACUUCCAGUUUUAUGAAAUAGAAGAUCCAGAUCUUGGAGCACCUAAUCAACCAGUUGAGGAAGAGGAACGAAGGUACUCAGCCUCCUGGGGCAAGUGGGAGCGACACACUGAAUGAACCAACUCCAAUGGAGCAGGAUCAAGAAGAAGUGAAGCUACGUAAAAGUGAGCGUGGUAGAAUCUCUCGUCGUCGAUUUGAGAUUGAGGGAGAUCCGGGGAAUCUUAUUCUGUCACCCAAAACGACCACUCCUUCUGUCGGAAAAAGGACUUGCCCUAUAUUGAAAUGAAAUCGAAACGAAUGGAACGCGACAGAGCACUCCCUAUCAUCAGGUAGUGCGCGCCAUUCAGAACUAUGAUAUCGUCUUCUAGUCUAUUCGGCAGGUCCAAGUUGUUUUGGUCUUAUAAGCUCAGGUUCUUGAGUUUUGGGAAUUUCCUUCCAUUGGCUGGUUAAAAUUCAAUACGGAUGGUGCUUCCAAGAGGAACCUUUUCUUGCAUGGUGCUGCAACGGGACAUUCUGGUAAGUCGGGUGCUGGUGGCCUUCUCCGAGACUGUUCAGGAACAUGGAUCUAUGGGUAUACCUGCAAAAUAGCUUUCUCUACGAGCCUACAAGCUUCACUUUGGUUUAGCUUCCAACUAAGGCUAAGGGAGUUGUUUCCACGGGAUUGAGUGAACGAGCUCAUAGCCCUCCACCCGUACCACAAAAGCGCUAAUUUAUAUAAAAAAGACCGGGAAAACGUGAAUCUAUCCCGAACAUUUCCUAAAAUACUGGAUAAACUGACUCAGAUCGGUCUCCCUCAAUCGAGAGGCUCGCUUGCUUCACUUCAACUUCAUAGAAGAGGGAAGGAGCUAUGCAUAGGGGUGAUUCCGGUGGAGAUGGAAUGAAUGCAUUGACAGUUCGGUCUGAUCCGUCUUAUUCGUAUAUCUUAUUAUGGGAUAUUUGCCUUAACGGAAUCAUUAGAAGGCUUUGGGCGGGGAAACCCAACUGCAAGACCAGAGGCUACUGAAAGGAAGAUACUAUCUCUUCUUGAGCUUCCGAUUGACAUACCGAGAUUGAUUCAAUGAAAGUCCCUAGCGCAGGUGAGACCUAAUUCUAUGUUUACUUUUCAUUCAAAUCAGCUUCCUGAUGACUAAAGAAGACUUUUAUCCUGGCGGUUGUUGGUCCAACGACUCUUCUUCUUUCUUUUGAAAUAUCGUAAGAGAAGAAGGUUGACAAGAAGAAUAAUUUGUCUCCUGUGAUUGUAGUUCAAUCGGUCGUUUGUCUCUAGAAGAAAGAAGCCUACUUGUAGAAGAGAAGAAGCGGGGUAGAGGAAUUGGUCAACUCAUCAGGCUCAUGACCUGAAGAUUACAGGUUCGAAUCCUGUCCCCGCAUAAAGAACAAACAAACAAUAGAAAAAAUAAAAAAUGGGAUUUGAAGAGUCAAAGUCAAAUAAAUGAUCAUUCGGUGGGGACUGCUCCGCCGACAUUGGAACGAGGCCAACCGCUGCUUAUCACAACCUCUGGUGCCGGUGGAGGUUUGACCUCGGCGCCGAUGAGGAUUAACUAUGUGAGGAUUAAGGUGUCGGACGUCAUCCGCAACGUAAAGAUCGUGGUGCACAGUGUGUACUUGCCAUUUCCACAUAUUAAUCCUGUGGCUGCGGCUUACGAAGUAUCCUAGGAGGCUCAGAAGUCUCAGGAGGAGAUCAGACGAUGGAAGGAAGGAUUUCGAUCUUCGAUCUUCGUUACCAUUCCAAAGUUAAUUAUUUAGCUUUCGAUUAAGUGAGUGUUUGUUUGCUCAGACUCAGACUAAAAUGCGACUCUAUGCCUUCCCGGUAGAAAACGACCUCUGUGGCGGGAUUUACCAGGUCAAAUUCAACGGGACCCUAGCCUGCAGUCGUCAACCGGUCCGCUUCCUUGAAUGAGAGUAGGUCUUCCCGAUCCACGAAUACUGUCUGUUGUCCUUUACUUGUUUAGUGGCAUCUGGAAUUGUCUGUUUCGGUAUUCACUCUUGUAAAGGGCCGCGAACUAAGCUAAGCGCUUGGCUUGUCUUCUUAUAGGGUCCCAACCGACCAGUACAUUCAAUAUCGAAAUCCGUUACUGUUACAGAAGAGAAUUAAGAUAACAAGGCUUGGAGUAUCUAAAACUAAGUCCAGCGAACUGGAAGUCUCUUCAGACUCCCUCAUUGCUUGGCUAUCGAAGUGGACUUGUACCUUUUUCGCGUGCGUCGACACGACAAUGCUUACCUUUCUAGCUUUUACCCUUCUUCUCCGGAAGGAAUAGAAAGAAGACAACUAGAAUAAGGGGAACUACUCUAUAUAUUACAGCAGGAGAAAUUCCAACAUGAAAGAAAGCAGGCGGUGCACUUAAAUCUAAAUAGGGUGAGAAAGCUUGGCUUGGGAUUGGGAUUGUUGACUCAUCAUGAUAGGGCAUGAAUUGCGUAUAGAUAAGGUCGAGUUCAUUAAGUUGAGACAGCUGUAGGCUCAAACCAAACUGACGUGUAAAGAGCCCUAGUUGAAAUAAACCCUGGUGAAUCUUUUGGUGUCUUAGGGUAGGAGUAAGUGGAGGUUAGGUAACCCAGCCAGAGGAUUCCGUUAGCGGGUUGAUUCCGAGCUGGUAAUCGAACAGGUCACCAAUCGUCCUCGAAAGGGCGGUUCAAGCGCAUGAGUUCAGAGGUCUAUAGAUCGUGAUCUGAAUAUAAAGUGGAUUCCAGGGGCAGCUGCUUCUAUAAACACAAGAAAAGGUCUUGUGGACUUACGGAUUGAUAACUUGCCAGUACACGCUGAGCCUCGUCGAUGAGAUGAGGUACCUCAUUUAGGAUGACUAUUGGAAACGCGCGGUGCCGCGUUAGGUUAGGGAGCGGGGCUCAUUUCAUCGAUCAUUUCUGCACGAGCAAAGCUCAAUAGUACAUAUAGAUUCAGAUAGCAUAAUAAACUAAGUGAACAUGGCUAAAAUUAAAAUUGAUAAACAAGAGCAUAAGAUUGCCUACGUCACCAUAAAACUCGACACAGAAAUUCAUAAGUAAAAGCGGCGUAAGUUACUAACAUGCCACAUGCGAGGGACAGAACUGCCAUUGACAGCCUCCAGGCAGUAGCUCCCAGCUCGGCUUGCUUCUACUACCUUAUAGGGUCCCCCCCAGUUAGGAUCUAACUUGCGCUUUCACUUAAGUAAGGAAAGUCCUAUUCUAAAAGAAAAGUAGAUUUCUCCCUAGAUGCUUGGAAAUUUUAAUUACUCCACCACUUCGCCCGGUGAACUUCUAACCAUCCUUUUCUAGAGAAGAAUAGCUAUCUUUCGUCAGAAUUGAUUUCUUUUAUACCCGAGUGAAUUGAAGCAUUCCUUUAUGUGGGAACGUCCAUCUCUAGCGUGGAUAAGCCUGAAGGUCCUACUAAGCGGUCUAACUCGACUCCCCUUUCUAGGGAGAUGUGGACGAAGGCUACUUGAGCUCAUUCUCACAUUUCGGGGUAAGAGGCUAGGCUAGGAAUAGGGUACAGAGGCGUAGGGGGAAUGAAAGAAUUUGCUUAGUCAUAAUAGUGCUUUCAAAGUGAAAGGAUAUAAAGUAAUUAAUUCCUCUGCUUGCAAGCUACCUAUGAUUUUCUUCGUCACCAACCAUUUCCGCUGACUCAAGCAUGGCAUCUUUCCUCAAGCCCCUGGCAUUUCCAGGAUCGAUAGGUGCAUCCCCUCCUCAACCCUAUUUUCUUAUACAGCCUAUCAGUUAUUGAAUAAGAAAUAGGCACCUCGGCUAAAGCCUGACUAUGCCACCGGUCGUUCUAGCAUAGUCACUGAGACCCAACUUGCGUACUCGGAUUACUUCAGGCGGCCCAUUGGAAAAUAUACUUCUACCAGGCCUACUCAAUCCUAUCUUAGGAAGCCCGCAUCUCUGUGUCAAACCUUUUUGAAAAGGCUCUACUUGAAUUGAAUAAUAUUUCUUUAUUCCGACUUCGCCAAUGAAAGAGGGUAGUUGAAUAGACCGAUAUAUCUAGAAAGUGUGGAGUGAGUGAAUGGUGGAAAAAAAGUAACUGGCACCGCCCCUUGCUGGAUAGAAUAUCGAGAUGCACAUGGGAUUGGGGUGCUCUCUAAGUGAGGGGCCGUGGAACUAUAGCUUAGAUAGAAAGGUUUUUUAGGCCGGACAAAGGUCUAGGUUAAGUCCGGAGAGAAGGCUUGAUGAACACCACCUCCUGGUUAGUGAUUGGGCACAUGCUUCCUUUACGGCGUAGAAUCGGCUUCUUUUUUUGACGUAUCAGAAAGGGCCUCUCUUCUACCGCCCGAAGUUUCUAUUUAUGCAAGUAUCUUCACUUCAAUACCCCAGCCUAUACAUUUAAUGAUAACCGAACCCAAGCAAGGAGCUUAAAUCUUGUCUAUUUCCUUGAAUGGUCGGGUUGGAAAUUAUUUUAUGUGCCAACGCAGGCCUAUCACCUAAUCUCCACUGCGAAAUCCUUUGUUGGAAGGCUUGCUGAUUUACACCUCUCUCCGCCGCUUCUUAACAGUUGACUCUGCGCUGCGAGAUUAGCACUUUCUUAGUUACUAACAGAUAUAUCUUUUCCGCGCGAGCUAGUUCAACAGUUCAUUCUUGUAAGCCCCCUUGUCAGCCACACUAAGACUUCGGGUCAUCAUUACCUCUGUUGAAGGAAUAAGCCCGGCUAUUUCAGCUCUGGGAGGAAGGACUACUUUUUUCACCGCGAAUUGCCUUUGAUGCAAAACCAUAUACCGAUCCUGUUAAGUCUUGAAUUUACUUCUGAUGUCCUGGCUGCCCCUUAAGCCUGGAAGAAGAGUGACUCGGGAAGAAAUCUCCUGCUGGAGAGGUAUAUCCGGCCCUUCUACGAAGCCUCAACUGCAACUGAGACUGAUAAUAGGAGCAGUAUUUUUAAAUUGAAUUGCUGGUGCCGGUUGGUUAAAGGCAUGGGGACUGCUUUCAAUUGGACAGCUAACUAACAAUCGAUUCCCCAUAAACAAAUAGUUAUGAAACAUUGGAUUGGAUGCCUUUUAAACAAGGAAAGUAAAGACAGCUAAGGUAAGUAUUCCCCACAUUGAAAGAUAUCUAUUUCUUUCUUCUGUUCCCUUUGUCUAAUAAGAUGGGACUGCAGGAAAGUAAGUGGAAAGUAAGAACACAGUUGUUAGCUUAUAGCGGGGAAGAAAGAACUAGCUCGACUGAAAGGAGAGGUCCAAGGUAAUUUAUUACUCUUAUAAAAGAGGGAACUCGAGCAUUUAUUGCGAGAGGGAAAGCUUAGAGUUCCACUCCAGGAGAAGUAGCUUAUGGUAGGGAUUAUAGGUAGGCUGGCUAAGGAGUUGCUCCUGGAAAGGUAGCAGCUUGGUCCCUUGAUUGCGGGGUUUCAAACCUCAUACCAAGAGAAAGAUUCCAAACCAGCAUACGCAAAGCAAAGAGCGGAAAGGUGCUUUGUACCUCAUUUCGCUAAGCAGCGAGAAUUGUACUGAAGCUCUCUUUCAAACGCCCGCCGAUCGUACUACUUCAUUCUUAGUGUGCUGACCAGAUACCCCCACCCUGAGCUAAGAGCCAUAGCAAGAGAUAUAGCGUUGGCUGUAGGCUUAGUGAGCUCAUAAACUGGCGAAUCAAUUCAUUUGAAAGAGAAAGUCGGGUCUAGCUGAUUCCCGAGUUGACCAAUGAUAGAUAGGUAGGAAUGGCAGGACCUAAACGAGCUAGGCUUCGUUAGCCAGUUCUCCUUUUAGAAGCUAUUCUUAAUGCCGCUCGGGCUCCCUUUUUUAAGGGAUUCCAUCGCUCUUGGAACAGAUGAUAUAAGAUCUUACUAAAAUAAAAAAAGUAUGAAAAUUAAAUAUACAGAUAUACUCUAUACCGGUAUACAGCAAUAACAAUGUCAGCCAAUUAGCAAAGAUCAAGCGAACUCACUCAAGCGUACUACAGCUUUUCCGUCUUUCUUCCCUAAGCGCAAUAGCCCCUUGAAUGGAUAGGAUAUAAUUAGUGCGCUUGAAAGAGAUUUGGCUUAGUGAAAAUUCCUAGUCUUACUCAUCUCAGAUGCGGGAUUACCAAUGUCACGAUUGGAAUUAGGAAAGGAAGCUGUGGCACUUCUUACUUUAUAUGAGGAAGGGGUUAAAUCACUAGCAAUAGUAGACACGCUACGAUCUGCUAGACAGGAGCAGUACAGGAAGCAUCGAAUGCCAUGGUUCUUGUUACAGACUAGGCUGCAAGUGAGAGUGAUAGAAUCAGCUCAACUGGGAAUGUUGCCGAUGCCGAUACCGGAGCUGCUAAAGGAAGCAGUAGCAGUACAACCAUUAAAUUGAAAUGGAAUUGCACAUUCAUCUUCCUCUAUCAAUUCAUUUCUUUUGUUUGAAUAAGCUAUUAAGGUGCCUAGGACACUAGUAGACACCCAGAAGGAGUUGUAAGGGAGAACGGAAAUUUAAGAUCGGACGAUUUUCAACAGACAAGAUCAGAUCGUAGAAUAGAGAAGGAUUUGCUGCCGCUACUGAAUCAGAGUCCACGGUGCAACAAUUUCUCAUCUGCUCACGAAUUGGAUUCGAACCAAUCAAGCUACUUGCCCUUUAGUAGAUCGUGAGUGGGUCAGUCGUCCUCCUCAUUAUAGUCCUCCUAAAAUCAAUAGCAUUUCGUCGGAAUACAUCCUGUCUUUUCACCUUAGUAGUCCUAUGCAUAGUCAGUACUAUAGCCCCAAUCAUGGCUACUAAUAAAAUAAGACUAGGAACCAAAAACCAGACAGAAUAGUAGGUAUAAAGUAAAUUGCCCAAUGUUUCCAAAUUAGUCCAACUUCGUACCUUUCCGGCAUAAACCGUAUAUCUAAGAGAGGUCGUAUUUCUUUGGGUUGGUAGUAAUGGAAUGCUUUCAUUAUCUAAAAUGAAAAACAUUUCCCACCAAAAGAUCAGUCCAAUAAUCCCACUCACUGGUAAAUAGCGCAAUACUUCUUCGUGAAUCUCCGCUAUUUGAAUAUGGAACAUCAUAACAACGAAAAGGAAUGAAACGGCUAUAGCUCCUAUAUGAACUACUGGGAAGAUCAUAGCGAAGAAGUCGAGACCUAACAAAAGAAGUAAACCUGAAGUGUCGCGAAAGACUGGGAUGGGAAACAAAACGGAAUGUACCGGAUUUUUAGCACGUGCAACCAUCAAACCAGAGACCAAAGCAGGGCUCGACAAAACAGAAAGUAUCAUGGUACCGUCGUCCUUCCCUGAAAUGGAACUUUCAUGCUAGUUCUUGCUUCAGCAUGAAAGUCGAUCUAUUACGACCAGCGCGGUUGUUCCUAUUUCAUUUUCUUCUUCCAAGCCCUUCUUUCUUAGAAAGCACUCACUGAGUUACUUACGGAAUCUCAAUGCAUCCAUUUAAUGCAUUCUUUUCGAUCUUGUACCCACAGAGCGGUAGACUGAACACCACAAAAAUAUCGAUUCAAAAAAAGGUACAUGCAACUAAACCUGUGAACUCAGAUAGCCUUGUGGUAUGGUAGCGAGAUCCAAUCUUGAGUGAAAAAGAUACCGCGGCUUCAAUCUUUUUCAACAUAAUCAUCGCGCAGUAAAUCAACAAAGCCCAAAGUUGACUCUCUGUCUCCUUCAAGUUUACCUACUACUGUACCCGCGUGAAUAUGAUCUCCACCAGAUAGACGUAAAGCUUUAGCUAGUACACGGAAGUGCAAACCAUGAUUCUUCUGUCUAUCAAUAACAGCAUGCAUUGCACGGUGGAUGUGAAGAAGUAGGCCAUUAUCUCGAAUGAGCCAAACUAGUAUUUGCGGUGAAUCCCCCUGUUAAGUAGUCAUGCAUUACGAUAGGAACUCCCAAUUCUCUGGCAAAUACAGCUCUUUUGAUCAUUUCUUCGCAUGUACCCGGAGUAGCAUUCAAAUAAUGCCCUUUGAUUCCACCUGUUUCAGCCUGUGCUUUAUAAACAGCUUCGGCACAAAAUAAGAAACGGUCUCUCCAACGCAUAAAUGGUUGGGAGUUCACAUUCUCAUCAUCUUUGGUAAAAUAAAGUCCACCACGUAGACAUUCAUAAACUGCUCUACCAUAGUUCUUCGCGCCAAACCAACAAUCUGCACGCUUAGCCGCAUUGUUCAUCUUGCCUUAACCCUACCCGAAGGAAGGCUAUGAAUUGAGCUAACGCCCUCUGUAACAGCUUAAAUGAUAUAGGAGGGGGUUGAUCCUCGAUUUGAUUCUCGUGUUGCGAGUGUCGUGUCUCGCGUUUUGAAUUCAUUUCGAUUGGGAAAGUGAGCCGAUCCAGACCUAAUUGAUCUGGUUUCUGAGAGCACUGACAAGGCUAAACUCGCCGGUUGAAGAGAGCACUGAAUCAUUCGAAAGGGGAAGCCUCGACUGGAAUCCCUGCUAUAAAGGGCAGCGGAGGAAUACCUACAGAUUGCUCGCCUUAACCUUAAGAUUGCUAGAAAAUAUCUAAUGCAGGAGAAUAACUAACAAUUUAUGUGGAAUACUAUUUCAUUUCGGGGGUAACGACUUUAAAACUUGCCUAUAGGAUCGCUUGACCUAGAACCUGUUUACACUGGUCCUGCUGUGAAAGCUCUAUUGAUAGGAAACAUUCUAGCCAAUUUUAGAGGAACGAUUCCCUUGUCUGAGAACCGCCAUUCCCGCACUAUUCCUCCCCACAUUGAGAAUCUCGAUAACUCCAAAUUAAGAAGUGAGCGAAUCCCAAAGCUCUCUUCUUUCCCCCUUUUCACCUUUAAUUGGUGAAAGUCUAAAAUCUGAUGUGAAUAGAAGAAAAAGAAAGAAGAAAGAUAGGCGGACGACUUUACUAUAGUAUAGGUCGAAAAAACCGUGAGCAGUAAGCAACGGAUCUCCCCUUCUUUUGGGAAAGCAGGUGGCCGCGUGUGAAUUCUUUCAAGGCAAGGGGCGGCCUGAUUUCGACAUUGUUGUUUCACUCUGAUCCGGUCGAGGUGGUUUUCGUUUACCAGCGCGUAGGUGGUCUAAGUUCCUAUGACCGAGUCUUUCUGGCCCCUGUGAACAUCUUUUCUUAAUGUAUUAAAGAGGGCCUCUCUAACCGGUGAAAAGUAGUGGGUGUCCACUAACGGCCGUUCCCGGCUCGGCUCCGAUAACGAAAUUCCGGGAGGAGUCGGUAGUUGGGCACUGGAUCCCUUCGGACCUGGAGAACGUGUGACGCUGGGUAGGGGUUUGGUGAACCAACUGGUCGCUCCUCUAGUUGAAGUAUCGGGCCCCUUUUCGUUGCCUAGGUUACACCUUCGGAAUACCCCAGAAGGGAAUUUAUCUCUACUUCCCUAAAUCUUCACUUGAUGCCACGCCGACUCUCCUUUCGUCAUAAGGCGUGGAAUUAGACCAAGGGGAAUCUCCAUAGAAACAGGUCCCUCUGAUUUCGCGCGUAGGAGAUCGAGACACAGCCCAAGGGCUAUGGAGAAAGAUGUAGAUCGAUCGCCCUAGAUAGACAACUACAUAGAGGGUCUUUACAAGUCUAUAUAUUCUUUGAUUUCGUUCCCCCCCCCGUAAGAUCAAUAUCACAACUAAUGAGGUCUUAAAGUUUCACAUCUAAGUAAUACCCGAUCCGAUAGUUUACAAUAUAAAUAGAUAUUUAUCUAUUUAACAACAACAUUCUAAAAAAAGAUAUUAAUUGAUAUCGGUAGUUGUCCGGUCGUACCCAAACAAUAAUAUUCCAGAGGAAAAUGCACCUAAGAUCAAAUAUUUCGAGCCGGCUUCCGUGGAAAAUUCAGACUUUCUUUUUGAUGCUGCGAUUACAUAAAAACAUAAACUUUGAGGCUCAAUAGCUAAAUACAUGGCAAUUAAAUCAUGAGCCGAGAUCAUAAAGAGCAUACCGCGAGUAGGAAGUGGAAUUAAUACAAUGAAUUCAAAAGCAUCAAACCUCUCUUGGUCGGAAGAAUCGAAACACAUCGAAAUGGUACCAGCCGUACUUAAUAAUAGAAAGAUUUGGCAGAAAUAUGUAAAAUUGUCCCUCCUAAAAAGAUUAUUCCAGAAUAAAUGGGCAAUAGUUAGGAGAGGUGCGCCAGCGGCGAGCAGAAGCAAGGUUAUUAGAUACCUCAGGAAAGCCCGGCCAGAACCACACGUGCAAGUUUCCCUGCAUGUGGCUCGUCCGUGAUAACUUCUUCGGAUUUGCGUGAACUAGCAGACCGAUCACUAAGUGGAAAAAACCCUCCAGCAUAAGCGAACCUUUUCUCCACUGGUUAGGAAUGGGCUAAGAGAGGAAGCCAAACAAACCGACCUAUUAAGCACAGCUAAGCUAAUAUGCGCCGGGGAAAGCCAGGUGCCGGAGGUAAGCUUUAUUCGGCCCGGAGCAUUGAUUCCCCAUAACGAAUAGGCUAGCUCUAUCUUUCAAUUGCCUAUCCUGUGCUCGAGAAGGUCUCCCAGUUCCUCGGCAGCACCUCGGGGUGCAUUUAGUUGUCUUACAUGAGACUCGGGAUAUUCCUCACCCCAUGGCACCUUUUGCUCAUCCAUUCCGCCCGCCCGUACAGACGCGGCGCCCUUUUUCAUUAUCAUCUACCGCCCUUUCUUUCCUCCCGGCUAUUCACGCAUGAAGAUCGUCCUAUGUAUGCUUUACUUCGGUUGCCGGUGCUAUAGGUAGGAGUACAUUAUGGCAGGAUCAGUCACCCGGGCAAACCAACCCCCCUCCAAGAGGAAUUGUGCUAUGCCCCCCCCGAUCCCUAUAGAGCGAAAGAGCUGCCUGGUGAUCCCUAGGUUGCAGCACGUCCGGUCGUUAACUCCUCGCGCCGUUGCCGCCGUUUCUAGGACCGACCGACGCCUCACCUGCACUGGUACCUACGUAGUGUCGGUCGCACAUUCAACAUAGCGUUCGGACUCAUGUGCCUUCCAGAACCAGGGGGUCUUCGAGCCUGCUGCGUACGAUUAGCCAGCCUUGCGGCGGCAAAAGGAUUAGACGUCCCCCCCCCAUGCUACGGUUCCCUGCGGUCCGAAUCCGGCGCCGCAUUAGGUUAGGGUAGGGGGCUGGGCGAUAAUAGUUCCUCUGCAUCCCCAAGCGCGCUGCCCUCCUAGGCGCGCAACACUAAGUAAUCCAAGCCAACCCACAUUACUGGCUAACGGCGGAUAAUCAUAUUUCUUAGAGGUACUAAAUACAACUCCAUGAAUGAGCAAAAUGGAGGUUGCAUUAAUGAUAAAGAUCUCUGGGGAAACCGCUAAAAAAAGAUUGAACAUGUGUGGGAGGAUCCGAACGAAUUCUGCUUUCAUUUCCCCCGUAUGGAGCACUGAGUCACUUACGUUACGGUCUUCAGCGGGCAGGCUGCACUCUAGGCGACGGCUAGGAAGGAUCGCUAGACCAGCAGCCAAACCAACAAUGAAUAUAUAAUAUAAUGAUAGUGAUUCGGCUCAAUAAAAAAAUGUAGAAAAGAAAGGGCGGAAUAGCAUAAUUGUCCGAUUUAUUCCUCGAUCUUCUUUGAAGACUUACUCCUCCUUUCCGAAAAGAUCGUCCUUGGUCCUUUUGACAUAAGAUUCUCGGCCGCUCAAGAGACUCUCUCUCGUAUAUAUAUUUAUACGCAAUAUCUUGACUCCUACUACCCCUCCUUUCCGAAAAAUUGAUUGAGUCUUUGUCUAAGCGAGUUUUCUAGGCCGGGUGACCUGGCCACUUCUAUUGCUUAUCUUUUCAUUACAUCUUUUGUUCUCUAGCGGACUUUCUGACUUCAACUGGACCACCCACCCGGACUAGGAACCCGAAUUUAUCCGCCCAUCCCCGUCGAAGAAGGGGCGACGGCCUUGAUUAUGCCGGGCAUGCUCCCCGAACCCCACCCAAUUAAUAAGACUAAGUAAAAAAAAAUGGAAAUAGUGAAUCAAGAUCUAGAUGGAUCCCUAUCUUUCUCUCUAUCCACGGGAUACCUAUCUAGAUGAAAAAAUCCAUCUAUGAAUCGAUCUAGACUAUCCUCUAUCCGGAUAGAGAUGUCCCUAUGAGUGACUACGCCGAUCUUUAUAUGUUUUGGCCACGUCCGUUUCUGCUCCGAAGAGGAAGGUUUGGAUCUUUUAAUCUUAUGUCGUGAGGGAUAUGACCUAUGUUAGGUCCAUAAGAUACCACAGCUUUUGGUGUUCUAUGAUUAACCUCCGAAUAAUGAGUAGGUAGUUCGAUCCUUUUGAUUCUUCUCUUCAUAGUCAACUUAUGGGGGGAUGCGAAGCAAUAGGUCGAAUUACUAUAUAAAGAUAAAGAAGAGUUGUAAACUAUAGGACUGAUUGUUCGAGUAGGAAGAUUUAGGUUUUUAUCCUUCCUUCUCUUCGAUAAGAAUAGGGAUUUUAACAAAUUCCUCUUCAUUCUCUUGUGCUCAGCGAAGGAACUUCCUAAGCAUACUUUUUCGGAUCCAAACUUCUUUGUUCUUUCUAAGUCUUCUUCUUGCAUAGAAGAACGCAACUGUUGCAAAAACCGGGAUUUUAGUAGUAGGCGGCAUCCCCUCUUAGUUUUGAGUAGGUGGAACCAUUCAGUUUUGCUUCUUCUCCACAUUCUUAGCGGUUGAUGCAGUAAUUUGCCUAUGAUUUUUUCAACUGAAAUUUCUUUAUAGAAAGAUCUCCUUAUUUCUUCACCGCGUAUUAUCGCGUUAUUUUCUUGAAAAGAUAUUAUAUCACCGUGGGAAAGUUUAAAAUGAGUAAUGCUUACCAUUCCUUUAUUCACACAAACCCUUCGAUGACUUAUCGGCUGCCUUGCUUGAGGAAUAGUUUCAAGAAAAUGGAGACGAAGCGGAAUAACGUCAAAUCUUGUUUCUGGAUUGAGUGGAAAAGGGAUAUAUGAAGUUCGUUUUGUUCCUCUGUGCAUCUCUGUGAUGGGUAAAUCCCCAUGAAAAAGGGGCAACUUUCGUGUAGUUUGUAAUUGUAUAUAACUGGUAAGAUAUUUUUUCGGAUAAAUCUUUCUCUUCUUAAUAGAUCUCUUCCUGUUCCUCAAUCUUCGGAGAAUGCGGCGUUGUAUUAUUGUCAGUUCUCUGUUCCGAACAUUUCCUGAAAGUAGACGACAAGUUUGAAAUCUUAAUGGGGACAAAUCUAUAUCUCGUUGAAUCAGUUUUUUAAGCAGCCACAUUGCGUCCCUGGGACUCGAACCCAAUUCUGCAACAACCCCUGUUCCUGUCCUUUCUUUGUUUUGUUGAUCUAUUCCUCUUCACGUUGUCUUUUUAAAAAAAGACUGAAAGUAUGGGCUAUUGACACCAUGGUCAGAAAGAUAUUUUAGGACUUUUCUAAGUCCCGCUUCUACGAUAAAGUCUUUCCGGUUUUAAUAAAGCGAGCGCCACUCUGAAUCCACGAUCCGUAAGGAUCUAGCUCCGCCACAUUUUGAGUAGCACUUCUUUAUUUUUUGAAAAGGCCACAAAACUCUUUUCAAAAAAUAAAUCUACAGUUUUUGGUAGUUCAUUUUUUUGUGAAAGAAAGAGGCGGAAAGCUAUGUCCUGUACAGUUUCUCCUCCCACCUGAGGGCGAAGUCAUGACUCGACCUUUAGUUUUGUGACUCGAGUACUUGUUGCGAGAGGUACUUUAGUAACUCGACUAAAAGGAGAGGUUGUUUACAUACUUGAGCUUUCUGCGAGAGGGAUUUAUUACUCGACUAAAAGGAGAGAGAGCAAGGUGAACUCUUCCCAUUGCUAACAUUCCAGGGAUUCCAGAACCAACUAAUCUAAUUUCCUAACCUGGGAUUCCUUAACCAACUACCAAUUUAAAGAGUAAAACACUUCCUUGGGAUAAACUGAUUCAAACAGAUAGGCAGAUUGAAAUGGAACUUUCUACAAACAAAAACUCCUUACCUUACUUGGCUUACCUCUCCCAUUCCUCUAAUCCCUAACCAAAACAAACCUAAUCUCAUCACCUCAUUGCUAAUAUUGCUGGGAUUCCCUCCUAACCAACUAAUCUCCUUACCUCCUAUUCCUGGGAUUACUGGGAUUACUGGUUCUCCCAUUCCUAACAUUCCUAGGAAUUCGCAAGACACCAUAGGCAACAUGGGAAUCCUUGAUCUACUUGUUUCUCAGAUUCCCUUUGAGGUUAGGAGAGUGAGUCGAUUCGACGAGGCUAGCUUGUAGGUUAGCCUUUAGUUUCCGUCAAAGAAUUGGAUUUUCAUACUUCCUUCCCCUUUGGUCGAUUCAAGUGGACUUUAUCCUAGAUUUGUCGAUUUAUCCCUGGUUGAGGACCUUUGGAUGCCAGUUUUCUAGAUGCCAGUUUUCUAUAAGAAGGGUCAGCCUUAAAGGAAAAAAACCAAUCCCAAGGUAAGGUCUAAACUGAUCUAAUCGGUAAAGCCGGAAAAAGAGCUGAGUUUAACGGCGAGAAGCUCCUUUCAAAGGAAGGAGUGACAGAAAAGGUCGGGACAGUGGCUGCUACCGCAUUGACUUCGUAAGAUUUGGAUGUGUUAAGGCUAACCUCCCAAAACUCACUAAAUUUACGUUGCUUCACAAGGUAAUUCCUAUUUGCUUACUUGUUAGAGUAAGGAAAGGAGAAGAGCUUCAAGGUAGAACCUAUGAACGUAGAUCGCAUAUAAUGUGUCGAUCUCAUCACCUUACCAACCAGGGCCUAUGUAUACGAAACUGGUGCACCAUCUGCAAUCGCUAUAUAUACCUGACCUAUCUUCUCGUGUAUCACCCUUUCUUUCUUCCUUUCCUAACUAUCACUGACCGCGGGGGAAAUGCUGACAGAAUGCCAAUACUUGUUCGAUCGAAAUUCUAACAGUUGUUCCGGGCGUUUAAUGUUUGUUCUGGUUCAAGCUAGAAAACGGUCAAGUGUGUUUCUAAUCAGGGUUAUCUAAAUUGGAAUAAGUACUUUUUGAUAACUUUGUCUCAUGCGGAGCAAAGCCCUUCUUAGUCAAGCUUAGUCCCUUUGGAGUAUAUUUAAAGGGAAGUGCGGAUCUGGAGUGUUUUGUUUAGACGAGCUAUGCAGCAAGCUGAGUUCUAUCGAAACAACGUUUUCCGGGCAUACGAGAAAAGAGUCCAGCCCAGCAUAUUUAUUUGCGACUUUCUUGAUCCCGGAAAUCUUGUACUCAGAGUCACGGAUAAAGAUAAAGUGGACUACCCUGUAUGACCUACAGUUCUUUUUAGUGGCUUUUUCUUGUCCUGGACCAUUCAGCCCUUUCUCAACCAAGUAUAGGUAGAAGCCCUCUUUUCCAUACAGAUAAAGGUUCGACUUCCAAGAGAAAAGAUAAGGAAGUCGGUAUUGAUCGUGGAAAUAUCUUAGAAAGUCUUCAAAAUCGCUUCUCUUCCUUCAUUCUCAGUAGGCUACCGUCCUCGGAACCAAUGCCUAAGAUUUGCCCUUGCGGUCUGCCCUUAGUCUAAAGACUUCUAUCCACUACGAUGGAAUCUGUUUAGUGGAGAGAAGGCCUAGUUAAUCUAGCACUAUGGUGGAAUCUAAGUGUAAGAUAUUGUUCCGCGGUUGGAAAACUAGCUCCUAUGCGCCUGUAGGUAGGACGUUAGAAAAAGAAUCCGAAUUAGGCUUGCAGACCUACUAUUAGGCUUUCAGUGUAGUAACCUAGAUGCUGAAUAUAGACUCCCAUCUAUAGUAAAAGAGAAGAAAGUCAGGCGGACACUGGCAGCUGCAAGUCAGUCGGUUGGCUUCCGUCACUUCUAUAAAACGCUGCCCAACAGACUGAAAUGACUAUCUUCGGGAUAUGAUGCCAGAGUUGGUGCUUUUGCGGCAUCUAGUUCAGUAUCAGAGGCGCUGCGCUGCCCUUGGCUAAGAAGGUUUACUUCUCUGUCACUUCCGUACUUCUGUAACUUCUCUUUAGCUUAUUAAUGGAAUUGGUUAGAAAGUCUUUCCGGCUAGAAGAGAGGGAUUAGUACACCUCCAACACUGACUUCUUAGUCGAGUAGUUCUCUUUCUCCUGGGCUGAGACGUGACCUCUUCUCCUCGUUUUCAUUGGGAGGGAAGAUAUAGAUACAAAGGUAAGCACGAACGGAAGUAUUCGAAAGAGCUAUUUAGCUGAAAACUCUAUAGCUAAAUUACUCUAUCAUAGAAGCCAUUACUGACUGAAUCUGGGAGGGCAAAAGGCUUAGUAAUAGUAAGCUUCUCAACCCUGGUAAGGGUUUACUUCGUCCCAGGCCAGGUCGUUGCUCGUUGCACGGUAGGCGGCUUUGAGGAAAGGUAUGAAGUCACUCGCCCUUUAGCUUUAGAAAGCAGGAGAGGUGCUUUAGCAACUCGACUGAAAGGAGAGGUUAUGAACACAAACUCGACUGAAAGGAGAGGUUGUGAACACAAACUCGACUGAAAGGAGAGGUUGUGAACACAAACUCGACUGAAAGGAGAGGUCCAAGGUAAUUUAUUACUCUUAUAAAAGAGGGAACUCGACUGAAAGGAGAGGGAGAGGGAUUUGACUUUUUCUGUCAGGCCAAUUUCUUUCUAGUGGUAAGUGCUUUCAGCCAGUUCUAGUCCUUUUCUUAUACGCUUAUUGGCGUUAGCACAUUCCUCUUUCUUAUUGGAUGGAGUUGUUUUGCCACCUGGAGUUUUAAUGGAAGUUUGAGUGCGUCCUAAAAGCCAAUGCUUCUGCCUUUUGGAAGUGUCUGCCUAUAUCUGUCCUCCCCAUUUAAUCAGUCUCUGUCCUUACCUUCGACGGUAACCCCUUUAUAGUACAGCAGUCCCGUUUCCGGCAGUGCCUUCCCCCCCCCUAGUCUAGACCGAGUAUCAAUAGUUGUAGUUCCUGUCCGUUAUGGACCCUUCGUAUCUUUCAAAUCCAAUCAAUGUGUGGUGUGUAUCCAAGGGCAAAUGCAAUCUCUGAAUCUGUUACAGCCAUUGUAGCACUAGGUGCCUACCCAUAAGCAGUAGUUGCCCUUGAAUGUGCAUCAAAUCCUAAGACAAGCCUAUCUAAUCUCACUUCUUAGUCUAAAGCACUCAAAUCCCUUCUAAGGAGCCAGCCCUUUUUGAAUCCCUCUCUUUUCUUCAUGCUGUGAAGAAAUUUUCCCUAUCCCCCUAACUGGCGAGGCUUCUUCUAAACGAGUGGAGUUCAGUUAGACUGCCCCUUCUUUCUCGUGCUCUCCGUCCAAGCGAGCUAACUCCUGAUCUCCUGUUGUAAAGAUCUCCAGACCAAGGCUAUUCUUACCAGUUGACAUCCAUCCCGUUGCAUUCCCAGCGGUUUUAGUUCUAUUGGAUGGGGUUCUAUACGAGCGUUCCAUACCGUCUCUUGGGAUCAAACUGAAUUAAGUUGGACUCCCUUCAAGAGAUAGAUUUCUUUCCACGAUAAUAUCUAUAUUUUCUUAAGAAAGAAGACUAGAAUAUCAUUGGGAGUGCACUUAAGCCAAUUGGAGUACUAGGCCUUCUGUUCCAGUGACAGUUAUAGAAAAAAGCGAAGCCCUCCACUCAUAAGUAAUAAGUAAUUUCAUCCCUUACCAGUCCGUCCUACCAGCUCUUCUGUCUUCCUUUUUAAAAGGAGCUAACGAUACGAUGUUCAAGCUUUGCCAGAAGCCUUUUGCAGAGAGAAAGUUCGAAGAUCAGGAUCAGGAUUGGAUUGAAAAUAAAUCUCCUCAGCAUUCAAUUCAAGUGGGUCUAUCGAUACAAGUGGUAAGACCGAUAAUUCAGCAUCCAAGACCUGGCCGAUGUCUACUUCAAAUUCAAGUGCCACUUAUCUUAACACAACUCGGGCUAAUCGACUCCCAGCCUAUCCCGACCUGGUCCUUUCGAACCAGUCUUUAUAAACCUGGUGAAAGCAAUCAAGCAGGACUUACCUGCUGGGAGCCCCCUUCCUUCUAUUCCGAAACCUAGAAGUUUUUUUUUCCAGCUCUUGAGCUGAUUGAAUGAUUUUUGUUCACUGCUAAGCUAAUCCUUCUGUCCUACUUUACUCUAUUAUGAGACCUCACCCUAGGCUAGGGAGCUGGUUUAAGCCAUGCCCUUAUUUGACUCCCAAGACCGGAUACAUAGCUCUUCUGAGCGGGUCAAAUUCAAAUACAAUGAGUGCUUAGGGAAAGUAAGAAAGAAAGACAUAAAGCGGAAUCCGGUAAUCCUACUGCUACUAAGACUACUCCGUCUUAGGGCUAGGAGUUCAAGCGCGGCGUAACGGGGGUUGUCAGCGUAACAGCUGGUGCUCUAAUCUGAGCUGAGAAAUAGGAACUGCACUUCGACUUGAUUUAUUUAUUUACUAUAUUCCCCCCUCUCUAACCCAAGUCCUAGAAGUGAAUGAGGAAUGAAAGAACUUCUGCUUCCGCAAUGAGACGCUAAAGUCCUUAAAUCAAGGAAAUCACAAUGCUUCUCUUAUUCAGUAGUUCAAUCUUACUUUCUUACCCCGCCGGGGAAGCGUUGAAUGAAUGUGUAAUGAUGUCCAUCAGGGGAGAUCUUGACCGAUGGCCGCGCGAUGUCCGAGUUCCUUCGAAUGCUUUUUCCAAGCCCCUUCUUGCGCUUUACGAAAUUCGUUGUUAAGGCCAGUCCUUCUCUCACCUUCACAGAAGAAAAGAGAUUCUUCUGAAUGGUUGAUAUAUUCAUUCCAGAGGAGAUGCCGGUGAAGACUACCAGCCAAUGAUGGACCUGGGCUUACUACCGCCAAGUAGCCUAUUAAGUCUCAAAUUGAGUACUAAAGUCAAACUACUUGUCCUCCCCAAAAGAGCAGCUGAAAGAAACCCAUGGCAAAGCAACAUACCCGUUUAAGCAUAGUCGCUCGUCUAACGUUUCGGGACAAGAGGAGAGGAACGCCUUUGAGAUCAGGAUGUUCUACCGCUUUUCCUAGGGAAGGUAUAUACUACUGAUAGUAUUCCGCUUUGUGAAAGUGCCAUAAAAGCUCUCUUCGCGUCAACGACAUCCAUCUAACCAUCUAACGAGAUAUGCUUCGGGUAAGAUUCCCUGAUCUGAAAUUUCGUUAGUGAGCUGGUUCGGUCUAUCCCUUCACUUAACCUAAAGCGUACAUUCGAUAGGGAACUUUGAUUAUCAAAUGGGUUGGUUUAUUAGCGCACUCACGCCAAGUGCUACCGGCUCAUCCUGGUGAGGCAUCCCAAGCCCCUGUAAUAUUUCGCUUUUUUCGUCCUCUCGCUUUGUCCAUUCCUUGAUCUACGAAAGGUAUUCAGUAUUAGGAUCAGAGGCCUAUGGGAUUUCAGUAGCCUUUAAUCAAUUACAAACUCAUCACUCUUCUUGAAGGUUAACUUCACAUCUUGUGUGUGUUCCCUUGAUGUAUCUUAAGACCCAUUUCACAGCCUGCCAAUGACUCCUCAAUGGCUUACUCAUAUAUCUGCUAAUCACUCCUACUGGAUAAGGGUAAUCUGGUCUUGUACCAAUCAUUGCGUACAUCACACUUCCAACAGCACUUGAAUAUGGGAGUGAUUUCAUAUAGUCCAUUUGUUCCUGCAGUUCUUCUUCUGUAGCUGUUUGGAAUCUGAAGUGAACUCCCAAAGGAGGUAGGAAAGGUUUGGCACAACGCUCAUAGGACUAUCGGUGUGCGGAGUUCAUCUCUUGGUUAGCAAGGAAAGAUUCUUCAACCAGACAUCUCCCAUUUAAUCGGAACAGAAGUAAGAAAUCUAAUAUCAGUACGGACCAGGGGAAAGGUGUUACAAUUGUAGCAUCAAGUGCACUCAAUCCGGUUGUUAGUAUUUGUUAGGUCUUCCGUGUUAGGUCAUCUAUAAGACUUAGAAAAUACUGACACUUUCAAAAAGAUAAUGGGACUGAAGGUGCUCCCCAUAAAUCUGAAUGCACAUAAUCCAGAGGAUUCUUAGUAGUGUGCUGGCCCGUAGAGAAAUUCACUCUAUGUGUCUUUCCAUAGAUGCAAUCUUCACAAAAUUUGAGACUUGAAACCUUGCUGCUAUCUAGGAAACCUUUCUUGACCAGUAACUCCAUUCCUCUUUGGCUCAUAUGUGCAAGCCUACUGUGCCAAAGCCUUGUCUCAUCCUUAGCUGUUUCUGCAAGGUUAGACUCUCCUGUUUCAACAGAGCCUUGAAGAAUGUAAAGUGAAUCAUGUCUGUUCCCUUUCAGUAUUGUUCUGCAUCCUUUAAGAACCUUCAGAACUCCUUCACUACAACUUGCUUCAACGGGCCGGGGCCUUUCCCAUUCUUUCGAAGUUGCUAGCAUUCUCUCUCCUUUGCGCAUGUGUGGGAAUAAAUUGACUCCAUCUGUCUCUGAGAAUGGGGGAAGGCCACACUUUGUUCUCUUCUCUCUCUCUAGUCCAAUGUCCAAUUAAACCUAACCGAUCAACCCUUUCAGUGGUCCAAUACGCGCGCUGUAGGGCGCUGACACUUGGGUCAACGAUGAUUGUACCUAAAAUGAGAAGAGAGGAGAUAAAGAAAGAGAGCGUAUUGAAACUCUUAGGUGAGGAAUUUGGAAGUACUUUAAGGCUUGACGGAGAAGAGAGAGAUGAGAGGGAAGGAUAGCAGUUACCGAGUAGGAGUAGUUGAUCCUCACAUCAAAAUAUGUUUAUAAGAAAGUUUCCUCAUUCAAGUGAGAAAUAGGAUAAACCACCGCCCAAAGUUGCUUAGCCAAGAGUAGUCCUAUAUGGGCUCGCGAAGCCGGUCUCCGGUGGGAAAGAUCCUAUCUAACUAUUUGGGAGAACUUCUCUUCUUUUCUUUGAUUGUGCUUUGCUUAACACAAUCGAAGUGGGAUCAUCGUGGAGAAAAAUAUCUUGCGGUCAGUCUUUCCAUAUCUUCUUCUUUAGCUCAUUCGCAACAGUUUCCUCCAUUCCUGCGAUUUCCUCAGGAUUCCUCGCUUGUUGUGAUAGCAAUCUAUAACCGCUCUGUACCGUGUACAUGCCACUCUUAGUGUAAGCCCACACAUUAUCAUCCAUAAGAUUUGCCCCUGGUAUCAUCGAGAUGAUAAAUGCCACAUUCUGUGGAGGAAAAAUAUUAUGCAACAUAUCCAGUUUCCACGACUGCCUAUUCAUGUCGUACAAGUCAGACGAAGAUUAAGGUCAAUAGAUAGGUUUCAAUUCAGUGGAGGUAGAGGUGUCUCAUCCAUUAUCCAUCUGUCUAACCAAACCUUCGUGUGUAUACCGUCUCCAAUCGUCCUUAGGAGCCCGCGAGAGAGGAGUUCUCUGCCAUGAAUGAUACUUCUCCAAGCAUAUGAAGGUCUUGUCCCAACACUACACUCCAUCAUUGAGCUAUGUGGGAAAUAUCGGCUACGGAGAAGUCGAGAUAGUAGCGUAUGUGGUUGGUGUAUAAUCCGGAAAGAUUGUUUUGCAAGAAGAGCUUGGUUAAACCAACCUAAAUCCCGAAAACCCAAACCACCAUCAUCUUCUUUAGAUUUGCAUAAUUUCUGCCAAGCUACCCAUGAGAUCUUCCUUUUGUUUUCGCAAGAACUCCACCAAAAUUCCGUCAUCGCACUUGUUAACUUCUUGCAUAGCAGCUUUGAAAGCCGGAAGCACGACAUCGCAUACACCGGUAAGGCCAUUGCUAUAGAUUUCAGCAGCACCUCCUUUCCCCCCUGAGAUCAAAAUUUUGCAAACCAACCAUUAAGGCGGGAUUGAAGCUUGUCCCGAAUGAAGGCUAACAACUUCUUAUUUUAUCUACAACAGCAGAAUCGCAGCAAUAAUCAACAGAUAGAAAGAAAUAGAUUAGAGGAGAGGGUAAGGGUGGAUAGGGUAUGGACAGCCGUAGAACUCGCGAAGCAUGCAUUAGAAGCAGAUCCUACUAGGGUUUGUUAACCUACUCGGCGGGGUAGGAGAUAGAUAUGUUCCUCGUAGGGAUGACCUAGUCGAAGGAAAGAAGAUGUUCCCAAAGAGAUGUUGAGGAAGGAUAGCAGUAUACAUAAUCUUAAUGCAAUCAAACGGUUAUCCUCCUUUUUAUAGGUAUCCAAACUCGGAAGAUGUUAUGAGACUGAGCCGGCUACCGUACUUCGUGCUGGAACAGGGGUGACUCCUAACAAUGGAUCCACCACAGUAGGGGUUAUAUCACAACUUAUUACCAUCCGGACAAAGAAAAGGAAUAGUAGUGAAAUGACAGGAACGACAGCUUUCACUGCUACGGCUAUUGGCUUUAGCUAUACUAUGGCAUUCCCUGUAGUUCUUGGAGUCACUCAAACUCGAACUCCUGUUACAGCUCGGCUAUAGACUACGCCUCUAUUAAUCCUUUGUUCGUGAUCACUCCCAGCAAUCACUUCACUGGCUAACAGUUAGUUAGAAAGUGUUCCGGCUAAGGCCUAUAGAACUCAUUUCACUCCGGUUAUAGCUGAAAGUGGCUUUGUUCUUAUCGUUCAGUGGUCACUCUUUAUAGGUAAGUAAAGAAGGGAUUCUAUUAUAUUCCGAUACUGCUACGAGCUGUCUUAACUCCACUUACUUCUAGGCCAUUAGCUCAGUAAGCUCAGUAACUCCAUUCUCUAAUGCCAGCCUUACCUCAAUUCCCUUCUUAGCCUCAACAGCUAAAGCAUCCCUUUCUACAGCUCCUGAAACAGUCGAAGAACCACAGGCCUAAGUAAGUGUUGUGUUCAACCUUUCUAUAAGUAAUAUGGGUUGGCUGGUUGGAAGGACAGCUUUAUGUCGUAAGUAAAUAGUCGUCAACUAUCGAGAACCUGUCUGAAGUGUUAUUCCAGCGCUUCCUAGUCUUUACAUAGUCUUUUUCCCUAUAAUCAAGAAACGUCUCUCAAGUCGUGUUCCAACCAGAUGACUCCAUCUCUCUCUUGGACUGUUUCCUUCAUCCUCAGAAUAGGUGUCUGAGGGUCUUCAUCUCCGCUGGAAUCUUUACUUGCAAUUUGAUCAAGUCAGCUAUCCAAAAUGAGUUUUCAUUCAAGAACCACUUUACUUUGAGCUCGUAGCGGAAAGAGCAGAUUAACUUUCAGUUUCUCAUAUGGAGUCCCAUAUGCUUAGCCAUCAGCUGAGAAAGAUUGAUACCAAGUCGGAGCAUAUCCCGUUCGAGGGUCCACCUAUUCGGGAGCCAGUACGAGGGUCAAUUCCAGUUUCGGAUACCUGCGCCUAUUGCAUAUUUAGUAUUUGCAGUUCACCCCGCUGUUAGAUAGGCAGAGUAAGCAUAGGCUGUGGUAUAAAUCUUUUGAGUUUGAAGAUAUUUUAUCGACCGGAGCAAGAUCCAUUCAUAAGGGUUUGGAGAUUUCUCAAUCUAAAAAAUCAAAUACGAUUCAACAGCGGGAGAGAUCAGCAUUGAUAGGACAUGGAGAUGUGGGCUCAGAAGGGAGUGGAAUAGAGUCAUUUGAUAGCUUAGAUGCCGCCACUAGAGAGAGGUUCACUUGCUUACCUUGCCGGGUCACCAGGAGAGGUUGUGCAGAACAAGACCAAUAACCCGAUCUCUGCUAAGGAGCAAUACGGAUCGGAUAAGAGAGGAUCCAUCUUCUCGGGGGAGUCUAAAAGAAGACCACCACUUCCAUACGGAAAAGUGUAGACGAUGAUCCGGGACUUUUCGAUCUUUUUUCUGUUACCUAACUCUUCAAUCACUCUUUCUUAGGCGGGGACAGGAUUCGAACCUGCAGUCUUCAGGUCAUGAGCCUGAUGAGUUUUCUUCCUCUACCCAGCGUCUUCCCCUUCUCUUUCUUUCACAAUUCCCACCUAGGUCCCCCGCUUUGUUAGCUUGGCCGGGAUAGAAGCUGCGCUUAGUAAGCGCCCCUUGUCUUGUAUAGGUUGGAGCUAUGAAGCUUAGCCUUCUUAUUAGAAAAAGGUAUGAAAUGACUCGACUAAAAGAGGAACUUUCCUUUGUGAACAUUUACUUGCCUUUGCCUUUCCUUCCCGCCUUAAGAAAAAGAAAGCCCGGAUCCGGAUAAGCAGCUAUCGGCUUCAUGCCAUCUUCAUUCAUUUGUCCAAUUCCGGGCACUGUAAGAACCUAUUCUCUGAUUCAAUCAAAUAUCCCAAACCAAAGGCCUAUGAAAGCCCGCUCAAUAGCAAGAAGGCUUUUUCAACGAUUUUCAUGCUUCCUUCCUCGAUUGAUGAGGCCGUCGGGGUGCCUUUUGUGCUUUGCUUGCCUGUUAGUUUUGCGUAUCAGUUACUAGCUUUCCUUCCCUAGCUUGAAGUUCAGUUCUUCCUUUCCUUGGGUCAUUAGUGGCAUUAGUUUGAAAAUGAAUAUCAGAUCAUCUGUCCAAAUUGAUGGAGGAAGAUUCUUUCACAGCGCAUUCAAUUCCUAACUAUUGUGACGUAGCCCGAUGUAGUGUGAAUCGACCUUUCUUCUUCUUUUUUCUGGAGAGCUUCAAUUUAGCUGUCAUCCACGGAGAAGCUUCUUGGCUCUAGCCUCAUGUCUCAUAUUCUUUCAUAUUCUUUCUCGUUGGAUAUGGUAUCAACUUCAAGACUGCAGACAUGAACUCAAGAUCCCACCAAUCCCUUCUUCUUGUUAUAUGCGACGACCUACCGAAGACAAGAGAUGAUUAGCUCCUUUCUUAUUGGAUUGGAGAAGAUGGCUCGCUCACUUCCUUUGUGCACCUCCCGCUAUCGAUCUCAUUUCUUCCCUUCUAAAAGAAACUGAAGAAAGAAGUAGAGUCGCCUAGGAAGUAAAGAAAGUUGUGUUGGUUCUUUCCCUGGUUCCUUGUUCCCCUGUUGCCCUAAGAGAAAGGCUGUUGUGAUUCUACGGUUUAGAGCAUUUCCAAGAUAGGCAUUGUUAGCCUUGCGCUUGAACCUACAAGGAGGAAGAGAUAGCAAAGUCUUAUCUUAUAGGGGGCCUCGAAAUCAGAAUAAGUUGAGGGGAGGGAAUUCAAUGAAUCUGAAGCAUCAGAUAGCAACACCACAGGAUAAUCCAUUCCUACUUUAGAAAAAGGGAAGGCGUGAGGGUAAGGUAAAGUAGAAUACUACUCAAAAAGCUGGUAAAAGACCUUGGUUGAUCGGGUAUCGAAGGAAUCCCUUUAGUUUGAAACUAAUACCCCCUUGGAAAUUGAUUUGAUCUGGCUACGUAUCUCACUUCCUCAGCAACCGGUAAAAAGUAGAUUCAUCAAGAUAGGAAGGAAAGACGCAGUGCUCCUGUGGUGAAACUGCAGGAUAAAGAUAGGAAAAGUGGUGCUUGUCUUGAAGGUGAGGAAGGGAAGAGGAAGUGAAUUUGCUUUGGGUGUGGGUUAAGCUCUUCCUUAUCUUAGGACGAAUCAGCAGAGAAGGGCCUUCGCUUCGAACUCGGAUGUUUAGGAAGAAAGCUGUCCACUUGAAGCUGAAACCUUAGACUUCCUCUCGGGCUAUCUAUGAAUUAGAAAGCUAACCCUUAGAUCCGGGAAGAGGGAACUGGCAGUAAGGGUAUUACACUUCAAGAAAAGUGGAACUCACUCGAAUAGAGAGAGUCUAGGCUCACUCACAGACCCAGCUGUCUUUGCUUUGUUCACAACGUCAGCCCGCAAGAACUCACCCUCGUGUGAAAGAUAGCAAGAUGUGGUUGAUGGAAGUAGGUAUGUGUCAUAAGUUCAGGCACAGUGUCUUCUAGGAAGAAACUUUGUGUAAGGAUCUUUUACAGUAAAGCAAGGUAUUGAUCAAAGUGACAGUGGUGAGGGUAACCUUGUGAAAAAAAAAAUGGUUAGGUGUGCCCUUUCCUAUGGUGUCUCUUCUGUGUUAGCUAGUAUAAGUCUUAGUGCUUUUGUUUUAGUAAGGUCAAUAGGAGUUAGCUGGUAGGGCAAUCUCUCGUGCAAUCAGAAUAAUCCUUGAACCUUCCACCCGGAGUUUCUUCUUUCUUCAAAGCUUUGGAUUGAAAACCUUUGCUUAGCCUUAUAAAGUAGCCAAUUUUCCAACUAUAAUUAGAAUGAAUGUGAAAAGAAGAUGAAAGAAUCGUGUGAUACUAUAGCUAGCUACGAUCCCCUACAAGAGGAAUCACUCUACUUACCCCUUUGGCGGGCUUCGAGGACCCUACUGACUAAUUCUUUAUGCAUGGAUGCAGGAAGAGCCUACGAGUUCAUUUGUAACAAUAUGAAAGAAGAACCUUGCGUGCCCGAUCAUGAUAUAGGUACAGCUUCCAGCCAGAAAGGUGAUUGUGCUAGAAAGAUGGCAGUGAAGAUCAUGGAUAAAGAGCUAGUCAAGCAGCAUCCUGAUGAUAUCCACGUACCAACUACUGGCACUGCUAGUGCUUUUGUGGAUUAACCUACUUCCCAGGGCCGGCGGUCAGAGAAGAAAAGAUCUCUAUGAAAGCAGGAGACGGGAAAUAGGCUCGCUCGAUUCGAUGGUUUAGAGUCCCGUAUCAUAUGGCAUGCUUUCCUUAGAAUCCAUAGACAAAGGGCGUACGGUACCCUACGAAAUCGGCAGAUGAUUGCUUUGAUUGGCCUGCUGUAUCAGUUUAUUCGACUACUUCCUCCAUACCGUAGUGGACUUCCUUCCUAGAUAGAUGUAGGAGCAGCGGAAAGGGCUGCUUUAGAAGCUUCAAUAGUUCCCUCAUCAACGGAUGGUUUAGCCGCCAGGUGAUAGGGAUGUCAAAUAGAAAAGGCAAGCAGGCGUAGAAGGCCACGUUCGAUAGCUGAAAAGUCAAGCUGCGGUAGAGGGUGUAAACUAAAUAGUUACAGCUGGGCUUGGCAAUUAUCUAGCCGAAGUGGAAGGUUAAACGGGAUAAAAUCCUGGUCAUUCUAUAGUUGCAGGAUCGGUAAAUGAAGCCGGAAAGAGUAUCUAGAGAUAAAAGUCCAGGCGUCGAAGCCAAUUAAACACUUGGACAAGAUAGUGAAGGGUCUGGGGAGAAGUAAAUUCUAGAGUUCAUUACUCGGAUGGGGACUACAGUAAAGAAAUCUAUUCUAGAGGACUAAAUGUCAACAAACUUUAGCGAGAGUACCAAGAUCGGACUCAACUUCCUAUUCCAAAGGCAACUUUACUAGCGUGGUUAUGAAUCAACUUACAAUUCUUGUACAGGAGGAACUGUUAAUGAAAGACAACUAUAGUAGUAAUAGCUGUGAAUUCCACUUCUGAGUUAGAGUUCAAUCCUUUCCAUCUGAAAGUACGUACUUCUUAUAGCUUGAGAAGAGGAAGGAUGCAUUCGUCAGCAUAGGAAGGCCCAAUCAAAUACCCCAUCAUAGUAUAAGUUUUCCCUCUUGAUUGACUUGAACAAAAGGAAAGAAAGAAAGAUGCACAAACGAAACAGGAAACUACGAAGGUCUCAGGAGCAAUAUCAACUACCUAGACCGACCUGCUAUAAGAAUUCCAUAAAGACCUUGCGAAGAUACUGUACUGAAUGACUGGAUCGUACUAGAUAGAUAGUCUUAGAUAGACUUGAAUACGCAAUUCCUGCCAAUCUCGCACUUGACACGCAAUAAACAGCAGUCUAUCUUCACAGAGAAGGAUGGCAAGGGGUGAAAGGCUUAGACCUUAUCUGCUCUAGGCUAGUUUCAUUCUAUUCUUGUUCAGCAUAUUUAGUUUCAAAAGAUAGAGGUCCGGAGGCAUUAAUUAGUUGAUGAGGAGAAAGGCCAGCCACGAAACACUCACCCAAUCAACCUUCAAAGGCAAGUAAGGACUCUCUCAAACUGAAAAUUGCUGUUCACAUUGCAAGAUCUGUCUCAAGAUGUUUUGAAAAUGAGAAACAGCAGCAGAAUAAAUAGUAUACUUUAUCGAGAAAAGGGAGGAAGUAUCUUCUUUCUCUGACGUAGACGGGCAUUCCUAUCGAGAUUACUUCCUUAGGACCGGGAGGUCGAAGAAUCUAUAUGCUACCUUACUUUCAGGAUGGCUUUACGAAAGAUUCCAUUUAGCUGAAGUAGGACGAAGCGGUAUGAGAUAAGAGGUCUCAACGAGCCUUCAGCAUCUGAAACGGGAGCUUUAACCUGCAUAUCAUACGGGAGUCUUAGUGGAGAGCGUUCUCUGGUUAUCAUCCCUAGUUAAAUUUGAAGUGACGGAGGAACCCCUAUUCGAUAAAGAAGGGAACGGUGCAAAUAAAGCUAUUUCGAGUCCUCUAUCAACAACCAACCAAACCACCCGCUUGUCGGGCUUAAAGCGAAACUGAGCUUCUCACUAACAAAAUCAAUCGUAAGCUUCAUGUCCGAGACUCGGAAAGAGUGGCGUUAAAGAGGGCGUCAGAGCCUCUCGAAGUCUCCGAUCUCACAGAUGGUUAGGCUGCAAUUCCUUCGCUUGUGAAGAAGCUUGGAUAGUUCUCCUUACUCGGACAUUCUAUUCAUUCGACCACCGCCCAUGCUUAAAGAUUGAAGUUUUGUUUUGACUCUGUAAAAAAAAAGAACGUUGUAACGUCGGUUAACGCAGCCUCACAGGCAGCCUGAGAAGUUUUUGACCCCUUUACCUAUCUUGGGUGAGCUACAUCCAUACAUAGUCUAAGCCUCUGAUUGACAGUACUAGAUACGGAAUCUUAGUCCCAAGAGUUCUGCGGAAGCGGGCUAAAGGCAAUAGUUCGCUAGGGUGGUUAUCCCAAUUCUUUGAUAAGAUCGCUACCGAACGCCCCCAAAAGCCUAGUCUUUAGAAGGAACGAACGGAUUUCUUUGUUUGUUCGUGCAAUGAAGAAUCUUAUCUAAAGAAGGUAAUACGGAAAGAAAAAAACUCAACCUGAUGCUACUGGAAUAGAGAAGCAAGCAAAGUGGGUCGGGCUGGCCAAUUGAAAAAAGCGGUAUUUCUUCCGCGAAGACUAACUAACGGGGCGCACUCAAUUUCUACCUUCCCCGAGCUUACCACCACCCGUGGUACAAUAGAAUGAAAACAGAGUAAUGACCAAGGGAAUUUCUAUUAACCAACGGGAGAUCCUCCUUUUCUCGCUAAUCUAGGUCUCAGGGUUCCCCAGCACAGACUUCUUGUUAGUUUAAACUAGUAAAAUGGGAGUGAAGCUAUGCUGUUAAACAAGACAAACCAAUCGCAGAUGUACUAUCAUGCGAGGAAGGCCCCCCAUUAUUGUUGAAAAAGGACUAUUCCUAACACGUCUUUCGUCUAAUCGGGAGAAAAAAGGAAAAAGGCGUUAUUGCUGUGCUUCCCUUCCCUUUACAGGCAAGCUUUAACUUCCCUUCGGGGAAAGGGAAAGACCUUGAAAACUCUUUCCGUAUAGGCCAGAAAACAGCUUGCUUAGAGAAAGACUGACUCUCCUACGGACCUGGUGGACCUUACACAGUCGAGUUAUUGCAUCCCUCUCACAAACUAUCAAUUUCAUAAGAGAAGAAAGAUCGUUUUUAGAAAAGAAAGAACGUUUUGAUUCGAGGCGGAUCCCUUUUUUCUUUGCCUUUACGAGUUGAAAAGAAAGUGGUAACAGGUAGUAGCUCUGGUAGAGUGCAGGACUGUAAAUCCUUCUGUGAGCGGUUCGAAUCCGCAAUCACUUAUAGUUAGUUUCAUCGAUAUUUUUGUGGUGUUCAGUGUACCCUGAGUACAAGAUCGAAGAGGAUCCUCAUUCCCUCUUUAGUCAAUCCCAAUCGAAAAAUCAGCGGAGCCAAUGGCUUGAUCAUAAUGCUGCGGCGGGGUCAGAGAGCCGGCAAACCGUUUCUGGUUCUAGUAGAAAGGGAUUUACUGAUUCGGGUUGAGGAUGACGAGCAAAAGAGUGGAGGAAAAGCUGUUAUAUAGUUAGUCUAUUUCUAUCUUCCUAUCUUUGUCAUGUCAGUCUUAUUCCUAUCUUGGUAUCUUUGUCAUGAGGUAUGCAGCACACUCAACCAAAAUAUAUAGAAUUGGAUCAUCAACGGGUGUGCUAAAGAAACGCCUCUACGUAAACGGAUGAACGGGAUCAUCAUAUAGUGAGCUUCGUUUGGGAUACUUAAACCCACAAAAAUUAGCUCUUUAGCUGAUAUACGACCACCAACUAUCUGGCUAUCGAGAAGAUCUAAUAUGCAGGGAAGUAAUUCAAUAGAAUAACGCAAGGUUCGAUAAAUCAAUUGAUGCAAAAGCAGGGAAUUAGACCACUCCAUCCUUUAUUUCACCUAGGAGCCAUCUUAGCAGCAGGGCUUUCGACUCUCGAAUGUCAAAGAAGGUCCUUUUCUAUCAUCUGAGCUUUCUCACCUGUGCCCUCAGCCCUCAAGACUUCGCCAGACCUUGAUUUUCGAUUGAAGAUAAUCGUUGCUUCGCUAUCCCGAUACCAAAAUGGGAAGAUCUCCCUUCUGGGUUGGUAGAUGAAUUGUUCUGGGUAACAGGCGGUGGACAUCUUCGUUGACAGAUCUGAGUUAUCGACUUGGUCAUAUGCCCUAAAGUUACCCUAAGCCCUCGGGGCUCCAUCCGAACCUGUGACUCAACCUUCUCUUUAGCGGAGGAGAAUAGUUCCGAGUGAGUGUGCUCCCGAACCAACGAUUUGUAUACUCUUUGCCCCAGGUACCAAUACCCAUGUCUUCCUGCUUCUUUUGAUUCUCUUACUCUUCAAAAAUAAAAGCAAAGCACACCGCUAAACAAAAAGCUGGUAUUACCAACCUUCUCAGAGGUUAGGCGAUUCAUUGAGUCGAUCAGUCAUCUUUUUCCCAAGACAACUUUAUUGUGUGUAGGCGCACAAAGGAAGAUCGUAGAAUCAGGAUUACUCGUCCACUUUCAUCGCCUUUUGUUGAUCCGUGUCAUCCUUGCUGCUUCAUCCAAUUAUUCUUUAUUCCUCCUCUCACUUGGGCGAAACACUAGAAACGGCCAUUAAUUUACGGAUCGGUCAUACAAGGAGCAUACCUACUAAUACUUCGGCGUGUGCUGCAUUCGAGUGGUUAACAGCAUACAUCUAUUCCCAAAUCCCAACGGAGAUAGAUAGUAUCCUUCUGUGCUAUCCCCUAUAUCCUCGUAGUAGGGUUGAGGGCAGCGAAGUCUCCCGUUUAUCCUGUCUCCUUCUCUUGGUUAGUGCGUACUACUUCCCAACGUAUCUUAUAUAGAGACAUUGGAGGAGCCUGAUCUUCCAUCUACGCAAAAGAGAUGCUUGAGUUCUUCCAUCCGCGAAGGCGGUGUGCUCAAAUAAGUUAGUUUGUUACGAGACUAUCAGGUCCACCAGGAUAAUUCGAGGUGGAUAGCCCUGACUGACAGGGGACUAAGAUUAGGAAGCAUCCACAAGAGCGAAAGAGCCCUUUUAUGUUUGUUUCGCUAAUCUUAUAGAUUGGAAGUUUGCCCAGCACAGAGUAGUAGGGUUAUGCUUUCGAAAGUCUUUUCAGAGUAUAAGGGAGGUCCAUCUUUAGAGAUCUGAAUGAAAGUUCUGAGCUUAAUGGAUUCCCGGAACCCCAGGACUUUAGAGAGUCCCAACCCUAAGAAGGCUUGCUCGGGUUGAAAGAUGUGAUGCAGCACAGACAGAGGUGCGAUAGUAAGUCAAUUGAUCAGGAGAGGUGGUAGCUUCUGGUCUCUCAAGCUGACAAUGGUAGUCUAGAUAGAUAUAAAGUUCUAUGCUGUUUGCUUGCUCAAGGCUAGAAGCAGGAGUCUGUUAUUGAUAGCUCCCGUUGCCAUUGGCUGUUCCGCCCGUGGUCUUUCAGAUAGACGUUCAAAAUAAAAUUCUUUUCAUCCUCUCCUCCUGGCUACCAGUAUAUGGAGAUGGUUUGAUUCUGAGAGUUGAGGAACACCAAGCAAGAUUUGAUUGACAUCAUCUACGGCUUUGCGCCAAUAUGAAUUAUGAAUAUAGGUUAAGUGAAAUCUGACAACCAGCACACUGCUUGAUCUCAUUAGCAGCUCCGGCGAAGCAGCACAGACCAAGGUAAGCACAGGAUAGGCAGUAUCUUUAUGAAGUCUCGUAAGGCUCAGAUCUUUAAUAGAAGUAAACUUCAGGUCUUUGUUCUAAUAAAUAGCCAUCUUCGUCCUCAAUGGCAAGAAAGAAAGGCUGCUAGGAGUAAGUGGGAAGUGCCAGGGUAAAGCCCCUGAUGGAUCGAUCAACGGAUUCUGCAAUUUCAUCUCUUUCAUAAGCGAUUAAUUCUUGUUUAGCCUUAGUUGGGAUUUGGACUCAGAAGCCGAACACAGUUCUUAGAUCGAUUAAAAGCAUGCCGCUUAUCGACACUCUUUUUCUAAGGAUCUUAGGCAGCGGUUGAAGUUACCAGGGAUGGAACCAUAGGUGCUUUAGCAACAGCAACUCGACUAUUAGAACAUGCGUACGUGAGGAGCAACUCGAGUGAAGAAGCAAGUUAUGGUGUAUUGUCCAAUGUGCCCCGCUUUUCUCCAUGCUGAGGACUAUUCGACUUGUGAGUCAGAUUCCGAUUUAGUGGAGGAACUUCCUUUUGAAGGCACCCGAGAGCCUAUAUAAGAUUUACCAAUUUCCUCAGCUAGAUGAUCAAAGUCUUGGAUGCAGGAUGGCUCCAAUCUGACAGAUGUGGCACCAAAACCUAAAGAUUCCUUUACUAGGGUUUGGUGGAAUGAUAGCCCAAAGAAGAUUUUUGGUGUAGAAAGUCUCAAAUUCAGGAUCUUCCGCUGUACGGAUUUCCUGGGAAACGAAGUCAUAGGCACGUAGGUUCAGAGCCAGACCGAUCACUCACAAUAUCCCUGGGCAAGCCAAAGAUUUUGACCACAUGCUUAAGGAACAACUCCGCAGCAUCAUGGACGGUGCAUGCAUGUUGCGCUGCUAUGAACACAGCAUACUUAGAAAAGCGAUCCACCACUACCAUCACGGACCUAAUCUUUUUAGGAAUGGAACCCACAAACAAGGUCUUGAAGAGCCUUGUGUUACCUAACUAAAGAGCUCCCAAGGCCACCUGAUUCGGAGUAGAGCACUCCUAUUUACACUUCGAUUCCGCCCACUGAUUCAGAUCCAGCUAAGGCCCGCAACCAAAGAGGAGACACUUGCACCGGGGUAAUGCUACCACACAGGUUUUGAGGCGAGGCGCUGCCCUCUUUCGGGCAAUCAACUCUUUCUUGUACCUGGCACUAGUCAAAUUGUAUCUCGGUUCAUGGCAUGCCACAACGACUCUAUCGGCUUAUAGUCAUUCCUGGCACUCGGCGCAUGUCUUUGAUCAACCCCGGUUCCGUCACUCGUAUCUGGUUGAACCAGUACUUCCUUUCCGCCGUUCCUAGGGACCACCCACUCCCGUUCCCAUGAGUGAUCCGAGACAGUACGCGGAGAUUAAUCGGUCUCUUUUGGUUCUCAUUCCAAAAGUUGAGCAGCCUGUUAGCAUAAAAAUGGCAAUUAUCCUCCUUCUAUUCGUUCUGGAUACGGGCCUAGUCCUGAGUGCGCUGUCUGUCUUCUCGGCUGGCCCAAACAACGGGAUUGGUCCUGUGGGAUUAGCACCAAAAUUCCUCGGCAUCUCAUCCUCCUGUUGCUGGUCAUUUCCUAAAGGAUCGAAGGUUCAGCCGACGCCUCAAAGUGGAUUUGUUGUGCGAAGGGUGCGACCGGGAUUUAGAGUUAGAAUAGCGGGGAAGACUUGACCUCAGGCAGCGUGAAACCAGUUUAUUUCAUUCGAUGUAGUGGUCCGAUUGCCUAGUGGAAGCCCUGAGGCACUUGAUUCUUGCGUACGCUCGGCUCCUCUACCAAUCACCACAGCGCGAGAUGCGCAAGAGUGACCCAUCUCUCCACACCAACUGGACCAUACAAUACACUCUUUAUAAGAAAAAAAGAUUUGGAACCGAAAGAUAGGAAAUAAAUUUACUUCCAGAGCGGAAGGGAAUACUUAACCACGCCUCGAGUCCCAGUCUCCUAGUGGUGAGAUGGUAAAGGGCAAUGUCCGGUUCUGGCCAAGAGAUGUCUUUGCUCCGUCCCCCUUCUUGUUGGUUGGCACAAGCCCUUGUAGUAGUAAGUCUUUCCUCCGGCCGGAUCGGAUGUUAGAGUCAAUUCCAUUGUACGUUUGACCAUUAAGUGAAUGCAAAUAUAGGUAGAAUUUGAAUCAACGACCUAAGAGUCUUCUUUUGCCUAUCGUAGUUACCUUGAUGUGAUAAAUGGUCCAACUUUCUUGAAAGAUAUCAGAUCUUUAAAGUCCUGCUCAUAUACAUACUAAUAUGAUCGCUACGAGGUCAUCCCACUACACACCAUCAAGCAACCACUACUGAAGCUAUCAACUCAAUUCUCUCGUUCGAAUGGGGAGAUAGAUAAAAGAAACGAAACUCUAUAAAAUAUCAUAAGAGAAGAAGAUUUUAAUUCCAGCUUAAAUAAGUAAGACUUGACUCUUUAAAAAAUUCCGAUCAACAACUUGGAGGGAUGGCUGAGUGGCUUAAGGCAUUGGUUUGCUAAAUCGACAUACAAGAAGAUUGUAUCAUGGGUUCGAAUCCCAUUUCCUCCGGCGCGGAAGUGAAACGGGCGGGCGAAAUGAGAAGAGCACUACUUAGUGACUAGGAGCGGGGAGCCCGUUGCGCGUUUUUUUGUUUGACCGGCCUAUCUUCAUAAGUAAGCUCCCUAUGGCCGUCCAGUCCCUGGGCGGCUCUCGGUUCUUGAGCAUGUUGGGAGAUUAGUCGUCAAUUGAAAGAGCUGCUCUAAAGCUUGACGAAGAAGUUUUCCCUAUUAAUUAGAUUAGUAAAGGGCUUUUCCCUUACUAGUCAAGUGGUAAGGUAGGGCGCUCUUCGAUGAAGAAAAGAAGAGACUUUUGGAAAAGUGGUUCAGCUCAGCUGGUUAGAGCAAAGGACUGUAAAUCCUUGUGUCAGUGGUUCGAAUCCACAACCACUUCUAUUCUCGGAGCUGAGGUAUAUGAAGAAUGGCCUUUUGGUCCUUUGGACACGUAGCCGAGAGCGAGCCGGAUUUUUAAAAUUCAAGUGAAAGAAGGAAGAAGGCAAAAAGCCGUAUAGUGCAGGAGGCAGAUGAAAAAAAAAAAGCAAUUACAGUGAGACGCGAGGUGUAGCGCAGUCUGGUCAGCGCAUCUGUUUUGGGUACAGAGGGCCAUAGGUUCGAAUCCUGUCACCUUGAUUAAUGUCUUUUUUUUUGGAACCUUUGUUUUGGAGUUUUCCCAAACCUAUACCUUACUCAUCUUACUAAGAAAAUGGGGCUUAUGUUUUUCAGCCGCAUCGCACUGCUGCAUAAACAAUAGAUCCGCUGGGCUGGAUGAGCAACCUUCUAUCUGGCCUCUGUACUAGUAGUAGAGUUGCUUGCUACUUUCAAUCAUAAAACGAAAAUUGAGCAAGGCAAGGGAGAAAGAAGUUGUCCCCUCCUCUCUGGUAACCCGCCGCCGGUCAUAUAGAGCGCUCCGCCCGCCCCAGCAUAUGUAUAAAAAAGAGGGAAGAAAGAACAACCGUUUUACUUUGGCACAUGAGGUGGCGGGUUUGGCUAGGUAACAUAAUGGAAAUGUAUCGGACUGCAAAUCCUGUAAUGACGGUUCGACUCCGUCCUUGGCCUACACCUUCAUGACCAGAAAUAACUGGAACAAAGGGAAAGCCCACUCAACUAGUAACAUACGGACACAAACAACAAAACUACUUGUUACAAAUAACAUCUUGUUGUUGCAUCGAAACAUAUAAAUGUUUACUAAUCUGGCUAACAUUGAACUUGGUAAAAUUAAAUGGUUGAAUAAUUUAAAAAUUAGAUUAUUCGGGAAUACACAUUGAAUGCGAAGAUUACGCAUUUCAUUUCUGGUAGUAGAUCCAUAAUCAAAAAAGUGUUUGUGAUUGUUCCAGAAGAAGAAAUGAAACAAAAGAUACGGUAGAGCUAGGACAGUUAUUGUAUGAGGUCUACCCAAUGCUAAAUGCAGAGGCGCAUAAUAGAUCGAUAUGAACAUCAUGAGCUGUCCCGCAAUAAAACCUGUUGUUGCUGAUACUUUCUUCUCGGUUCCUUCUUCUCCUUCGUCCAUAACCCGAGCUCGGAGAAGGAAGAGAUAAAAGGGCCCUAUGGAGAAUGUGGUCAGAAAUCCAUAAUAGAGUCCGACCACAACGACCGAAUUGAUUAUCUUCAUGCAUAAGUAUACUAGAUUACCUAGUAUAAAAGAUUGAAAAACCAUCACAAACCUCCCCUUUUUCUUUUCUAUUUCAAUUUAUGGAUUAUUAUAUGAUGAUUUUGCAACUUUCCAUAUAUAGAAAUAGAAAGAGAUAGACUAGAAACGACAUCUCUUAUGUCAAUGACACCAAAGGGAUAUUAAAUGAAUGGAAUUGGGAUAUGGAUAGAAUAUAAUGAAAUAAAUAGAGCCGCUUUGAGGUUCCCUAUGAAAUGAGGCAUGGAACGGAGCCACUACGAAGAAGUUCCGGGGGUUACGAAGGAAACUUCGAGUUCAUAUUGGUCAUGUGGGUUGAGAACGGGAAUUGAACUCUAUAAGAUCUAAUCUCCCAUUGUUCCUCAGUAGCUCAGUGGUAGAGCGGUCGGCUGUUAACUGAUUGGUCGUAGGUUCAAAUCCUACUUGGGGAGAUUUGUUAGUUAUCGCUUUUCUGACCUAACGGCCCCUGUCCUUCUCCUUUGUUUCUAAACUAGCUGAAUCGUGUCAAAAGUGGAAAGUUGAUUGUUGGUUUUGAUUCCUCACUCUCGUAUAGGUGAACUUGGUUCGUUAAAUUCUUAGGAAGAAAAGAAGGAUCAACUGGGAAUGAAUGGGAAGACUGGAGUAGUAUCUCUUCAUUAGUCGGAAGGAAUUUGUCUCCACUAGCCUCAUUCGAAAAAGAACAGAAUCCGAACAAACAAGAAAAGGGUUUAGGUAGGAUAGUGCGAUGUAGUCCAAUGGCUAAAGCUCUGCCAGCUUCUUGUAGACUGAACUCUCUUUAGGCUCCUAGUGGUUUUCGGGUGGGAUGGUUGAAAUUUUAUUCGCCACUAGUGGCAACGAAGUUCUUGGUAAUUUUAAAGGGGGAAGGCUUGCAGACCACUCAUUUCAUUCAUUCAGUGCCUGCGGUGAGGCGCGACCCACAACAAAAACAAAGGGGGAAAGCUUGCUUACUGUAGCCCUCUUUUAGUAGACUAGGCUUGGUAAGCGUAAGCUAUUUAAGUAGGCUCGAGAAGGGUAGGGCUCGCAGCUUCGCCGGAAGCGACGAAGGGGGGCUGGGGAAGGCCGACGACUACAUGAGGGGGAAGCUGUCGUAGAAGCUUUGUCCCUUGCUUUACAGAGAUUGUUAUGAAUUGACUAAAUGACUAGAUUCUCCCGGAACGCUAGCUAAGCUAAGAAAUAGUAUUAGUUCCCUUCAAUCAAAUCAAUAAGUUUAUUUUUUUAUUGAUUCAGGGAAAAAACCUCCUUCUUAGAACCCAUUGAGGGGGCCUCGGCCCGGGAAGGGGAGAGUGGCCGAGUGGUCAAAAGCGGCAGACUGUAAAUCUGUUGAAGUUUUUCUACGUAGGUUCGAAUCCUGCCUCUCCCACUUGUUGUAGUUUUAGCUUGUAUAUGUGAAAAAACGAGAUUUUCUUUCAUAGAAUAACUCUUUCACAUAAGAAAGUGGAGGCAGGCUUGGGGGGAUACGAUCUAAAAUGAUUCCACAUGAAAGAGGACCGGGCAAUCGCCCUCUUUUUUAAUGAAGAAGCGGGCUAGUCCCCGAAAAUGCCCGUUAAUCAAGCAAGUUGGGGAAAAAAUCUUACCUAUUAGACGGAACACGAAGAGGUGAACUGCCGGAACAGGAGGACUUAAAGCUGAGGAAACAGGAAGGGCAGCUAAGGGAACUUGCUUCGGUAGGAGUGUGCUGAAGUUGGCUUCAAACAAAGAGAAAGAAAGUAGUGUGCUGAAGGAAAGAAGAAAGAGAGAAGGUUAAGAAGAGGAUACUGGCUUCGUAAGUAAAGUAUCUGAAGAUGAGAUAGAUCGGAGAGGUGAGUUACCAGCGAAACUAUUCACUCUGAUGUCCAUUUCCUGCAUUUUCUUUGUGCCGAUAGAGGAUUUAAUAUGUAGAUUCCUUUCCUUAUUCCCUUUCUGGUAACCAUAACACGUCCCUGCUUUUUUCUGUCGUUGACUGCUAGAGCAAGAGGGGACGACCUUUCCUACCUUAUGAUACACUGAACUGCUACGGCGGCUUUAGCUCUACUAUGGCAGAAGGAAUCGCCAACUUUCAUUUCAUAUAGCUGUAAAAGUUAGCAACCCCAUUUCUAAGGGAAAGAGCAAUCUUUUUUUGAAAAGUUUCAUCUACAGUCAAAAGAAAGCAAACCUCGGCAGCACAGAAGAGAGCUACUACUAUUAUUGCAUGCGUGCUCACGUGUAAGAGUGUGCUAAAUAAGGAAACUUCGGUCUAAUCCUCGGGUGUGCUAUCACAAGGAACUCGUCCGGUGUAGGAUUGUAGAUUACCUGUCCUAUUCAGCACACUCCUCCAUUACAGCACAGAGGAUUAGCUCGGGUUAGGAAAACAAGUAGCUGGUCAAAGCAUCGGAAAAGCAGAGGAGUGUGCUGACUUCAAGUAGUAGCUAGUCAACCAACUUCUGCUCAACCCUAGGAACAAGGAAAGUAUCAGCCGAUAACUCUGUUCACUUGGUGUGGGAUUCCUAAAAGUGUACUAUUAUCGCACGCCAAAGAGUGUGCUGAAAAGGGAAUAGUUGGUUAACUACCGAAGCUAGAAACAAAUACCUGCUAAAACCAAGGGAAGCAAGAGUAGGAACUACCCACCCAGGAAUCAGCAUUCUAAACUGCAGCACAAGCACACCAGCGUGUAUCAGGGGUGUGCUAUAAAAGAUCACAGCUAAGGUUGAGUCCUUACCUUCUUAUUCCUUCCGUAGUUAGCAGAACAUACUAGCCUGGCUUAUCCAUUCCUCGUAUUUGAGGAAAGUAGGGUUUGACAUCCCAUUCUCGGAUGCACGAAUUAUGCGUUUAAUCCCACGCAACAAACUCCUCUGUGCUGGGUUGUGAUCUUAAAAAGGAGCUUUACUGUAUAGUGUUACAGUAGGAAUACCUACUAGAUCGAGGAUUCGGAACAGUACUAUCCUGUUUAUAUUGACAUUCUUCUGUUAAGAUUUCCCGUUUGAGAAACCCUUUAAGAUCUGAGUAUCUCGGAAUUGAAAAUAGGACUUUAUUUGCAUCCCUUCCAUUUCAUAGGAAUACAGCUAAGGAUACCAUCAGCUCGCAUACUAUUUACGGGAAACAGAAGUAGGGCAAAGAGGAAAAGAGCAACUCCCUCUAUUAGAACAAUAUUCUCGAAUCGUUGCCCUUUUAUUCAUGAAGAAAGAAAACACAUCGGUCUAUCUAAAGCAACAAAAUUCGUUCUAUCUUUCUUUCUCUCCUAUUAAUAAAACUGGACUUCUCCUCUGCUCCUAUCUUAGCGCGACGGAGAAGCCAGCACUGAGAGAAGACCUCCCUUUCAAAGUCCAUCGCCUGCACUUGAACCGGAUACCUACUAUUUAUUUUAUUGAACUAGACGAUCAGCGGACUUUUAUAUCAUAUCACCAACAACGGGUUUCGCCCACAGUACAGAGAUGAUCUCAAUCGCAUCGGCAUAAAGGUCCGGAUUCCACUUCAAAAGGAUUUACGCGCGAAUUCAACUAUAGACAAAGGUCCGGAUUCCACUUCAAAAGGAUUUACGCGCGAAUUCAACUAUAGACAUAUCUCUUUGGCGACCCAGGGACGGGGAUUCAUCAAUCCCGGGGUUCGAGGGAGACUUUAGAACCCCUAUAUAUGAGUCUCGAAACCAUUAUUUAUACAUUUCUCGAUGACAGAGAUCAUCUUUAAGGAGAAUAAACAUUGGUCCUUUAUUUAAUAACCCCGAUAUUAUCAAAACCAUGAUUUCCUUAUUUCUCGAUGGCAUAGGUUCCAGGGAAGGAAAACAGUCCGGUCCUUUUUCACCCCGAAAUUCGAGAGUAGCCGUAUAAACCAAUACCGGCAGAACCACCCAAACUCGGCUCAAAGCAGGAACAAAGACAUCUAGAAAGCCCACAUCACGUGGGGACUUGGCCUUGGUGGGACAUUCAACCGACAUACACAACCAAAUAAUAAUAGGUUUUAGCCAUGUAUUCCGCUACACCGCCCUAUUGAUCUACGCUUUCGAAGCAACCACCGGUACCAUUUUCACACAACAGAGCCGACUUACUUAUUACAUUUAUAGGACAGGGAACCGGUCUCGGUAGGACUUCCAAAUCCUACCUCAAGCAACCGACAUCUCUUUACUUACUUGACCGCUAGCCAGGGGCUUGAAACCCCUUACAACCUUCCUUGCUUGCCGGGCUUACAUCGCUAUCAUCGCUAGCCAGGGACUGGAAAUCCCUUACAAUCACAUGCCUGCGCUCGUCGUGCCUUUAAUACUUAUUUAUUAACCAAACCCUCCUUGGCCCCAAUUGGUCUAAGACUCACCAACAUCUUACGAUGAGACAUCGGGCUACCUGGCAAGAGUCAAUAAAUUGGUGAACCUAUGAGAGACGCUUCUAAUUCUUUUCUUUCUCCUGACACUCACUAUCCUACCCGAUCCUGCUAACAGGAAAUUUGAUGAAAUAAGGAAACUUAGGCUGUUGUUGAAUCAACUUAGAAUACAACCGGUACCCACGUCGCAACUAAAGCACUCGUAGCAUACGUUCCAUCCACAUCCGGCCAGUUGAAGUGAAGAUCGAGAAAAUGUUCUUCAAAGCUUGCUAAUAACCAAAAAAGAAUUGGACUCGUGUAAGGGACUUCCUUUUCAAGCUAGCAUUUUAGACCAAUGCAAUCGAGUGAAAGUGCUUCCUAUCAUUUGUCUGCUGGAAACCUUGCAUUGAGUGUGCACCUUGGGAAUACUUGAGUUUGGAGGUCUUCAAGCCUUUCUAUGGGAAAGGUUUCCAAUACGUAUUCUGCCGUUGUCGAGCUUAAAAGCGGAUGAUGAUCCCUAAUCAAGAGUUUGGUCCUAGCUUUUCGAUUUCAUUUUGAGUUCUGUCCUCGCAAAGAUAUGAAGGGCGCUUUUCCAGGACGGAUACGGAUACAGGUGACCCCUUUUUCCCCUUUGCUUUCUUUAUUACUUCUCGUACGUGCCCAGUCUCAACGUCACUUCCAAAACCGCCUUUCCCAGAUCUAUGAAAGGUGAAAGGUUGAAGGUCCACAAAAGGUAACAUAAAUGAACAAGUUUAUUUUGUAUUCGAGCUGCUGAGGGCCGGAGCUCGUAUGGAUACAUUACUUCAUUGUUCUAUGAGGCCUUGCACAAAGCCCAUACUCGGAUAAGGAUCGCGAAGUGCAAAGAUCCGGUCUUUGACAACCCAACCGUCGUAAGGACAACAAAACCUAUACUUAUGUGUGUUCGACACUAUAGGCGAGACCAGUUGUCAGAUGAUCGCCGAGUGGCGUUCUGCUUGAUUAGGCGAAUGCGAGUGAGGUAUCUAAUCCCGUUCGCUAGGAGGGAGACUCAGGAAGAGUUCGGGCAGAAAUAGAUGGUGAAAAGCCCUUUAUAUUAUAUAAUAAAGCGCGCUCCUUGCAUGACUCCAUAUCAUUCAUUAUUAAAGCGAAAGCGACAACGUGUCACCCUAACCUUCAAAUCGAUAAACGGGAAUGCGUUACCUAAUAAUAAUGAGCAAUGCUGCUAAGAGCAAAUGGUUCCUAACCUCAUAAAAAAAGAGAUAGUCAUAUCCGACUAUCCGGCAACACGCUUGGAUAAGUAAGGCGAUGAACCGUACCUUUAUCUCUAGGCGCCUAUGAUGUCUUAUUAUGUAGAUCAUGUCUUGCUUGAGAGUUCCAAACCUCGCCCUUCUAAAAAAGUACAAACCCACGUCUAGGGAUAUACGAGCGCCAUUCUUCAGAUGGAUCGCUCUUCGAUAGUUAUUUAUUGUAGCCGGGAUAAGCAGGGGUUCCUCCUUCCGUCCUAGUUUUUUUUUAGUACAAGUAGCUAAGGGGGCUGGGUUGCGUCUUUCUUGUGAAAGAAUACUUGCUGCGCACCUGCUGAAAGGAAGUCAAACGGAGAUUACCGGUUCCGGAGGGACCAACCAUUGUACUUAUAGGGUCAGGUCUAUCUUGCCCUUCCAAAUCACCCAUGUGUAGCUCCACCGCACGAGUCAGACCUUGUACGGGCUUUUCCACAGGCUUGAGGCAGACUCUUUCCUUAUUGGGCUUCAAUCCGUUUGUCUUUGCCUCCUCUACUGAGUCAGUGACAGAAGUGCAGCAGCCAAUAAUACGUAUAUAAGAAGAGGACUGCUUACGGGAUCAAACUAUCAAUCUCAUAAGAGAAGAAAUCUCUAUGCCCCCUUUUUCUUGGUUUUCUCCCAUGCUUUUGUUGGUCAACAACCAACCACAACUUUCUAUAGUUCUUCACUACUCCUAGAGGCUUGACGGAGUGAAGCUGUCUGGAGGGAAUCAUUUUGUUGAAAUCAAUUAAUCCAAUAUGCGACGAAUCUUUUUGUUUGAUGAAAAUAGUCUUAAUUCAAGUUCCACCAUUGAUACAUCUUCUGCUUCCACCAUUGAUACAUCUUUUGCGAGUCAAUGCACUAACUUUUCUAGUGGUCAAGCGUCCGGUACUCAGGAUACUCAUGCUGGUAUUUUUGAGGAUUGUCCGGGCCUUAAUCCUAACGAUGAGCGUGUAGUAGAGCUGCAAUGUGAGAUACGCGAGAAGUGUGAGGCAUUAACGCAAGAUCCCGAAAUGGGCUUGAUUUUGGGCGAAGCUUUACAUGCGGAAAGCGACAAUGUCCCUUUUUUGCAGUCCAUUGCUGAUGAUUUAACCCAAAACGGAGUAUCCGGGGAAGCCUUUCAAGAAGCUCUGAAUAUAGUGGGACAGGCGGCGGCCUCCCCACUGGACCAAUUUGAGAUUGUCCCAUUGAUUCCUAUGCAUAUCGGAAACUUCUAUUUCUCAUUCACAAAUCCAUCUUUGUUCAUGCUGCUAACUCUGAGUUUUUUCCUACUUCUGAUUCAUUUUGUUACUAAAAAGGGAGGAGGAAACUUAGUCCCAAAUGCUUGGCAAUCCUUGGUAGAGCUUCUUUAUGAUUUCGUGCUGAACCUGGUAAAGGAACAAAUAGGUGGUCUUUCCGGGAAUGUGAAACAAAUGUUUUUCCCUUGCAUCUUGGUCACUUUUCUUUUUUUGUUAUUUUGUAAUCUUCAGGGUAUGAUACCUUAUAGCUUCACAGUGACAAGUCAUUUUCUCAUUACUUUGGCUCUCUCAUUUUCGAUUUUUAUUGGCAUUACUAUAGUGGGAUUUCAAAGACAUGGGCUUCAUUUUUUCAGCUUUUUAUUACCCGCAGGAGUCCCACUGCCGUUAGCACCUUUUUUAGUACUCCUUGAGCUAAUUUCUUAUUGUUUUCGCGCAUUAAGCUUAGGAAUACGUUUAUUUGCUAAUAUGAUGGCCGGUCAUAGUUUAGUAAAGAUUUUAAGUGGGUUCGCUUGGACUAUGCUAUGUAUGAAUGAUAUUUUCUAUUUUAUAGGGGCUCUUGGUCCUUUAUUUAUAGUUCUUGCAUUAACCGGUCUGGAAUUAGGUGUAGCUAUAUUACAAGCUUAUGUUUUUACGAUCUUAAUCUGUAUUUACUUGAAUGAUGCUAUAAAUCUCCAUUAAAGUUCUUCUUUCUUUUAUUUAUAUUUAUAAUUGAACAAAAGCGAGGGAUGGAUGUCUGAGCGGUUGAAAGAGUCGGUCUUGAAAACCGAAGUAUUUCUAGGAAUACCGGGGGUUCGAAUCCCUCUCCAUCCGCGAAGUCAUAAGUUCUCUCUUGCCGCCUGAUAAGAACGAAUCGGAUCGACUCGACUGAUAUGAUAGAUGGAAUGGGUACCUUGUGUUAUGAUUUUGUUAGGAACUUUGUCUCCCUUUCGUUAUCUUCUCUUUUUUUCUUGGUCGGCAAGGGUUAGGGCCUUUCUCGCUGGGCGAGCGCAUCCGAUUAGUCCUUUCCUAAGCCACUUCCCGUUCAGUUGCUGAAAAAAAAAUGGGGAUAAGCUAUGCGACGACAGAGAAAUCUGAAUCUACUUUUUGCCAGUUCCACGAAUUCUGCAGAUAACGACGUUCUGCCAGGAGUGCCAGUUCUGGACAUGUUUCCUAAUAUAUCAGUAGACACCAUAAUUAACCACCCCUUCUACUGUUCGGGUACAGUAGCUCUCGCAGAAGAAUUGGUGGAUCCUAUUAUUAUGGAGAGGUGGAUAGAUAGGACGACUAGUUGCUCGAUCAGGACCUUAGCUUUAUUGCGAGCCUAGAAGUCUCUCUUUUUUCGGAACAGCCUUUAAGUAAAAUCCAACCUAAUAUCAUUCAGAGUAAAAGGACUACGGAACCAAAGAGAACCACACUUGCUUCGCUAGGAAUGAAGCAGCACACCAAUGGGCAAAGGGUAUGGGCGACCUAUCUGCUGCGCUAGAGAAAGAAAGAAAGUGCUUCGGGCUGCUUUGCUGCGCUAGAGGAAGGAGACUGAUAAGGAGAGGAGUGAUCCAAGCUCAACUCGAUACUCCACUCAUCUUUCUCGAUUCUAUUGACAUAAUUUGGUUUCUUCUAUAUUAGUGAAAUCAUUACAUGACAGUGGAUCUUGCUUGGUACUUGUCCGAGGGGAGAUCCAUACUCAACUCAUCUUUCUCAAUUCUACUGACAUGAUUACUUGGAAUUGAUUGUCGUGAACUCAAUCUCUCAUAUAGGCAUAGUUGAAUAUCGCGAAGCAAAAACCCAAACUUGAAUAUCGCGAAGCAAAAGGCUACAUCAGACGAUGUACAAGUUUUUCAAAAAUGAUUUGAUCGAUUGGUGUGUUUCGAUCUUGUUGAUUCACUAGGUAAAUCACAGCCUCAUCCUUCUAUAUUACCUGUUGAUCGAUCAAAAAAAGCACCUUACCUCGGAUCAAGAAAAAAGAAGAAACCGAAUCUCGGAAAACGACAAAUCACACAGUUGAACAAGGUGGGAGUAGCUCGUGUGAUCUAGUCGAAGGUCCAUAGGAAACUGAUAAGGAGAGGGGUCUUCCAUCUCACUAUUCUAGAUUCUACCGAAUUAGUUGGAAUUGAAUUCGUCCAAGAUUAAAUGCCAGUUGAAUGUCGACUAGUGUUGAAGGUCCAAGCUGUACUCGACUCAUAAUUUUGCUUUUCUAUACCUUACUCGUGAAAUCGAUGAUGAUUACAUGACAGUUUAAUGUCGCCUUAUUGCUUGAUCCUUAUCUUGUAUCCAAACCAUACUCAACUCAGAAUCUACUGACGAUCGACCACCAACUCAUGAUUACAAAAACCCUCUCUUCGAAAACCCAAUAAUCAUAAACCAACUCGUCGACUUUGGUUGAUCCUUCACUUGGCCAAAGGUCCUAGCCGUACUUCCCUCCACUCAUAAUCACCAACUCUAUCAAAUUUUUAGAAUUGAAAUGUUUGACUAUUACAAAAGUACAUUUUCCAUAGAGUGCAGGAACCCCAUCCCCUCACCCCUCAUCAUCUAGCACACCCUUGGGGUUCACAUACGGUUUUAAAAAGCAAAGCAACUCUUCAUACUCAUGGCGAAGCACGCAACAAGCCGAACCCUCAAUCCCAGUGAGGACUACUCCGUUGGGGGUUACUUCGCAAGGACGCCGCAUGUGCAGUUCCUCAGUCUUCCUUCUCCUCCAUAUGAAGAUUUAUCCCAUACGGUGCUAGCGAAGCAAGUCUUCCGAGUUCAUACUGCAUCUCGAACGAAGGUCACUCACAGUUCCGAAGGUCACUACGGUUUCCGAGUCUUAUUGUUCUUCUUCUUCCACGUAUGACAGAUACCCUCAACCCUCAGGCCCACGGGGGGUUGCUACGCCCAGGGCUACUCCGUUGGCCCUGAAGGGUUACUUCGUUAGGGCUACUUGGAGGAGUUGACCAACCCGAACAUGGUGCCUUGAUCUUCAGCUUUCCAAUAAGAAGAUCAUUGAUGCAGCACACUGAGCUAAAUUCUUAAACUAUCUUUACCGGUGUGCUGCCUCGCAGAGAUUCUCAACCUAGUCCGCGCAUACUCUUUCCGUUUCUGUCUUACAGUCUUUCUUGUUCUUCUUUUCCCUAUAGUUAGAAGAUGAGCCCCUGGGGUGCCCUGCCCUUCUUUUACGGCUGAUGGACAUUCAAUAGAUUUAUCUGCUGUUGCCUGAUCUACGACCCCCUCAAUCUGUCGAAGCAAAUGCUGCACAGAGGGAGAAGUUGCCUGACCGGGCUAUUCCCUUGUUAUCUGUUGUCCAACUGGUUGAAUAGUAAUCUGUGCUGGAUCCCUCUGAAGCUGGUCAUUCCUUGUUUCCAGUUAAUAGUGGAGUCUUACUUACUUGAAUUCCUAUUACUGUUAGCUAUUAGCACUUGCUUGUUAGGUGAGGACUCUCUUAUCUGGUUAACCUUAGUGGUAGCACACUCCAAGUCUAGACAAUCUUCCUCCCAAGAACCUCUCGAUACCAGAAUGGCUACCAGGGCGCUACUAGACCAACUCAGAUCAGAUCGUCGGCAUAAUUAAUUCUUUUUACUUGCCCAGUAGUGGUCUCUGAAGUUUACUACUAGUGGUAGUGCAGAAGACCUCUUUACCUACCCGGCUACUGACAGGAAAGGAUGAUUUUAGAUUCUUUGCUUGCCCAUACGCCGAUCCUGUUAGCUGACUGGUACUACGAAGAUCUAUGCCAUUCAAAGGAGAGAUAUGAAUACACCAACUACAGACAAGAAAGAGACUCUAAGUCCAACCCAUGUCGUGGGCAGGGAGAGACAGGCAGGCAGCUAACACAGAUAUCAGAUAUUAGACUUGGCAACAGACGCUUUGAUAUGUGUUACACAGACGCCCUGUAGACAUUGAAUCGGCUCACUCCGACUUCGAUUGCUAAAAUGUUGACGUGAAUAGUGAAUACGCUUGCUGGUUGUGAUAUGUUCCCUACUAUACUACUAUUGAAGACCUUGACUUUUGAUCUUCCUUCUAGGAGAAUUCAUCAAACCUUGCUUAUCCUUCUGAUGAGCAUUCCUCUAACUAAGUUAGACUGCCUCUUACGAGCAGGUAACCUACCUUCUAAACCAUGCCCACUAUACUUUCUUCUAAGCCAGCUUUUAACUCUUUGUUUUCGUAUCAUCUCAUUGGACUUAUUUCAAACAAACUCGUUACACUCGCACCUGAUUACACGGGAACGAAGAAAACUACAUGGGGAGCACGCUUACACCUGCAAGAACUAAGGGUCCAGACCAAGCACAGACAGAUAGAACCAGACAUCAAAAAUCUUCCUUUGCAGCCUAUCAGAUAUGGAAGUUUUCGACCUGUCUUUCACUGGAUUGAAAAGCCUUGUAUGUUGAUAGGACUAUGUGGGCUGCAUUUUGAAGUUUCUUUCAUCGCAAACUGGCCAUGGGGUAAACCCUCUGAGAUAGGGGGCUGCUCAAUCCCAUGUAUGUUGACAGGGAGAGGGAGCGAACUUUCUUAUCAUAUCAGAGCAAGCCGAAGACCUCUUCCGGGAAAUCGGUUCCACUUCCAAUCUUUUUUUUGAAGAAAGAAAAGUAGCAAGAGAAUGGUUCAAGUUCGGAUCGAGUAACGGUGAUUGAAGGGAUGAGAUCGGAAGCUCCUGAUUCAAAUAGUUAACUGGGCUGUGGUUGUCGAGUCUGCUUUCCCUCUCUAUCAAAGCCCUUGCACCUGCCUUCUCAGUUCCUCGUGCUUAGCGGGACUCCUUUUCUAAUUAGAAGGAGACAGAUUAGGUCAAGUUGCUCCAGGUAUGAAAUCAAUCCCAUGUUGGUCGUAAGAGUGGCAAGCCAUGAGGUAGGUCUUAUGGAAAUAAAUAAGCAUCUUCCUCAAGCAACUCCUUCAUCUGUGGCGGCUGCUCCUCCAAGACAACUGCCCAGCAUAACUAAACUCUUAUCUUUGACUUGACUCUCUUUUGUUCUAUGCCCCUUAGGUAGGAGUCAGAUCUGUUUUGUAGCUUGUUUCACCCUUCUUUGUAGCUUGCCGUUUGGUGUGUUCAUCCCCGCCCUCCCUGAACGGAGCUGUUGCUAAAGCAUAACUAAUAUCUUAGCUGUUUGGAACGUAUAGCUACCCGGUUCUUCCUUUCUUUAGCGGAGGCGUAGGUAACAUAUCUAUCUAUGAGUUGCUGAGAACGUCUCCAAAGCAUAAGGAGUUGUUCUUCAAUUUCAACCAAGAAGCACAGGUUCCCGCAACCCUGACGCCAGAAGAGUUGCAAGACGUGGUCUGGUCGAACAGAUUACGACCGCUGACCUUUACAGAUCAAUUAUUUUCCAUCUUGAAAGAACAGCCGGAAGGUAUGAAGCUCUAGUCCUUCUUUCUAGCCGUAAAUCAAGAACUCGAAAGGUUUAUUACUUUGUUUAAUCGCUUGACUAGCUUCGAAAGAGCAAUCUCCUCUUCUAGUCUUACCACAAAUCAAUGCUUUCAAGAAAGUGCUCAGUUCCUGACAACAUGGUUCCCGGUCGCGCAUCCCCAUGGAGGUGGAUAUUUCACACAUUGGGGUCAUCAGCCGUCGAACACAGUCAAGUUAGCAAAGAUUCGUACGAAGGAAAAGAAGAAAGAUAGAUGGUUUCUAAUGGGAAGGUAGCAGCUGUCAUCAUUAUGAUGAUUCAAUCCAUAUUAAUCCCUAUUUCAGAACUAUGUAUUAGUUAGACGACGUCAACGGAACAAGAACUCCUUCCUUUACAGGCAAGCGGGGUAGCUGCUGUCUCGUUUAGGAACUUGAGUUAGUCGACUAAGAGGUAGAAAGUGGAAAGAAGCGGCCUAAAGGAUUAGCGACGACCCCUCUCGGCUUAAAGUAAAGGAAGCGGCUUGUCCCAUCCAAUGCCCUACUUUUAAGUACUCGGUAUGUUCACUCAAUCAGAAGAAGCUUUCGGAAGUUCAUUGGCCUCUGCGGAGCAUGAAAAGGCCUGUUUUGAAGCUCCGGGGACUUAUUAGCCCGUCAGCCUUACUUCUUAGGAAGAAGAGAAAUGUGCUUGACUUCUUCAUCUUAUAAGAUGACGGCAACAUCCUAGAUAAGAUCUACGAUUCCUGCUUAUGAAUCAUGGCAAACCGGUGGUGAAAACAGUAUUACAGAGUAGGUUGGUUAAAUUAAAGCGGGUUACUUUGAUCUUAUCGUCUAGCCGGGCAUGAGAGCCCAAUAAAAAAGGACCGACGACGAUCCGAGAAGGACGAAUCAAUAAAUCGACUUCCUUUAGAGCAGACAGACUACGCGCUAACAGCUUUAGAAACUUUGCUAUACUAACAAAGCAAGCAUAGCAAAGUCAAAGUUUGAGUUAGACCGGGUAUGAGGCAAAGCCAAAGGCAGAAGUGGUUUAUCCAGGUCGGUUGAAUCCCCGAAAUAAGCACCAAUUGCUACCGUCCAAUCGCUAUCAUUAUCAUGGUUGGAGCAUAGAUAGCAAAGGUAUGGUUAGAGGUCAAAUACACAUAUCUACCAGGUAGGUGAAACGAAUUCCAUACCCAUAUCGGGUAAUGGGCCUCCAAUUACUUCAGCCUAAAACGAAGUCUGAGGUCGGGUCAACAAUCUAAUAGGUUGCCUUCCCCCGUUCGAGAGUCAGAAUCCUAGCCAGGUGAAGAUCCACUGGAUGGCGGGCGGAGUGGCUUUAGAACCGAAAAAGUAAGAAAUUCCAGAGACGGUUGACCGAGCGGAGACAUCAGAGGAAGGAGCACUAAUGGAAGAGGCAUCCAUUAGCUAGGGACACAAGGGCUCUUCUCUGGUAGCGGAGUCUAAGAUCAAGCCAGCUAGAGAGGCAGGAAGAGGAGAGGCAUAACUGAUUGAUUGUUGUUGACUCUUUUUUCCCGGUUCUAAAGCCAAUCACAGAGAAAUGGGGGCAAAAGAGCAAGAAGUAGCACCUACAAUGGACCGGGUUUACCGAGUCUCACUAACAGCAUUUAGCCUAGCAUCACAGCCACCAGCCGAAAAAAAAAGUCCCUGACCUCAAACCGAAGGCAUCCGUGGCAAAGAAAGCAUCUGAGCUGGAGAUUGUGUUCGGUUCAUGUCUUUGUUUUUUAUUUUGAAGGUUGGGUGGGAUUAAUGAGAGUUACGAGGCUUUAAAGAGAUAUAUAGGCACACAAACGUUGAUGCCUUUUUAAAGGCUAUGAAAGUUGGAAGCUGGUCUUUGUUGACUUUUUGUAUCAUUCUUUUCUAGAUGUGAUAAUCAUAACUCUCAUAUAUAUCAACUUUAAGGUUUUUUAUAAGGACAUGGUUAUAAUAUGAAAAGUUUUUGGAGAGAAAUCCCCAUUUUCAGUAAAACAAAAGUUUUGCAUAAACGUAUCCGAAUACACACAUACAUUUUACUUCUCGGAUUAGUUUACCAGUUGAAGACUAUAGAUUGACAAGAUCCAUCAUGAAUCCCAUCCGCUAUCGUUAUUCGUUACGAUUGUCUCCACCACAUCAACCAAAAUUUGUUGUUAUUAGCCUUUGUUCGUCAUUGCCAACGUUCUAAUCAUGUAGUAACUGCUUGAAUGAUCAAGAGGUAAGCAGAGAAAUAGAAAAUAAAAAAUGAGCAGAUUAAAGAGGUGGAUGUGGAAAAGCAAAGCAGAAAAGAGAAAUCGAGAAAAUCUUUUAACUCGCUAGAAGAAUCAUACAUGUAAUUCUACUGAGUAUAAAAAAAUUUGGUGGUUUAAAUGUCUUGAUAGAUGAAAAAGUAAGAUAAUUCAAGAGGAGAAAAAGAACAAUAAUACUAUAACAAAUAAUAACACAGUACGUAGUUAAUUCAAAUAAGUAUGCAUUUUAAUGUGUUUUUUCUUCACACAACUAUAUUUUCUUUAUCUUAAAUUAAUCCAAUCGCUAGCUCUCUAAUGUCGUUUUGUUCUUCUAUCUAAGGGGUUUUAAUUGUGAAAUUCUGUCUUUGUUUUAGAGUUUAUCUUUGUUGUUACUUAUCAGGGUUUGUAGAAAGAAUCCUAUUCAAGUUCCUAUAGAUGCAUGGCGUAAAAAUCUUUGAGGAGGACCUGCGUCUAGAGAAGGUAAAGUUUUCAAUCUUUAUCUUUUUAUGGCGUAAGAUGGUUCACCUUCUCAAGAUAUGCUUUUUUUAUAUCCAAUCAAAACAAUUCAGGUUUUGCUUUAAAUCUCUGGGAAUUCAAGGGAGCUGGGAUGAUGAUAGGUUUAUGUUGGUUGAUAGGUUUGAUUUUUACUGUGAUAAGUAUUUUUGAAUUUUAUAUUGGGUCAUUGCACCAUAAACUGGAGAUCGAAAAAGAAAAUAUACGAAGACAAACGUAAAAGAGAAUGUUUUAUCAAAAAAACUUAUAAAAAGCGAAAUCAAUUCUCUCGACUUUUAAGACAUUUAGCAGACCUAGAAAUCAAGAUGGUGGAUACUUUCGGUAUUUGGUUUUGUUGUUGUUAACUAAUCCAUUGUUCUCUACUCUAAAUUUGUUUAGUACAUAAGUCAUUUUCAUAUCGUUUUUCUUCUGUACAUUGUUCAGUGGUAUGAUAAGUCACUUCCGCAUCAAGAUGGCAAAACAGAUUUUUGAUAAGGCCAUGCAUUUUAUAAAGCUCCAAAGUAGAGAUAUAUUUGUUUAUUGGACACGUCCCAAACUAGAAGUUUUUCCGGUGUGGAGAAGACUAAAAAUACACUAAUUUUGGUGUGGUUUACAUAGACUAGAAUAAAAAGAUGGUAAAUGUCAAUAGUUGUGCCUUCUUCUCAUGUAAGUUAAUCAGCUACUUUAACACUUGUGGUUCUUGAGGAUUUAAGUGCUAAAUACUAAGAAGAGCUUAUGAGAUCAUGUUCUUUACCAUCUCAAUUUCUAUAACUUUUAUGUAAUUUGAGUGAGCUCUGUUUUUUUUUUCUUUCAAUCCGUUGAAAAGUUUCGAAAGAGAUGUGAUGACUAUUUUGAAAGUGUAUAGUAGUCAACUAUAGUGUUAUUGUUGGAAAGCAUGUAUUAUGUUAUGUGUAUUUCUUUAAUUACCUUGGUGCUUAAUUUCUUAAUGUUUACUUUACCAUGGAUUAUACUGAUUGAAGAAUUUUAAAUUGUUUAUCCAAAUUUAUCUUAACCUUCAAUUAUUCCAGAAAAAGUAGUCAAAGAAACAUAGGUCGAAUAAUUAAAUGAAAAGAUAUUUUGAAAAUUCUUAUAACAAAUAUAAUGCUGGAAACAAAGUUGAUAGAGUUAUUUAAGGAUAAGUUUUAAGGGCUGCAAGCUCUUCAUCCAUAUUUUUCUGGUUAUUAUCGAUGAGUUAAAUUUUUAUUUGUGGGAGUAUUGAAAACGUAUAUUCGAAGGGAAAAAAUGAUUUUGUGAGCUAAAUUUGUUGCCGUCUACAGCAUCCCAGCGUACUGUGUGAGCCGACAUGUAGAAUUUACAAUUUAAAACUGUUAUUUUAAUAAGUAGUUCUCUUACGUUCAAUAUAUUUUUAAAUAUAAAAAUAAAAUAAAUCAUCUAAGAGCCAAUUUCACGAAAGAAAAACAACAAAAAGUUUAUCUUAAAAGAGAAUUAAUUUCAUUCUCUAUUUUAGAUGAGUGUUAGAGUAUAUAUGUAUAUAGCGUCAUACAUCUAGACUAAGUUAAAUAUUGGUGUUAUUUGGUAGGGCUUAAGAUAUAGUGUUUAACAUUUAGAUGAAGUUAAUUAUAUAGGUUUGGGUUUAUAAAGUAGGAACUAGGGUUUAGUGUUAUAAAUUCAGAUGAAUUUGAAUAACUAAUUUGGGUUUAUAAGGUAGGGUUAGGGUUUAAGGAAUAACUGAUGGAAGCACAUACAAUAAUGUAAACUUAUAUCUUUAGUUCAUAUCUAACUAAAAAUAUUUGAACAAUUUGAAACCUCAUUCGAUUAUAUUUAAAAUUAUUUAUGACUUAAAGUUCAUUGUAAUUGUGUUUAUUUGGUAUAGUGUUUAACAUUUAGAUAAAGUUAAAUAUAGGUUCGGAUUUAUAAGGUAUUAGGUAGGAUUUAGUAUUAUUCAUGUAGACGAAUUGAAAUAACUAAUCUGGGUUUAUAAGGUACAGGUUAGGGUUUAAGGUUUAGAAGUCUCAUGAAUAUUAAAAAGGGGUGCUAAGUAAUUUGCAAGGAUUAGGCACUUAUGGGGCUUGGAGUUAUUCCUCUUCUCCUCCGUUGGGAAUAAGUUUUUUUAGUGAAAGUUGUCCAGAAAACGAGAGGGAAGAACUCAACUAUUUCUCAAUUUGAAGAAGCUUCCGGUGGAUCCUUUUUUUGUUCUUGAGACCUUUGAAGUUAAUCAGUAGGGGUCCUAGGCGCUAGAAUGUCUAGAUUGAAAAAGUAGCAUAUAUAAGCUUUUUUAUUUCAAGAGAGUAAAGUUUACCCUGUUUUAGUGUACCAAAAGAUAAGAGACUGUGUUUUUGUGUGUAAGAAAUCUCAAGAGACAAGCUAAAGUAGUCGAAACUUUGUGUAAAACCAAUUAAGAGAGUUACAAGUUCUUUAUAAGAUUUUUUGAUGAAUUUAUAAGCUCAUUGUUGCUGAAUUUUUUAAAUUUUUUUAGUUACUUAUUAUUUUGAAGUUAGAUUUUGAUAUUGUCAAAAGUAUUUAUGGGUCCGGCGCAUAGGCAGACACAAAGAAGAUUAAAGGAGGUCAGCUGGUCUUUUUAGAAUUCUACAUUUGCAUUGUAACCCUUUAAAAUUCAUGAUAUUAUUUAUAUAUAUUUUUUUAUUUUUACUCUUUUAAAAUUACAAAUUCAUAUGUAAACCUUCUAAGUUUUAUUGUAUUUUUCUUCUACUUUGUGGUUUGACACUAUUUCUAACAUGUUUUUUACUUUUUUUGUUUGAUUCACCCAUAAACAUUGAACCAUAUUUUAUCUAUUUUUUAAAUGAAGUUUUUUGAGUUUUAAAUUUUUUGGUUACUUAUUAUUUCGAAGUUAUAUUUUGAUACUUUAUAAAUUAUUUAUGGGUCCGCCGCAUAGGCAGACCCAAAAAAGAUUAAAGCAGGUCAACUGGUCUCUCUAGAAUUUUAUAUUCGCAUUGUAACCCAUUAAAAUUUAUGAUAUUAUUUAUAUUUCUAUUGUUUUUACCUUUAAAAUCACUAAUUCUUAUGUAAACAUUUAAAGAUUUAUCGUGUUUUUCUUCUACUUUGUGUUUUGAUACUAUUUCUUUGUUUUCAACUUUUUUGUUUGAUUCACCCAUAAAUAUUGAACCAAAUUUUGGUGUUUUUAAAAGAAAUGAAGAUUUUUUUAGUUUUUUAAUUACUUAUUAUUCAAGUUAUAAUUUGAUCCUAUAAAAAGUAUUUUGGAUCCUUGACUUGAAAUGUAAAAUUAACGGGUACAAUGUGAUAGUUAAUAUCCUAAACAUUAUAUGACACAUGCCUUUGAUACGGGUAAAUAGAUAUAAAUAUAGGUGUUGUUAUAUCCAUAUAAUAUAUAUUUUUUAAUUUCGUAAAUGUCUCUAACUUAUCACUCUAAAUUAUGAUUGAUUCAAGAAGAUACUCAUUUUAAAUUUUUUUGGUCGAAUUUCAAAAAUUUUGGUAUGCUUGAUCUUUAAAAUUUAAAUUUAAUUUUAAAAAAACAAAUUUUGGUCGCGCAAGGCGCGGGUGGCUCACUUAGUCUCAUAUUAUUCCUUCACGAAUCUGGACUUAUUACAUUUUCGUUUAUAAAAGGAACGUUAAUACCCGGUUCAUUCCAGUUUACAGACUCAAUCAUAGUUAUUCUAAACCAUACUCUAAUAAAAACCAAAUUAGUCAAACUGACCCAAAUCAGAAACAAAACGAACCAUAAAUAAAUCGAAAUGCACAUCACUAGCAACUUUUCUAUAAAAGUGAAAGUGGGUGGACAGACACUUGGGUAGAAAACCCAAGAGAUGAGUGGCUUCCACGUCAUCCUUUACAGUGAUCCUCGCACGCAUGUAUAACACUUAUAUCAGUCAAAGUCAUUAUUUUAAUCAAUGGACCAUUUCCAACUUAACUUUAACUUUAAUGAUGCCAGCUUUGUGUCACACCACUUACUAAUAAACGUAGAAAUAUAUCCAAAAAUGAACUAAAACACUACUCUGGAAAUAUUAAAUAUAGAAAACCAAAGAAUUGGAACAGUUCAUCGGGAAGGGUUUUGGGACCCUAGAGAAUCCAUGGCUAUCACUCUCACUAAUUUCACUGUAAGUACACUAUUUCUUUACUUUCUCUAUGGUUUGUUGAUGAUGAAAAAUUUAUCAAUCUUUGUCUCAGUUUCUCUAUAUGGAUGCAAACCUGAAACGUUUAGGCGACAUAUAUCCUUCCUUGAACUUCAUGGGUUUAUAGGAGUUUGCGUAUGUAUAUAGAUACAUGAAUGCUCAAUUUUGGAUUGUUGUUCCUUAAGAAUGAUUACAGUUUUAGGGUUUGGAGCAAAUGUAGUUACUCUUCUUCUGAUUCUGAUUCUCACCAUAACGAGAAGAAAUGGUAGAUGUAACAGAAGGGUAAGAGUAAGCCUAAUUUUCUACUUUGGUUUUGGUAAAAAAAAAGAACUGAUUCGUCCUCAUUUGAUUUUCUUUAUUAGAAAAGCUACAUUGAGAAGUGUUUGUUGUAUGUAACACCUGCACUUGGAGCUUGUUUGUCAUGUGUGGACUUGGUGUUACUUGUGAGAACAAACCGUAGGAGAGAAGUCAUUCUCUGUUUUGUCCCCUUGUCUGGUUUCGUAAUGUGGGUAAGCUUCUUGUUACCAAACACGAACAGAACUCUGUCUUUGUCUUUCUCUUUUGUUUCUGCUUUGAAGGUUUUUUUUACCUUGUAGAUUGCCGUCAUCCUCUCAUUGAAGUUUGCUUGUUGUGCGUGCCACGUUUUCACUAGCCAGAUUCUAUGUUUCUGGUGGAUCUUUAGAUUCCUAACAGAUGCCCUUCAUCUUAACAUGAUUUUCACAUUACAGGUAAUUAAGUUGUCUUUAUGAAUCUGUCACAUUCUCCAUAUAAGUAGAGUUGGUUAACCGAAUUUGGAGCGUGUACAGGAGAUUUGCCUCAUCAUGUUGGACAUUGCUUUUGGUAUCUCUAUUAAUGUCCUCAGGAUAAAGCAGGCACAUCCCAAAAUCAUGUAUAUGCUUUAAUAUGGUUCUCUUAUUUAAUAUUUUUUUCCUUUUCAUUUCUUGUUUAAUUCCUUAUUCUCCUUGUAGUCCUUUGGAAGAUCCACUUAUUGAAGACGACGAUGAUCAAAAGCGCAUUGUACGACGUCUCUUCCUUGUAACUAACUAGUUUAAAGAGUAGUUAAAGACCAAUAGAUUUGUUCAUUCUUUGAAGGAGAAAAAUGGAAGCUGGUGGGACUUAUUCACUUUUGGGUACAUUGGUUCAAUAAUGAAACAUGGCUCGGUGAAGCAGCUAGAAUUGGAAAAUCUACUUACACUACCACCUGAAAUGGAUCCUUUUACAUGUUGUGAGAAUUUAUUGAGAUGUUGGCAACUUCAAGAGUGUAAUAAUUACUCAACUCCAUCACUAAUUUGGUCAAUAUAUGGUGUAUAUGGAUGGCCAUAUUUUCGUCUUGGACUGUUAAAGGUACGUUGCUUAUUUGACUUUCUUAUAUAAUCUUUGUUAAUAUUGCUACUACAAAACAUGAAUUUUGCAGGUGUUCAAUGAUUGCAUUGGAUUUGCUGGACCCUUACUUCUCAACAGACUUAUCAAGUAUCUUGAAAAAGGUUGAGAAUCUUUUUAAAGAUUUAGUAAAUAUGAUUACUAAUGGAAUCAUUGACACUGUUUAUAAACUAAACAGGUUCAGGAAGUUCUGUUGGCUAUACACUUGCUAUCUCCUUGGGCUUCAUAUCUAUCUUUAAGUAAAUAUAGUGCAUAGUCAUCAUAUUUCUACAUUUUUUUGUCAUCUCAAAUGUGUUCCAAGUGUAGCAAUAGUUACUAGGCACUUGUGAUGUAUGCUUUUUUGUCUUGUAGGUCUUUUCUUGAUACACAAUACACGUUUCGUCUUUCAAAGCUGAAACUCAAGCUACGGUCUAGUAUAAUGAGUGUCAUCUACAGGAAGGUAAAACAUGUGAAAAGUGAAAACUUUUAUUGUGAGUGGUAGUAAUUGGUUCCAUAAUUUCUUGAAAGUGAACUAUUAUCACAAGAAUUUUGUAUAUAUACAGUAUGGUUUUGGAAAUUUGUGCUUUGCUUCAGCGAGUAUUCGGUUAAAGAUAUCGAUAUCUCCUUGCCGUUACUACAAACGGAGACGCACCUUUUGAGUAUACGAUAUAUAACUUCAUACAUAGUAUCAAACGUUUUGGUUCUUUUGGUAAAGAGCUGUUUUUGUUUAUGAAAUUAUAUUGUAUGCAGUGUUUGUGGGUGAACACAGCAAACCGGUCAGGAUUUUCUGAAGGCGAGAUUCAAACAUUUAUGUCGGUAGAUGCUGACCGCAUUGUUAACUUGUGCAACAGUUUGCAUGACUUGUGGAGGUAAGAACAUUUGCCUGUAAACAAUGAAAGUGCUUCCAAUAUUGAGUAACAAUAAAUUGGCCACUCUUACAAUUUUUCAUUCAAAUAUAUGUCUCAGCCUGCCUUUGCAAAUUGGGAUAGCUUUGUAUCUUUUGUAUACUCAAGUCAAGUUUGCUUUUCUUUCUGGACUUGCAAUCACCAUCUUGCUGAUACCAGGUACCCAGUUUACAUUAUCGUAACUACAAUAUAGAAUGCCCAUUUUUUUCUUUUGAAUAUCUGGAAGUGUAAGCCCAAAGGCCAUACAUCUCCUAGAGGCGAGACCCACACCAUUUUAGAUUCAUCUCCUUUGAAAAAGAAAUCCCUCCCAACGUGCCUCGAACCUAUCACCUCCACGGAGAUUUAGUAUUGGGCCAAUAGCUCGUUGGUGAUGCCAGUUUUUCUCAUUUUCCCUUUUUUUUUGGCAGUGAAUAAAUGGAUAUCGGUGCUGAUUGCAUCUGCAACAGAGAAAAUGAUGAAGCUUAAAGAUGAGAGGUGUGAGAAAACGUUUAGUAAGUGUUGAUCAUAAGAGGGAUGUUAGUAGUAAUUUCUCACAUUGUAAAAAGUUUUGUUAUCUAUCAGGAUUAGAAAAACAGGAGAGCUUUUAACAAACAUACGCACACUUAAAAUGUAUGGAUGGGAUAACUGGUUUGCUGAUUGGUUGAAGGAAACAAGAGCCACCGAAGUGACUCACUUAGCGGUUAGGUCUUCGUAUCCUUCCUUUUGCUGUUUUGUCCAAGUACUUUGUAUUAACGUUUAAGUCUUCGUUUGGCUUUUCUAGACUCGGAAGUAUUUAGAUGCUUGGUGUGUUUUCUUUUGGGCAACAACACCAACUCUUUUUUCUCUUUGCACUUUUGGUCUCUUUGCUCUGAUGGGUCAUCAACUUGAUGCAGCAACGGUACUUUUUGAAUCUGCUCUAUAACAUUUUCUGAUUCAAAUAUGUAAAAUUUUCUUGACAAUCCUGUUUUUUUUUUUCCAGGUGUUUACUUGUCUUGCUUUGUUUAAUAGCUUAAUCUCUCCAUUAAACUCGUUUCCAUGGGUCAUCAACGGUCUCAUUGAUGUAAGAUUAUCUUUCGAUCAUAUUAAGAAGCAUUUUUAUCUACCAUUUUAGUUAUAUAUCAUUUUUGUUACCUUGUUGCAGGCCUUUAUAUCCACCAGGCGUGUGAGCAAGUUCUUGUGUUGUUUGGAGCAUAGUAGAGAUUUUUCUAUAGAUUCUGGAUUUACAUCUGAAGACUUAGCUGUAUGUGUGGAAGAUGCAUCUUGUACUUGGUCAAGUAACGUAGAAGAGGAUUAUAACUUGACAAUAAAACAAGUAAGCCUAAGAGUGCCAAAGGGAUCUUUUGUUGCAGUUAUCGGGGAGGUAUACGAAUCGUCCCCACCGUUAGAGCUGCAUAGUUCGAUUAAAUUAUGAUUAGGUGUUUCUUAAACUCUUUUUGUUUGCUUAAUUUUCAGGUUGGUUCAGGUAAAACAUCGUUGUUGAAUUCACUUUUAGGCGAAAUGCGGUGUGUUCAUGGAUCUAUACUAUUAAAUGGCUCUGUGGCAUAUGUACCACAGGUUUGUAAACUGGUUAAAUACUUUCUUUUUGGUUUCCACUAUGAGAAGUCUUACAUGUACCUCACUCACCUUCAAGGUCCCAUGGCUUUUGUCUGGAACUGUACGUGAAAACAUUUUAUUCGGGAAGCCUUUUGACUCCAAAAGGUUUAGUAAGUUUGCUUCAUCAACUCUUAAAGUUAUGAUCUAGUGUAACUGAUAGACAAAGCUAGUGGUGACUUUGUUAAACUAGGUAUUUCGAGACAUUGAGUGCUUGUGCACUAGAUGUGGAUAUUUCACUUAUGGUCGGAGGAGACAUGGCGUGUAUAGGUGAUAAAGGACUAAACUUAUCCGGAGGACAGAGAGCUCGGUUUGCUUUGGCCAGGUUUGCUAUAUAUCUCCUAUGCUCUUUCACCAUCCAUAGACUUGAGUGUUGUGUUUCUGAUGAUUUUGUGUGUGCUUUAUCAAUAGGGCUGUUUAUCAUGGUUCAGACAUGUACCUUCUUGAUGAUGUACUGAGUGCAGUGGAUUCACAAGUAGGAUGUUGGAUAUUGCAAAGAGCACUUCUGGGUCCUCUGUUGAACAAAAAGACUCGUGUUAUGUGCACUCACAACAUUCAGGUCUCAAAUCUCUCUACACGUUAAAUAUUUAUCUAUCUCAAUUUAAUUUUUUCUCAUACCGUCAAGCUGUUUCUACUAUGACAGGCGAUAUCUUGUGCAGAUAUGAUUGUUGUGAUGGACAAAGGAAAAGUGAAUUGGUCAGGAAGUGUUACUGAUAUGCCCAAAUCCAUUUCUCCAACAUUUUCUUUAACCAAUGAAUUUGAUAUGUCAUCACCAAAUCACUUGACCAAAAGAAAAGAGACUCUAUCUAUCAAGGAAGAUGGUGUAGAUGAAAUUAGUGAAGCUGCGGCGGAUAUCGUCAAAUUAGAGGAACGAAAAGAGGGUCGAGUUGAAAUGAUGGUUUAUAGGUAAACAAAAUUUGCUUAACCAUGUCUUUUUUUUGUUGCCUAUAUGUAUAAGUAAGUGAUUGUUAUCUGUUUAUGCAGGAACUAUGCUGUGUUUUCUGGUUGGUUCAUUACUAUUGUAAUAUUGGUUUCAGCGGUUUUAAUGCAAGGGUCUCGUAAUGGAAAUGAUUUGUGGCUAUCAUAUUGGGUUGACAAGACAGGAAAAGGAGUAUCGCAUUACUCAACCUCGUUUUAUUUGGUAUUAAACUCGCGCAUAAAACCACGAAACGUAACUCUUAUGUCUCUGUGUUUUUCUAGUUUAAUAAUAACUACUAAUCUUGCAGAUGGUUCUCUGUAUCUUUUGCAUCAUUAACUCAAUAUUAACCUUGGUGAGGGCAUUCUCAUUUGCAUUUGGAGGAUUAAAAGCAGCAGUGCAUGUUCAUAAUGCAUUAAUCAGUAAGCUUAUAAAUGCACCUACACAGUUCUUUGAUCAGACACCAAGUGGAAGAAUACUUAAUAGGUUAGACACAAGGAAACUCUUUGAAUCAUGUGUCUUGUUCUUCAUCUUAACUUCUUUUUUUGGUUUUACUCUGUUCAGGUUUUCCUCUGAUCUAUAUACCAUCGACGACUCUCUCCCGUUUAUUCUCAACAUUCUUCUAGCAAAUUUUGUUGGCUUGUUAGGGAUUAUUGUAGUAUUGUCUUAUGUUCAGGUUUGUCUGAAACUCUUCUCUCUUUUUGCUAAGUAUUAACUCUUCUGUUUUGUUGGAGAAGUUACAUUAAUGUAUAAUAUGUAUACAGGUUCUAUUCCUGCUUCUGCUUCUGCCAUUUUGGUACAUAUACAGCAAGCUUCAGGUACAUAUACAACUUCUUGUAGCCAAUCUGAUUUCAUAUUUGGUGUCCCUUAGAGAAGAAGAAGAGUUCAAAUUUUCUACUAACUGAAAAUUGCUUCAGGUCUUCUACAGGUCUACUUCAAGGGAACUACGAAGGUUGGACAGUGUUUCACGAUCACCGAUAUAUGCAUCGUUCACGGAGACACUUGAUGGGUCAUCAACUAUCAGGGCUUUUAAGUCUGAGGUAGUUUUGGUUCUGCUUCUAAAUGUCAGGUUUUGCUUCUCCAUUAAUGACAAAACUGUAUGCUAAUUCCGGUUUGCAUGACAGGAGCAUUUUGUAGGUAGAUUUAUUGAGCAUUUGACGCUAUACCAGCGGACUUCUUACUCAGAGAUAAUCGCAAGCUUGUGGCUCUCCUUGCGUCUUCAGGUACACUAAUACAUCUUUGCUUACAUUUUGUAGAACAUUUUUCAUUCACCUUUUGAGAAUUGGUAACAAUGUUUAGUUUCAUGUGUCUGCAAUAAAUAUGGAAAUCUCGAAAAAUCGCUGAUAAGUUGAGUAAAAUGGUGCAGUUGUUAGGAUCAAUGAUUGUCUUAUUUGUCGCUGUAAUGGCUGUCCUCGGCUCCGGGGGGAACUUUCCAAUCAGUUUUGGUACACCUGGACUGGUAAGAAACUGCAGUUUUCAUAAAUAUAUAGGAAAGUGAAAAGCAUACUAUUUAUAAUUUGGAUCACAGGUGGGAUUAGCGCUCUCAUAUGCAGCUCCAUUGGUUUCUCUGUUAGGAAGCUUGUUAACAAGUUUUACUGAAACAGAAAAAGAAAUGGUUUCUGUUGAAAGGGUUCUCCAGGUAAUGAUUCUGAUUCUUUUUUUGGUUUGUCAACCGAAAUUAAUUGCAGCUCAAAAGAGCCAUUCCUGAGGAAUGUUGUUUACAUAUAUGAUAUGAUGUGGUUCGGUACAAAUUCGUCGUGCCAAAUUAUCCACUUCUACAUUCGCACUACGAGAAAUCAAAGAUAAAGAUAAUGAUUCUGAUUCAUUAAGUAAUUUUUGUAUGUUAGUGUUACUAAUUACAUGAACCAUGCUCUCCUGUGUUAUUAGUACAUGGAUGUGCCUCAAGAAGAAGUUUCAGGUCCUCAAUCUCUCAGCGAUAAGUGGCCUGUUCACGGAUUAGUUGAGUUUCACAAUGUGACAAUGAGAUACAUCUCAACUCUGCCUCCGGCCCUCACCCAAAUUUCUUUUACAAUCCAAGGAGGAAUGCAUGUACGUGUAUCGCCGAGCACUCUACAACAGACUUGACUUUUUCUGUUUUUAUCUUUUCUCCCAACAUAUACAAUUUAUAUGAAGUUAUCGGGAAGAGACUAUCCGCUAGAGAGAGCACUCUACAACAGAAUUGACUUUUUCUGUCUCAUGAUUGUUUUGUUUUCAUUUAUCAGGUAGGAGUAAUUGGAAGAACUGGUGCCGGGAAGUCCUCGAUCUUGAAUGCGCUUUUCCGGCUUACUCCUGUUUGUAGUGGAGAGAUAUUGGUGGAUGGAAAAAACAUAAGCCAUCUUCCGAUAAGAGAACUCCGUUCUUGCCUCGCUGUUGUUCCUCAGAGCCCUUUUCUGUUUCAAGGAUCACUGAGGUGAGAACUUAACUCCUUCAAUUCACUAACCAAAGGUGUUGCCUGCAGUUUCAUAAUGAAAAAAAGUUGUGGUUCUCGUAGGGAUAACCUUGAUCCUCUUGGGUUGAGUGAGGAUUGGAGAAUCUGGGAGAUCCUAGACAAGUGUAAAGUUAAGGCAGCGGUAGAAAGUGUAGGAGGGUUAGAUUCAUAUGUAAAGGAAUCUGGUUGUUCCUUUUCUGUUGGACAGAGACAGCUUUUGUGCCUUGCUCGUGCUUUGCUCAAGUCAUCUAAGAUCCUAUGCCUUGAUGAAUGCACCGCCAACAUCGAUGUUCACACAGCUUCCCUACUCCACAACACGAUAUCGAGUGAAUGCAAAGGCGUAACCGUCAUUACCAUUGCUCACCGCAUUUCUACGGUUGUUGAUUUAGACAGCAUCCUAAUUCUUGAUCGUGGAAUUCUUGUUGAACAAGGAAAACCACAACAUCUUUUGCAAGAUGACUCCUCAACUUUUUCAAGCUUUGUCAGAGCUUCUCAGUGAAAUGUUGUUAGAAUCUGAUCACUUGUAACUUCUGAUCUCUGCUAUAAUUAUCUUGUCAUGGAAAUUAAGAAAAACUAGUUUCAACUGUAGUAGCUCAUUUAUAUGCUCAGUUUUCCAUAAUAAAUGAGUCUUCAUGGACUUGCCUAAUCCAAAUUCAUAAAUAUCUAUCUAAUUCGAUGGUGAUUGAGAACUGAGAAGUAAACAAUGGUACUCUUAUUGUCUGUUUUUCUUCCAAGAAGUUAGUUCAGAAGGAAUUGAUUCUUCAUUGCAACUUAAAACAGCUUUAGCCAUGAGUUUCCCAAGCUAUGCAUGAUAGAGUAAAGUAAUUGGCCAAAAAUAUGUUAAAUAGAGAAGCAAUUAUCUCUCAACAACACAAGAACAAAAUGAAAUUGAGAGAUUCCGGGAGCUUCAGAACCAGUUCAAAAUUCAACAACAUACUAGUUUUGUAACCCGAACCAGUUUAAAAGAAGAACAUUUUGAGUCAAGUUCAACCAUGGUUAUUUAUUUCAUUUUUUUUUCAAGGUAACAACAUUCUACUAAUAACAACAUUAAGAAAAUUUUAAUUUACAUAUACGUUCAGAUUACACUUUUACUUUAUCAACUAUUCUAUCUGCAUCUUUACUUUAACUAUCGGCACUAGAUUAUACCAUUCAGCAAUCUUCAAACGCUUUCCUAACAUUGGCGUGACAUUUUAACUAAGGACAACAAAGGUGGAGAAUACAUUAGUUUGAAGCAAGCGUAAAAGUUUACUAAGAAUCUUCAUCAAAUACACAUGACAUAAGCUUCUCUUUCUACUUUUUGCCUACAAAUUAACUUGAUAAUAUUAAAUAUUUUGUUUUGUUUGGUCAUCGCUGCUACUAAAGAAGAGAGAUUGCAUGCCUAGACGAUCAAGCUUUGCGGACAAUAGAACGUCUCUCUCGCUGGUACUCAACUUCACCUCUCUGGUGCAUUAUCAACAAAGCUCUCCUCACCUGCCAUUUUAACAUGCACAUUACCUCAAAAAUCCCAUUCACAUUACUGAAAAUUAAACAACAAAGAUGUUAGCUUAGGUACCAUUGAAUCGUUCAUUCCCAUUCUAGCCAGAUCCUCUAUCAGUCUUCUCUCUGAUAAUCGAGCUCCGAUCCCCAUUCUUCUCUUUAUCUGUGUUUCCGCUUGCUGUUUUUUCACACCAAUACCAAAUUUAGUUAUUACAUCUAGAGAUACGAUGAUUCUUUCUUCCCCACAAGCAACUAACCUUGAUUUCAUUGGCCAUCUCGCCUGUUAUGUUUAUCUGUUGAUUUAUCCCUGAUCUUGCUGCAUCCAUUGUCGAGGUAUCAAAAAGUUUAAAAGCUUUGUCUACAUCAUCUGGUGUGGCCUCGUGUGACCUGACAUAUUUAACAAUGUCAAUGGACGGCACAUCCCAUCAGGUUUCAGGAAUCAGGAAUCUCUAUGUUAAUAAGAUUACUUACAGUCUCAUUUUUGCAAGUGACUCACUCAGUCUGACAAUAGCUUCGAGUUGUCUCACUGUGAUAGGUAUCGGAGCAGCCUCUCCUGUUUCAUGUGCACGUCUCUUCAUAUCCUGUUUAGCCGAAAAUUUUAUACUGACACCAACUUUGUUUUUUAACCAUCUUAUUGUCAAAUCUAAUGUAAAUGACAAUUACCAUUCUGAUUGUGACAUAUUUCCGCUGCAGGUUCUCAGCAGCGUCUUUUGAGAGACGGGGAUGACACCUUGCUCGACAGUAUUGUAUAUACCUAACAUAAAAAGAGCAUUAUAUUUUAGAGUCAUGAUUUUGUACAGAAAACUGCGAGAACACAUUGUUUUCUCGACGAAUGAAAACACACCUUUUGAGCCAAUUAUCUUCUUUAGAAUCUGUGUUUUCAUCCGAAAAUUUGUUUGCAGAUGCAUGAACCCUUAUAAUAUGGCUGGCUAUUUCCUGUGAAAAGAUUAUAAACAUUAAUCAUGUCUACAUAAUAAGCAAGCAACGAAGCAAACUUUCCAAUAACAGUGACCUCCAUCAUUAAUCUCUGUUUUCCCUUUUAACUACAUAAAAUUUCUGAAAGAAUUGUUCCUUUCCUUGCUUACCUUGUCUUGGGAAUACUUCCUGAUGUCCUUGACAAUGAAGAUAAGAUCAAAUCUAGAAAGAAUUGUUGUCUGCAGAUCGAUAUUGUCCUGAGCAGUCUGCAAAUCCAAAGAAAAAAAAACACACCCAUCUCUUAAGAAUAUUGCAAACAAGAAUCGGGAAAACCAUGAUAUUGCCAAAGGAGAGUACCAGAUUUCAAACCUUAAGGUCAUCAUAUCGACCAGAUGGCGGGUUAGCAGCAGCAAGCACCGAGGUUCUAGAAUUAAGGACAGUUGUUAUCCCAGCUUUUGCAAUGGAGAUUGUCUGCUGCUCCAUUGCCUCAUGAAUAGCAACCCUAUAAAGAAAAAAAAAACAUUCCAUCAAUUCUACUCAUAGAGAAAAAUUAGAUUCGUCAACACUAUGAUUCAGAUUUGAAUUACCUAUCUUCCGGUCUCAUCUUGUCAAAUUCAUCAAUACACACAACACCUCCAUCAGCCAAAACCAUAGCACCACCUUCAAGAUAGAACUCUCGCUGCAAUGAACAUAUGUAUAAAUAACUGAGAAUCUGUCAUAGCAACUACUUUUAAACAAAUCAUAGAAAAACACUUGAAGAUAGGACAUACAGUGCUGCUAUCUCGAAUCACCGAAGCUGUGAGCCCAGCAGCCGAUGAACCCUUUCCAGAUGUAUAAACAGCAAUUGGAGCCGUCUUCUCCACAAACUUAAGAAACUAGAGAGAAAAAAAAUAAGCAAUUAAGCUUUAAACAUGUAAGCUACAGGUGUUGGAAAUAACACAGACAUUUUGUAAGGAUUGUAAUCUAACACUUGAACAGAAGGAUGUAAGACGAAUAUCAAGCAAAUAAGAGAGACGUAAGAAAAUAUAAAAAGAAUAACACACUUAUUAUAAACCAUUGAUACUGAGACCACAUUACAAACCUGUGAUUUUGCAGUUGAUGGGUCUCCCAAAAGCAAAACAUUAAUAUCACCUCUUAGUUUCACUCCAUCGGGCAGGCUCUGAAUCAAAGAUAGAAAUGUAUAUAAAUAUAUCAAAAACGUAUACAAAGUGCACAGAAAAUAAAAACUGCUAUCACAGUUUCCUACCUUCCUGGAUCCUCCAAAGAGAAGACACGCAGCUGCUCUCUUCACAUCCUCAUGGCCAAAUAUAGAAGGAGCGAUCUUGGUGCAAAUGUUCUUGUAUACAUCUUGACUAUCAGCAAACUUUUUGAAUUCUUCCUCCUAAAAGUAAUAUUAUGGAAGACAAAACUGAUAAAUGGAAUUGUACAACUAGGCUUCCAAGCAGGCCUAAAUGUUUCAUAGUAAACUAGUAGCACAGAGAAUAUUUCCAGAAAACACCAUCACAUUCAUUUGGGAGUUACACAAAGAAUUUCAUAGAGCCAACAGCUACCUAAGGCAUUUGGUUUCCAGUAACAAUAAUUCAGCCAUGUUAACUUCAAUAGUUCAUUGUGAAACCAUGGAUGACAUAGGCUAUCAAAUGAGAAAACAAAAAGAACCAAAUGAUGCGAUACUAACUUCGUCAGGAGUGAAGUUGGCAGGGCCACGGGAACUGGCCUCAUUUGUGUCUUCCAGUCCAACAACUCGGAUAUAAGGCUGGCGAAUUGCAACUGCUCCUUUAUGCCUACAUCAGAAAGUAGGAAAAGAUGUCCAUCAUUGUUGUGGUGUAACUCUCCCAGAAAACAAUCUACACUCUCAUUUGACAUAAAACUACAAAGCUUACGAGUUAGAUGAUGACGAAGCUUGGAAAAUGCUGUAGAUACCCAUUACUGUCAGUCUGGUUCCAGGUACAAUUGUUUGUACAAGAUGCCGAUCAACUGAGAGAAGCAUAUUUCUUGGAAGCUCUCCAGUAGGAACAUCCUUCAAAACUCAGAAGCAUUUAAUAUAUACAAGUGCAAAAAAAGCGAAAACAUUACAAUGUAAAUCUAUACCUCCGGAUUCUCCUGUAGCUUUAAGGUCUGUUGAUCAACAUACUGGCUCCUAUCAGGAACCACCAUCCAAGGAUCAAGAGGGCAAGGCUCCUCUCCAGGCUAAACAAAUUCCAAUUUGGUCUAAUCAACACCAAGGAUAACUACAAACUCAAAUCACAAACGAAUCAAAAGAACUCACCUGUGGAAUAUUAUCACAUGAUCGAGGAACAAUUGCCCCACCAAGACCCGGACGACAUGGAACUUCCCUUGUCUUUUUACAAUUCUUACAUACCAAAAACACAUAAGUCGCCUUUGCUUUCACUCUCGAAGCUGCAAUACUAAUCCCAGAGAUUUUCACCAACUUUGAGAUGUACUGUGCCUAUCAAGAGUAAAGAGUACAUUAUAGACAUACCCCAAGUAAUCUCAUUGAUACUAAAAACAAAAAAACAGACAUACCCCAAGUAAUCUCAUUGAUACUGGAUCCUCUCUUGAAGUGAGCAAAAUCUGCACAUCUCUAGUCAGAGGUUCCUCCAUUACCCCUCCCUCAUUAGCCUCCCUCAUUUUCAAUCCAGUCAACACUUCACCAGCUGCUUUCUCAAACUACAAUUCAAAGAUUGACUCACUCAAUACAAAGCUUAUAUGAACCCUAAUUUUUUUUGAAGUCAUACCACAGGGAGAUAAUCGGCAGGAGCAGAUCGGAUUAAGGAGGGGAGAUCGGAAUCAAAGGAGAGGAGAUCUUCGAGGUGGACAACAAGUCGCUUAGGGUUAUCGAGGAGAGCUUCUCUGUAGGGGAAACAAUUCUGUUCGAUCUCGAAGUUUCGAAUGAAUUCCUUAAAUUUGGUUAAGACGGCGUGGGGACUGAUGGUUGCGGCGUCUCCGGCCUCCGGGAACUGCGGCUGGUCGCUGUAGUAAACUGCUCCUUCGUCCCAUCCUGACAUCGUUGCUUCGUCUCCGUUACGAAUUUCUCUAUCUCUUUCUCUCUUAUCAAAAAGUUCUAAACGAAGAGAGAGAGUGGGGGCAAGGGCUUUAUGUCGACUAUGAGUUUUGGCGGGAACAAUGUGGCGGGAAACUGAUGGGCCGAACCCAAGACCUAUGGACGGGUAAAUGGAUUUCGUUGGUUAUUGGGUCUUUCUUUCUUUUUCUUUUUAGCUAAGGUUACAUUUUUUAUCCAUUUUUUCUAAUUUAUUAUAAAAAACCAAACAGAUAAAAAUAUAAUUAUGGACUACAUCUAGGAAUCUUAAAUUUAUGAAUUGCACAUUUUAGAAUUUCAUAUUUUUAAGCUACUUAAUAUCGUUGUAAGCAUUUUCAAUUCCAUCGUAAUUUUCUUCAAUGUCACUUAAAAUUUAAGGCUAUAUUAAUAUAUAUGUUUAAAAGAAUAGUUUUUAGUUUUAUAACAUUAAUAAUUUGAAAAUUAAGUAACUAUAAAAAAGAAAAGAAAAAUCAACCAUAUAUAUCCUUCUCAUUUACGUUAAUUACAGAAAUGUCAUUAACAUGAUAAAUGUUUUUGAGAAUAUUAGGUAAUUGGACACUUUUUUGAAACUCAAUUACGCAAUAAAGCACUUUAGAAAGAGUAAACACUUUUUAAAGUUUUUUUACUACUACACCAUCAACCCAACCUAAGCAAUCCAAACUUACCAUAAUUUACAACCAUUACUUUUUCUCUCUUUUCAUUCAUUUUUUUCUCUACUCUUUACAAAAUUAAACACACAAAACACUUAAAAUAUCUUAAUGAAAAAAGGAAAUGGUUUGAGACAUUAUCUCUCUUCUCUCUCAUCAAAAACACCAAAAAGUAGAUCUAGAUUUUUCUUUUUUCUUUCUCUUCUUAGAUCUUAAAAGUUGGAAAUUUUCAAGAUUUUUAUUCAGUUUCUCAUUCUUUAAUCAACCUCAUAAGGUUAAAAUUUUCAUUUUUAAUUGCUAGGUUUCUUCUUCUCUUAGUGUAUCCAUCAUUGUCUUGGUCAAAUUUUUGUCUUUUUACAAAUCUUAGAUUUGGCCACCAAAUAUUUGUGGAAAUUCCUCAAAGAGAGAGAGAGAGUUGAAUUAAAGAACCCAAACAUAUAUUCUUACUAUAAAUUUGUAACUUAAAGGUAGUUUGAUGCUAUUUUCAUUAAAACACAUGAGCAAAUAAUGAAAAAAUGGAAAAAAUACAAAACAAAUCAAAGAAGAGUGAUAGGCGAUAAUUUGAAAUGACCACAUGGUCAGAGUUUGGUGGAUGUGUGUUGACGGUCGAUAAUUCAAAAUGAUUGUGUUUUGUUAAUACUAUUCAUAAAACCAGUGUUACGUUAUGUAAAAGAUGUUGAUAAAAUGUGAUGAAACAAGUUUUGUUGGUCAUAUCAACAAAAGUUUAUUUAUGAAAAUGUUUAUAUUUAUUUAUCCACGAUUACAUAUUAACAAAACAUAAAUACGAGUGUAUAUCGUAAGAUUGUGUAUGAACACAUCGAUCUCAAUAAUAUUUUACGUUUUCAGGUUAAGAAGCGUGCUUUAGAUUAUCAUGGAUCAAAAGUGGUGGUUAUAGAUUAUGUACAUAUAAAACUUAGGUUUUAGGGUUUAGGCUUUAAAGUCAAGGGCUAGGGUUUAAUGUCUAGGGUUUAAGAUUUAGUAUCUAGUGUUUACAUUUUAGGAUUUAGGCUUUAUUGUUUAGGAUUUCGCGUUUAGUUUAGAUGAUUUAGGGUUUUGGGUUGAAGAAUCAAAGUUGUCUACAAUGAUUUAGGGUUUAUGGUUACAUGUUUCUCAUUGGAGAUUAUAUAUUCCAUUGUUGUCCAUAUGGAUUGGAUAAUAUGGAUUUUCUAUCUCAAUUUGUUUAUAUUUAGGGGAUUUAUGUUUAAUAUUUAUGGACAACAACAAGAAGUUUUAAAGUGAAGAUCUUAGAAUUUAGGGUUUAGGGUUUAGGGUAUACGUGAUAUGGUAUAUGUAUAUUGUUAAGGGUUUAGUCUUUAUGGUUUAACAGGUUUAGGGUUUAAUAUCAAGGGUUUAGAGUUUAGGGUUUAGGGUUUAGGGUUUAGGGGUUUAGGGUUUAGGAUUUAGGAUUUAGGAUUUAGGAUUUAAGAUUUAGGGUUUAGGGUUUCGGGUAUAAAUUUAGGGGUUAGGGUUUAAUGUUUAGAGUUUAGUAUCUAGUGUUUAGGGUUUUAGAUUUAGUGUUAAGGAACUAUGAUUGUUUACAAUGAUUAUAGAGUUUAUUGUAGAUGGUAUAAGGUUUAGGGUUAAUUGACCAUGGUCAUAUACAAUUAUUUUUGGGUUUAGGGUUAUAUGCUUCUUGUUAGAUUAUAUAUUUCCAUUUUGAUCAUAUGAAUUAAAUCAUAUGAAUUUUUUAUGUUCUCAAUUGGUUUAUGUUUAGGGGAUUUAUGCUUAAUAUUUAUAAGCAAUAAUAAGAAGGUUUAAAAUUUAGGGUUUAUAUGGUAAAUGGUAUAUGAUAUAUUUCUAUGGUUAAGGGCUUAGUGUCUAUGGUUUAAAGUUUAGGGUUUAUGGUUUAGGUGUUUAAGGUUUAGAGUUUAGGGUUUAGCGUUUAGGGUUUAAAGUUUAGGGUUUAGGGUUUAGGGUUUAGGGAUAAGAGGUUUAAGCUUAAUAUUUAUGGGCAACAUUAAGAAGGUUUGGGAUUUAGGGUUUAUGGUAUAUGGUAUAUGGUAUAGGGUAUACGUAUAUGGUUAAGGGCUUAGUGUUUAUGGGUUAAAGUUUAGGGUUUAGGGUUUAGAUAUAGAAGUUAGGGUUUAAUGUAUAGAGUUUAAUAUCUAAUGUUUAGGGUUUAGAAUUUAGUGUUAAGGAACUAUGAUUGUUUAUAAUGAUUUUAGAGUUUAUGGUUAUAUGGUUCUCAUUAAAGAUUAUAUAUUUCAUUGUUGUCCAAAUGGAUUAAAUCAUAUGGAUUUUUUGUUUUCUGAAUCUGUUUAUGUUUUGAUGAUACAAUAAAUAAUAGUAUGAAUAAAUAUAGUAAUAUGGAUUUCAUGAAGGAAAAAAUGUUAUUAUUAUAUAUUUUAUAAAAAAUGAUUUUUAAUCAAAUAGAGAAUGUCUUAAAUUAAAUAAAAAUUAAAUAACAAAAGGAAGAGAGAGAAGAAAUUGACAAGAAAGAUAAGAAAGUGAUAGAUAGAGAAAAUAUGUUUUAUUUAUUUAAAUUUGACGGUCAAGAUUAAAAGAGAUUAACUUUACCUUUCAAUUCGAUGGACGAGAUGAUUCCGUCAAAACCAUUUCUUAACCAUGCUACUUGAUUUAAGGUGAAGAGAAUAAGGGGUAAACUGGUAUUGAUUUUUUUAAAAUAGUGAAAAAACUCCAAAAAAGUGUCUAUUCUCUUCAAUGUGCCCUAAAUGCACUAAAAACUUGGAAAAUGCCCCAAUCAUGAAAGAAGCCCAAUUUUUUCUGACGUAAUAUGUGGCGACACAGUUCAUAAACCGCUCGAUAACACUGCUCACAUGCGACCGAAACACUAUUCAUCAGAUGAUAUAGUAAAACAUCAUAUGAUUUAAGCAUUUAUCUAUUUGUUUUAUAUGCUAAAAAAUAUGAUAUCGCGAUAAGUUUACUUUUAAACAAAUCUUUUAUCGACCUAGAAUUGAAAAUUAAUAUAUUUUUAUUUAUGUAAAUAUCAGUUCAAUUUAAAGAAUUAGUUUAUUUCUUACAUAAUUAAUAUAAUAGCAGUUAAAACAACAUGUUAUAUAAAAUAAUAACAUGCUAACAUAUUUAAUAUCUAGAUAAUAUUUGUAUGAACGUGCCAUCUCAAUCCACGUUUUCAUUCACGCCACCUCUUUUUUUGUCAACUCACCAAUACUGAUUUUAAUAUCUUUGUUUCGAUUUGAUUUUAUGUUUCCAUUAUUAUUCUUAUAGUUUUGUAUCGUCAGAAAUUAAAUAAAAGAGAAACAAAAGAAAGAAAAAAAGAAAAGAGAGAAAAGGGGUAAAAGAGUCAAAAAGAGGAUGAUAAAAAGAGGAUAAACAAAAAAGAGGAUGAUAGUGACAUGUGCACAGUGAUCAAGUGGUCAACCUAAUUAAUGAGUCGUUCAUGUAUAUCUAUUGAUAUUACCCUAAAAUUUAAAGAUGUGAUUCAACUAAAUAAAAUAAGUUUAUUACAAAAAUAUAAACUUUUUAUUACCUUCUAAAUUCACAAAACCACGUAGUCAAUUUCAAGUAUAAAGCAAGGUUUUGACAAUUUUUAGAAUAAGACAAUUUUUUUUACAAAGAUUUAACCACUUACAUCCAAUACUAAACGAUGAUUUUGUUACUAUUGUGGUGAUUAAAAUGCUAAACACAUAAAGACGCUCAUAACCUCCAUGUACGUUAAAGACAUCAAAUCUAAAUAUUUUUCCAAAUUUGAUGUUGUGUUGUCAAAACCAAGCUGGAUGCUCCUCUUAACAUCAAAGAGAUCAUGUAUGAUAUAGACAUACUAAAUUAAACAAGUAUGAUUAUUAUACUAUGAACUUGAAAUGUGAAUUGAUUUAAGAAUUUACACCCACAACCUCAUAUCUAUCCCAUAACUAGAAUGGUAAUGUACUAAUCCCGAUAAUUUAGCAAACUUGAAUUAAAUCUUCCUAGCCAUCUCUUCUACUCUCAAAUCACUAAUAAGGUUCAAAUUACCCUAGAACUACUCUCUCAUAUAAGAGAUCAAUUGCAGUAUUUAAGGAUCGAAUUCACAAAGUUCUUUUGUUCAAACAAUAAGUUGAAUGUCGAGAUUAAGCUAGAAGGUGAUGAUUGAAAUAGUAAUAAAACAAAGUAAGAUAACAGCAGGUUGAUUGUGUUGUAAAAAAUUAGGAAAAGAGGUAGGAACAGAGUAUUCUCAAGAAACUAUUGGUUAGUAGAUCUAAUGAAAGCUAGGUUGUUAUCGAACCAUUCUUAAACUCAAACCCUAAUUAUGGAAUAACCGGUGGCUUUAGUACCCCGCGCAUUGACCCCAGGCAAGAAAGAAGGGCAAGAGAAGAAGAAGAGAGAAUGGUGCGUGAAAUGAAAGGAAGGGCCGAGUAUUUAUAAUCCGCGGAAGCUAGAGUAGAGCCCAAGUCUUAAAACGUGGAGCCGAAUCCAUUCGGGCAAAGCCGACUUGGUGACCAAGUUUUGUCCUGAGCAAUGCACGCCAACUUUAGCCAACUUGGUGAGCAAGUUUUGUCCCAAAGCCAACUUGGUGACCAAGUUUUGUCCCACUCCUCAUAUCCGAACCUUGAGCCUAUAAAUAGAACCUUACCCCCCCCCCCUUAGUUACACCUUAGAAGCUUUCGCACCAAAACUCUGCCCAAACCGAGAGGGAGAGAGAGAAAUCAUCCGAACCCUUAACCCGAGAGAGAGAGAGAGAUCGUCCGAACCUUAAAACCCGAGAGAGAGAGAGAGAGUCUGAGCAAGAGAUCGUCGAGCCUUAGGAUAGUCCGAAAGAGAGAUCCCGAGUAGAAACCAUCGGUCGAGUUAGGAAGAUUCAUCGGUGAUUGUGAGUUCCGGUUUUUGUUUUGCAUGUUUGAUUUUCCUUCUUGCAUGUUCUCGAUUCUCCCUUCUCUUAGUUUUGUUGUUGUUAUGGUUGAGUUUGUUGAGGUUGUUAACCUAAUAGCUAGGAUAGUUGAGACCGAAGCACCUUGCCCUAUAGGAGUGGUUGUGUUAGAAUAGCACCAUUCACUUUAGAGGGAUGGUUGCAUUGUCAAGACACUACUCGCUAGUAUUCGGGAGACAUUUAGAGAGAACUUUAUGAACAUGUGCGUUGAAAACGAACCGCAUGUUUCAUAGUGUUGAUUGGAAGAUCGUAGUGUGUGGAGCUUGAAGAGUAUCUAAGUUAACUCCAUAAGCAUGCUACGGUCAAGUGGGAUGUAUCUGACCUUUCCUUGUGAUUCUGUUCGUUCGUGGGGUGUGCUUGACGAGAUGCAAGUGACCUCAAGGGGUUCAAAGGACCUAUAGAGACUGGGUUAGCUACCCAAGGCCCGGUGUCGCUUACACGAUGGUGUAGCCAAGGUGAUGUUCCAGUUAUAUGCAUUUGUGGUUAUAACUAGGGUGUUCACGAUGUGUUGAGGAAGGCAGUGCAUUCGGGUCCUAAUUAAAACUUUAAGAAACGUUAUCUUCUUGUUGUGUUGUGUGUUGCUUACUUCCUUCUUUGUGUACUCUGAUUAUUUAUGUUAUGCAUGUGGGAUUAUGGGUGGGGAUUAAACUAAUGUUUCCUUAGGGAACCCGAGCUCAUUGAGUAAUGCUAGAUUACUCAUGACUUUACUUGUUUUGCAUGAAACCUUAGAGGGGAUUAGAGGGAGUGGUGAACACUAGGGAACCCGGAGUAGUUUUUCAAUGUCCUUUUGUAAAACUUAAAAUAUGUAUUUUCGUAUCGUGUACUUUUGGACCUCAUGCCUUGGCCACAAAAACGAUGUUUAUGUUGUGGUUUUUCCUUGUAUUUUCGUAACUCUAAAAUAAUGAAAUCGGUAUUUAUUUUAGAGUAUACGGGUUUCAAACUGAUAAGACUUUGUCCGAGUCGACACAACAUUUGGGUGAAGUGAGGGUUGGCAAGCCUAACACUACAAAAAAAUUUGAAUAUUCUUACGGAAAAAUUGCGACCAUUUUUUCGUCAGAAAAUUGUAACCAUUUUCUUACAAAAAUGUGACGUAUUUAUUUAGUCAUAAAAACGUUACUAUUUCGUUAUAAUAUUAUGUCUUAAUUGAAAGUAACUAACGUUUGUCACUAAUUAUAUUAAAUUUGUUACGAAUUAUAUAGUCAUAAAUAUAAAUACGGAUUUGCGACCAAAUAUGGUAACUAAAUUAUACAAUAAUUGUGACUAAACUUAUGUCACGUAUAGUUACGAGAGUUUUGUAACUAUCAUGUCACAAUUUGUCACUGUUUUAGUGACUUUUGCGUUUGGUCAUAGAUUGUGACAUAAUUAUUACCAAUUUUAUCACAAAAAUAAAAA